ACUUUGGGAUGUAUUUGGUGGAGUGGUCCCCACCGGGAGUAUGCUCGAGAUUCCCUUGUUUGGAGAAUAAGAUGCUGAAAAGAUAUCCUUUUAUUGCUUGGUGUAAUCAUACAUUGUUUCGUUGUUGUGAGCUCGGCCCGCGCGGGCGCGGCUCCUCGGGUUAUUUGAUCCGGUACAUAAUUCCUGAUUGGGUCAUAGUCUGCAAUUUCCCAGUCUUCCCGAGGGGACGGUGCCCUUAGAAGAAGAUCAUCACUUGUCGUUGGAUUGUAGAAGAAGGACUGCGACCUUAUCGGAUCCUCCUCUGGGGGUAUGUUGCUCCGCUAAUAAUCUUGCUGACAAGGCCCUCUUCGGGGCGAAAGCACGAUUGAGGGGAAAGAGCGAGGCAGACCCUUUUUAAAGCCUAUGGAUCUCCGGGUAGAGUUAGAACUUUUGAAUAUCCUGGCCAUUUGUCUGCAUACAGGUUAGUGAAAAAAUAACAAGGGAGUAAAGAAGUUCUUCCUCACCGCGAGAUGUGUAGGCGACGUUUUGAGAUUUGGUAUGUUCCUACCCUUUCGAGGCAUGAGUCACGAUACAGCCCCCCGCUGCGUCUUAUCAGGCUUGGCCAAAGACGUGGUUUGCUUAUGCUUUGAUCCUUCCGAGAGUGGGGGCAUUGAUACUGGCGACGCGCCAGAUGGCGAAGAGUUUCCUCUUGUCGCAUAUUGCUUUCCGUCAACUUAUUUUAGUCCUGCCCUUUGUAAAGGGUUUCAUGCUUUUGGCGAAAUGGGGCCGACGCUGUCUUCGGGUGGUAUGCCGGUGGUCGUUUGAAUAAGAUGUCCGUGCUUCGCGCCUUCUCCAAUGGUAUAGAGCUCGACGUCCCGACCCGAGCUCAGACGGGUUGCAUCAAAAGAAUGGUCUUUGUGGCAAUUUGUCAUUUGGAAUUUGCUAGGGAUUCGGGAUGCGGGAGUGAUUUGGUCCGUUAGACUGGACCGCUUUGUUGACUUUGGUCCGACAUCGUUGUUGUACGUGAUCAAAUAACCUGAAUUCAUGAACACAUGUUUUAUUUGAAAUAGAUCAAAUGAAGGAGAGGGUUACCAAUGUGUCAGUGUGAUGCCGGGGCGAAGUCUCGAUGCCCUUUUUCUUGGAUGUAAGGGUGUCCUCCGGAAUACUUCCCUGUACCUGUCUUUUCCUGACGGCGAACAUUUUCACUUUCCAUUUUGUGAGUCCACAGAGGGUGUUGACACUCCUUCACUAUCGUGACAAUACGUCGUGGCUCGUUCGCUUCAUUUUUCCAGGUUGCCUUCCUCCCUUGAGGCUGGACUCGAGCCUAACUGCUCGAUGGUAUUCAGCGGUGAUUUUUACUAAGCAGCAUGGAUGUCGCCAUUCUGGUAUGGUGGUUAUUUUGAUCCUGUGGCCGCGCGUGCCCUAUGGUUCCUGCACCGGGUUGUGGUUUUUUUUUAAGGGGUCUUGGUUGAAUAGGUCUGAGUCGUUCGGCAUCCCUGGUUUUGCUUAUGGUGAUCACGAUGUUUGGCAUGGCAAUGUCAAAAUCGUACUCCGCUGGGUGGGGUUCCUAUGCCAGUUGUGCCUCAUCAUAUACGGUUCCACAGAGGUUCCUCGAGGAUGUUGCCCUCGAACUGUUUCUCUACCGUUGCGAGGUAGGUUGCAUCUUGUGGCAUUCCUCCCAUUCGCGGUGCAUGGAUGGUACCUCCAUCUAUUGGGCAUUAGUUUCUUUGCUGGGAGCUUGCUUGGGUAUACUGGGCCCAUAAUGGCUCCCGGACGGUUGUCUAUAGCCCCUGAUUUGUGGCUGGCGUCGGAUACGGUCAUCCGACCAGGUCUCGGCUGGGUAUCUAAUUAAGAUUCAUUUGAAACGACCCGAAGUCGUCGGGCAUGCUUCGUUUAAACUUUGGGCGAAGGCUCGGGUUGCUCAGUCAUCCGAAACCAGGAGCGAUCUCAUUCGUCCAAUCAGGGAAUGAGGUGCGACUUCCUAUGGUGUUUCACUCUGUCUUUGUUUGGCCUUAGAUGUGUCGGGCUCUUCCGUUACUACUUUGAUGGCAUCAGUGUGUUCUCCUGUGGAGUGAUUUGCUGACAUGGUAAGCGAGUUUGUGAAGUCAGGUGCUAGGCAGCGGCGCCACAUCAUGGUUUCUCUCGAUAGUGUUUCCCCGAACUUUUUCAACGGGAUGGGCUCGAACUUAUCAUCUUGAAGGUCGCUGCCAUUUUCCGCACAUGUGUAAGCGGUGGUGCGCUCGUCGGGAUCCGAGGUCUUGUCACACCUAGGGAGUUCCGGCGUUCCGUAUUUCCGUGGAGCGGGUUCCGGGACCGCUUCCCCAGGAGAUAACUGUUGCAUGAGCCCCCAUGAACCUGACUUGAUUCUCUUGGAGAGGUCCUCCAGCAUCUUAAUUAUGGUGGGGUAUGUUAUCUAUCUGUUGUUGCUUGAUCUUUCGUGUACUCGUUCGGCGCAGGGAAUCGUUUCCGGCGCUACUGUGUUGAGCAUCCCUGGAUGGCUCUGCAACUGAGCGAUAGUCAACUGCUGUGCCUGCAAUAUUUCAAAAAUGUCGUGAAGACUAACUUCCUGUGUUUCCCGAGCCGGGGUUUGUUGGGCUUCCUGUUGGUUGAUAUGCUGAAUACUCCCAUCGGUACGCGAGGCCUCACCGACCUGCUGCACGCCUCACAAACCUGUGUCCGCUAGAAUCAGCCCAGAUGCAUUAUCGACGUUUCGCUGCAUAGUGCCAACCACCAGAACAAUCUCACCAUUUCCGUCAUGACUUUCGGGGUAGUCAUUCUCGACUCUGCUUACCGAGCCAGACAUUUUGACUUGAAAUCAAGAGAUCUUUGGACAAGAAAAAGCGUGAAAGAUAAUGUGUGUUUGUGCAAAGAAACCAACAAGAAAAUAAUCACUAUUAUUUUUAGUCCCACGAUGGGCGCCAAACUGUUUACCGUGAAAAUUGUAACAACAAUUAAAUUUGUAAAUAUGAUUCUAAAAAUACGUGAUCUAUUCUAGAGCUAGUUUUUAGAGCAGUUGAUGCUAAUAAUAUGGGGUUUAAUGAUGAAAUGCUAGCUAAAAUGAGAUAUUAAUCGAACCGAAGGGCCUUCUACCCGGAUAUAGGUCGGGUCGAUAGGGGACCUCGGGGUCGAGCUCGAGCUAUCAGGGAUAGUCGGGGAUGGGAUAAUAAUUGAGGAUAUAAUUAGAAAAGGCUCUUUAUGGCCAAUACUAAGUUAUAUGAUGAAGAAAAAGUAAGCAAGCGAUGAAUAUCAAGGUGACCUCGGGCUAGUGAGAAUGAACAAGUUUAGAAAGGAAAGAGAGAGAGAGAGAUAUUAUUGCACUUAUGGAGAAAAUGGAGCAACAUUAGUCUGUCACAAGGUAGCGUGAGUCCCCUUUAUAUAUGAAGGGAACUCGGCUACAAGCACAUUGGUAUUUAUCACAAAGUAUGGAGAUAUGAUGGCUUGACGCGAUGCCUCAGCAUAGGCUCUAGGUAGGUCGGCCUUGUCAGACUUAGCCGUGCCUUGGGAGCUUCCCCCUCUUUCCUGGCUUCAAUCUCUAUUUUCUCUGAGUCGGGUCUCGACUAGCCUUGAGGUCGAGAAUUCGGUCGUGGCCUCCCGUCCUUGGGGUCUUGAGGCGUUCUUCCGAAAUGACUUGACAACGAGAAAUCAAGUCCUCUGAUUUUGCCACGUACGAAAGGCACUUUUACUGGUGAACCUACGCAAGCUGGAGGAUUUGAUCAAUGAGAGCAUUCAACCUGAGGAAGGUAUUUAUCGGACCAAAUAGGUUGGCAUUUACUUUUCGCUUUAUGAAUGUAAUAAGGCCAAUGGCCAUUAGUGUCGUUUAUUUCUUGUUUAUUUAGUCUCAUUUUGGGAUUCGUCUAUUUCUAUUAAUAAAAUGAGGCAUUUAACAUUCUAAGUUCUACAAAUCAAUUUCUCGCUAGGCCUACCUCGGGCACAAAGAGGUUCCCAAAUUAGGAUACUUUUUACAUUCCCGCACUAUGUGUUUAAAUAUUGCAAUACUUUUUAUAAUCCUCACUAACUUGAUUACCUUUUGUUUUAUUAUUAUUAUUAUUAUUAUUUUGUUUUAUUAUUCCCUUUCCCAAAGGUUAGUUUGUGCAUUCUGGCAUCGUCAUCUUAUUAAACAAGAUCCAGGGUCCCUUCACCCACUCCUCCUCUUAGUCCUAUCAAAGGCAAGACCAAAGGCAAGAUGGAAGAUUUGAAUAACGUCAGGAAGGAGAACCCAACUGAACGGGUUGAGGAUGCUAACGGCCAUGGUAUUCGGGUUCCUAAUGAGAAUGUGUCACAACUUGAAUAGAAACUACUAAAAUUCCAAGAAGAGCUCGAUCAAGUUCAGAAUCUGGCAAGCCUGUCAUUUUCCCUCAGCACCCCAGAUAUCAACUUCCCCAACACUCAAAACCCUACACCUCCUCAAAACAUCCCAAAACAACAGAAUCAUCCCGCUCCUCACCAUCACAUUGCUCCACCAAAGAACCAAUGUAACACCUGCCAUACCCCAAACAACACUCCACUACUCAUCCUAGAACCCCAAAACUCCACAAAAGACCAUUUCCACACCCACACACCAAGCCACCAUAACACUCCUAUCUACGUGGAGACCAUGACACACUUCACCCAACCUAUCUCAGGCACACCUGGGUCUGACGAAAAGGAUCUGCUUAUCAGAAACUUGGCUGAGGAACUUAAGAAAUUGACUAGCCGGAUUCAGGGCGUUGAGGGAAGCAAAGGAAUCGAAGGGCUGAACUAUGAGGAUCUUUGCAUACAGACUGAUGCCGAACUGCCCGAGGGGUACAAACCUCCUAAGUUCAAAAUGUUUGAUGGUACGGGUGAUCCAAUGGUCCAUCUAAGGACAUAUUGCGACAAGCUGGUUGGAGUGGGAAGGAUGAAUGGAUCCACAUGAAGAUGUUAAUGAGGAGUUUGAAAGGAGAUGUAUUAUCUUAGUACAUCAGCCAAGAUCCCAAGAAGUGGUCAAGCUGGGUAGGCAUGGCAUCUAACUUUAUGGAUAGUUUCAGGUUUGAUAUGGAGAAUGCCCCAGACAUGUUCUAUAUACAGUAUCUGAAGAAGAAGCCCACAAAGACGUUUCGGGAGUAUGCUACUCACUGGAGGUCCGAAGCUGCUAAGGUCAAACCUGCAUUAGAAGAGGAACAAAUGAACAAGUUCUUUGUCUGGGCUUAGGACCCACAGUACUAUGAACGACUAAUGAUGAUUGAGAAACACAAGUUCUCCGACAUUAUCAAAUUAGGUGAAAUGAUUGAAGAAGGUAUCAAAAGCGGUAUGGUUACAAACUUUGAGGCCUUACAGGCUACAAAUAAGGCCUUAUAGUCCGGUGGUGUGUCCAAAAAGAGGGACGUAAGGGUCGUGAUGGUUGCACAAAGGACCAAGUCUCCCCUUAAAUACCAACUUACCCAACACCUCCACUCUCAUACCAGCCAACCCCAAAUUACCAAGCACCCUCACCCUCGUACCAAGCUCAACUACCAGCUUAUCAGUUACCCCACCUCCUACGGAUCAACCUACUUCACUCAGAUACUCCCAACCCGCUCAUGUCUACCAAACCUAUAACGCUCAACCAUCCCACUAUCAAUCACCUCUUGCACGCCAAAACUUCCUUAGACCCUGACCUAAUUUUGAUCGCAUACCUCCAAAAUAAUAUAUAGCCAUCGCUGAACCCAUCAACCAGUUGUAUGAGCGACUCAAAGCUGCUGGUUAUGUCACUCCCAUCCCUGCUGCAACCCCUGAGAAUCCUUCUCAGUGGGUUAACCCAAACAAAUCCUGUGCAUACCACUCCGGCAUAAAAGGGCACACCAUCGAUGAAUGUCGUUCAUUGAAAGACAAAAUCCAGUCAUUGAUUGACAACAAGAUCAUUGUGGCAAAAAAACCCUGCUCCAAAUGUCCGCAACAACCUUCUGCCAGACCAUAAGAGUGGGGGCAUCCACAUGAUUCAAAUAGAAGAUGACUGGGAUCCCGAGGGAUCAAUCGGGUUGAUUGCAGAAGGUGAUGACCCAAAGAAACCAACGAUUACUCUCAAUACAAUCAUAGUUCAGAUCCAACCAUCUAAGGACACUGAGGUGAAUACAUUGGUACCACUUGAGUUUGAAGUAGCACCAUCCGUAAAAACACCAGCACCAAUUGAGGUUUAAUUCAUGCCUCCAACAAAUGCACCCGCACCAUUUGAGGUUGCAGUUUUGCCACCCAAAGCACAUGUUUCGAUAGCUGUGCCAAUCCCAAUGGCGAUGUUAACUAUGACACCAUUCUAUACAAAUGUUGUACCCUGGGACUAUAUAGCUGAGGCAAGAAGGAAAGGCAAGGUCAGGUUCGAAGAAACUAUCACUGUACAGGGUAUGACAAGAACUGGUAGAGUCUAUACCCCUGAACACCUAGCUGAAUCAAGCAAGUAGGCCUCCAAUUGGCCACUCCUCAUUGAGACAGGCCCGAACAAUCUUUGGAAGAAGAUACAGGCCAAGGAAUAUUCGAUCAUCGACCAGUUAAACAAGACGCCAACACAAAUAGCCAUUGUCUCUUUGCUGCAAAACUCUGAGGCACACAAGAACGCUCUGUUAAAGGUGCUAAGUGAGGCAUACAUACCAAGUAACAUCACUGGCGGGAAAAUAGCUAACAUGGUAGGACAAGUGCUAGAAAGCCAUAAGAUCACCUUUGAUGAGGACGAGCUGCCACCUGAAGGGUUGGGAGACAACAAAGCACUGCACAUCACCGUGCAAUAUGAAGAUUAUUUCAUCACCAGAAUCCUGAUUGAUAGAGGUUCCAGUCUCAACAUUUGUCCGCUGGUAACCCUCAAGAAGCUGGGUAAAGGACUAAAAGAGAUAAAAGACGGAGCAAUCAAUGUGAAAGCCUUCGAUGGUUCUCAGAGGUCCACCAUUGGUGAGAUUAUUCUAUGCUUGAAGAUGGGACUAACAUGGUUCGAGGUUGAUUUCCAGGUGAUAGAUGUACCAGCAUCUUAUAACUUGUUACUAGGAUGGCCGUGGGUUCAUGCUGCUGGGGCCAUAGCAUCAACGCUGCAUCAAGCAGUAAAGUUCGAAUCGAAUCACCAGGAAGUGAUCAUUCACGGCAACAGUAGCAACCCUAUAUACAGUCACCAGACCAUUCCGGCAAUCGAGGGUAGAAGGUAGCUAGGUGGAGAAACUUACCACCACAUCGAACAGGUCAAUGUUGUCGACAAAGACAAAUGGUGGGAUAACAAAAUCAAGAGUAUACUGAAUUGGAGUAGGUCCGAACCUGGAAAAGGGCUCGGAAAGAACCUCCAAGGAAUCUCUAAGCCCAUAAAACUCAAGAAACAUGGCACUACUUUCGGUUUGGGAUAUGAUUACACAAGGGAAGAAUUCAAUAACUGGUCACCACCAUGGUGAGGUCCUUACUAUCCACUGGAGCAGCCAAUACUGCAUAUGGAGUAGAAUUUCCAACAAGUUGAUGUUAUUUAUGGUUUAGACGAAGAAAAAACACUUGCAGCAGUGAAGAACUUGUUUUUAGAGGACAGUUAUAUGGACUGUUGUGUUAUUCUCGAGGAGGAGGGGGAGGAAGGCCCUUCCAUAUAGGCUGUGAGCAGAGGUGCACAUCUCAAUAAUUAGACCAUCAAGACAACCAGAGCCCGAUGAGCCUCGGGGUAGCAAGGCUAAAAUAAGCAUCAUUCACUGUUUUAUUUAAUAAAUGAUUUUCUUUUCGUAUUUUCAAUUCCCGCAAUAAGAUCUUCAAUGUUCAAAUCAGUUUUGCAAUUUAUCAAAAGCAUUUUGACUUUUCUUAUGAAUCAACACUUAUUACUAUUGUUUUCUCUCAUUACUUUACUUAUACAACAUUACUAUUACUUGUCUUGAUGAACCAAUGACUGGGACAUGCAAUGAGACAACGCAACAAAUGGACAUUGAUUCAGAGGAAGAUGACAUACCUGACGAGAUUGUCAAGGAAGUUGAGAACUUUGAGAAAAAACCUAAGUCCAUCCUGGACGACACCGAAAUUGUCAACCUGGGAGAUGCAGAAAACGUCAAGGAAACACGAAAACGUUCACCUAUUGCCAUUAGAAAAGAAAGAAUACACUGAAGUUCUAAAGGAAUAUGAGGACCUAUUCGCCUGGUCGUAUGAUGACAUGACUGAUAUGAGUACGUCUAUUGUGGCUUACAAACUGCAAAUCGAUCUAACGUGUCCACCUGUAAAGCAAAAGCUCAGAAAGUUCAAACCUGAUAUGACUCUGAAAAUCAAGGAAGAAAUCACCAAGCAGGUAAAAGAUAAGGUUCUCAGGGUAGUAGAAUACCCGACAUGGCUAGCCAACAUUGUGCCAGUGCCAAAGAAGGAUGGGAAGGUCAGAGUUUGUGUCGACUACUGGGAUCUCAAUCGGUCCAGUCCGAAAGACGACUUCCCUUUGCCGAAUAUACACAUCCUAAUUGACAAUUGCACCAAGCAUGAGCUGCAGUCAUUUGUAGAUUGCUUCGCUGGUUUUCAUCAUAUUUGGAUGGAUGCAGAAGAUGCUGAGAAAACAACUUUCAUUAUGCCGUGGGGAAUGUACUGUUACAAGAUGAUGCCGUUCGGCCUGAAGAAUGUAGGGUCCACCUACAUGAGGUCCAUGACUACCAUUUUCCAUGAUAUGAUACACAAGGAGAUAGAGGUAUAUGUGGAUGAUGUUAUUAUCAAAUUCAAGAAGGCCACUAACUAACAUGGAAGAUCUGAGGAAGUUCUUCAAUACACUGAGAAGGUACAACCUGAAACUAAACCCCGCAAAGCGCGCAUUUGGGGUUCCUGCUGGGAAAUUUCUUGGGUUUAUUAUGAGCCGCCGAGGAAAAAAACUGGAUCCAUCGAAAGUCAAAGCCAUUCAAGAACUGCCACCGCCAAAGAACAAGACGGAUAUGGUGAGUUUCCUGGGAAGGAUCAUAGCAUAGUAUACGGUUAUCUGUGAGCCAAUCUUUAAAAUGUUGAAGAAUGAUGCCGCUACUGAAUGGACCGAUGACUGCCAAAAGGCUGUCGACAAAAUCAAGGGGUACUUGUCAACACCACCAAUCUUAGUCCCGCCCGAGCUAGGUAGACCCUUAUUACUCUACCUUGCAAUAUUAGAUGGAGCUUUUGGCUGCAUUCUAGGGCAGCAUGAUGAAACAGGGAGGAAGGAACAAGCCAUUUAUUAUCUCAGUAAGAAGUUCACCCCGUAUGAGGACCGAUAUUCUCUAUUGGAACGCACCUAUUGUGCUUUGACUUGGGUAGCUCAGAAGCUGAGACAUUACUUCUGUGCCUAUACCACAUAUCUCAUAUCGAGAAUGGAUCCUUUGAAGUACAUCUUUCAGAAGCCCAUGCCUACCAACAAGCUAGCCAAGUGGAAAAUCCUGUUGAGUGAGUUUGACAUUGUUUACGUAACUCAGAAAGCAGUCGAGGGACAGACACUGGCAAACCACCUUGCUGAAUACCCCAUGGAUGGAGGAUACGAACCCAUGAAAAUGUAUUUUCCUGGUGAAGAGGUAUCAUUCAUAGGAGAAGACAUUGUAGAAUCCCAUGAUGGUUGGAGAAUGUUUUUUGAUGGAGCAACAAACUUCAAAGGAGUUGGCAUAGGAGCAGUCCUUGUAUCAGUAACCAGUCAGCAUUAUCCGGUGUCUGCCAAACUCAGGUUCCCAUGAACCAACAAUAUGGCCGAGUAUGAAACCUACAUCUUAGGACUCAAAAUGGCCAUUGACAUGAACGUUCAAGAGCUGUUAGUAAUAGGAGAUUCAGACUUACUUAUAAUCAGGUAUGAGAAGAAUGGGUAACCAAGAACUCCAAGAUACUCCCGUAUCUGCAUCAUGUAGAGGAGUUGAGAAAGAGGUUCACAAAGACGGAAUUCCAACAUAUUCCCAGAAUCCAGAAUGAGUUCGCCGAUGCAUUGGCUACCCUAUCAUCUAUGAAACAACAUCCAGACAAGAAUUUCAUUGAUCCCAUUCCAGUGAAAAUCCAUAAUCAACUAGCUUACUUUUCCCAUGUCGAAGAGGAAGUAGACGGAAAGCCUUGGUUUCAUGAUAUCAAGGAAUAUUUGGCAAAAGGAGAGUACACGGAGCUUGCUAAUCCUAUUUAAAAAUGCACACUUUAGAGAUUGUCCAACAUAUUCUUUCACAGCGGAGGAAUCCUGUAUAGGAGGACCCCUAAUUUAGGAUUAUUAAGAUGUGUCGACGCAAAGGAAGAAUCCAAGCUGCUAGAGGAGAUUCAUGUGGGGACUUGCGGUCCACAUAUGAACGGUUUUUACUUAUCAAAGAAGAUACUCUGGGUUGGUUACUUUUGGAUGACUAUGAAAACAGACUACAUCCAGUAUGUUCGGAAAUUCCAUCGCUAUUAGAUUCAUGCAAACAUGAUAAAGGUACCUCCGAGCGAGCUCAACAUAACCAGCUCACCAUGGUCGUUCGCUGCCUGGGUAAUGGACGUUAUUGGACCAAUCGAGCAUGCCGCUUCCAACGGACACACGUUUAUCCUAGUAUCCAUCGACUAUUUCACCAAAUGGGUCGAAGGAACAUCUUACAGAGUAGUAACUAAGAAAGUCGUGGCAGACUUUGUCCGCGACCGCAUUGUUUGUCGAUUCAGGAUUCUGGAGUCAAUCAUUACUGAUAACGGCUCCAACCUCUACAAUGACUUGAUGAAAUCUAUGUGUGAGACUUUCAAGAUCAGACACAAGAAUUCCACAGCCUACAGGCCUCAGAUGAAUGUAGCUUUAGAAGCCGCCAACAAGAAUAUCAAGAAGAUAUGAUAGAAAGGCAUAAACAGUGGCACGAGAAGUUAUCAUUUGCUCUAUUGGGGUAUUGCACCACGAUCCGCACAUCAACCGGGGCAACCCCCUAUAUGCUGGUUUAUGGUACAGAGGUUGUCAUUCUAGCUGAAGUAGAAAUUCCUUCCCUAAGGAUCAUACAGGAAGUUGAGCUCGACGAUGCAUAGUGGGUGAAGAGUUGUUAUGAGCAACUAGCCCUUAUAGACGGAAAGAGAAUGAAUGAAGUUUUCCAUGGCCAACUCUAUCAGAACAGAAUGUCCAGACACUUCAACAAGAGAGUCAAGCCAAGACAGUUCACACCGGGGCAGCUGUUGCUAAAGAAAAUUUUUCUGCAUCAAGAUGAAGCCAAAGGGAAGUUCUCUCCUAACUGGCAGGGUCCAUACAUGGUUCAUCGAGUUCUGAUAGGAGGAGCCCUCAUACUUGCAGAAUUGGAUGGAGAAGUCUGGCCAAAACCGAUUAAUUCAUAUGCAGUCAAGCGUUACUAUGUGUAAUCUUUAUGCUUUCUUUAUAUGAUGUAAAUUGAAUUAUGCCUGACCUGAUUCCCGCUUAGGAGGGGAUAUAUAGGUAGCCCCAUAGAUUCAGUCACAACAUAAUUAAAAUUCCAUCCCCCCCCCCCCACCCGCAAUUAGGAACUGGGGCAAAAUUUUGAGGAGGACUCUCAAAAUUCCGAAGUAAGUCGAUCGCCGCACGAGCAACAGUUAGAAACGUCAACCCAUCAAAUUGGGGCAGAAUUUUAAGGAGGACCCUCAAAAUUCCGUUAGCAACAGAGGUCGCAGUCAUCAGUUCAUCUAAAAAUUAUUUUAAUUAUACACUUAUGCCAUAUCUUUACAAAAUCAUACAUGUUUAUUAUUGAAACUACUUUGUUUAGCAAUGCUACCCCAAGGAUACAAACAAUAUCACCAGAUCAAAGCCGUACGAGUCAAGCAAAGCUAGCAGGGAUACGAACUAACCUUCCCCCCCUUACAAAACUUACGAUUUUUUGCUUUGGAUGCAGGCACUAGGAUUGCGAAAUCAUUAAACAUACUGUACGCCCAUGGAAUAAAUAUUGUUCAAGAGUACAACUCUCCGAACCGUUGCACUUGCCAACAUUUGCUAUCAGCACACACGAAUAAUGCCCCGUAGUCACAAUGCUCCCAGUAAUCACAAUGCCGUGAUCUGCUAUUAGCUAAGAAAGCUCUACUAUCAUUCGUUAUUUUAUUUUCUUGCAUAAGGCUACCAUUCUGCCUUCCGAGACUAAAUGAUGUCUCCAUCUGCAUCUGCAUUGCAUAAGGCUACUAUUUUGCCUUCCAAUCUGCAUAAGGCUACCAUUCUACCUUCCGAGGUUAAGCUCUACCUCCAUCUGCAUUUCUGCAUCGCAUAAGGCUACUAUUCUGCCUUCAAAUCUGCAUAAGGCUAUCAUUCUGCCUUCCGAGACUAAAUGUUGUCUCUAUCUGCAUUUAUGCAUCGCAUAAGGCUACCAUUCUGCCUUCCGAGGUUAACCUCUACCUCCAUUUGCAUUCACAUCUUUGCAUAAGGCUAUCAUUCUGCCUUCCAAGGCUAAGCUUUGCCUCCAGUUUUCUUCGAAAUUAAGCGCCAUCUCCAAGCACUAUUUAUUUCUGUUUUCCUAAGCUCUACCUUUCAAAUCGCAAGACUGAGCUCUAUCUUGUCCACAUCAUACUACUUCAUCUUUCAUGGGCUGAAAUAUCGCCAAUUCAUCCAAAGGCAUCAUCCUUCGGAUGCACCAUCUUCAUAGCCCGAGAACCCCAUGUCAUGGCCUGAGGAUCUCUUUCAAUCUUUUGCAUAUCAUUAUUCAAAGGCAUCAUGGUUCGGAGGCACCAUCCUCAUAGCCCGAGAGCAUCAUUUCAUGGCCUGUGAAUCCUUUGUCAUACGCUUCAUGGCCCAGGACAUCAUGGUCUAAAGAUAUCAUCCUAACCAUCCAAAGACAACAUUCAUGGUCCGACGGGAAUUUGCAUCAUGUUUAAAUUUAUGCACAAUAUACGCUUGUAUUAUUUCUAAUUGCAGGUAAACCAGUGAGCAACGGCCAUCCGGAAGUAGUGGUCCCACUCUGGUUCCCCUAAAACAUGUCAAACCUAACCAGUCCUGUAAACCGUUCACUCACCCAGCCCAAGAUAUUGCGUCCGUUCUAGAAAGGUCUUCAUCGGUAUACUCUGUCGUUGGAUCCUGAACUAUAUACGGACUGAUUCCUGUAAAACCAAGGAUAUGUAUGCAGCUCAGAAGCUAGGGCGCGACAUAACCUCUUCAAACCAUUUCGCUCGGUCAAAAUUGACUAUCAUUUCUUUACCCGAAAACUCUUUCAUCCUUAUUCACGAGUAAAGAGGGGCAGCUGUUGAUACCCAAUUUUUUCCUAUAUAUUUUCAAUAUGAAAAAUGACUUCAAAAUAGCAUAUAUAUGCAUAUAUAAUCAUGUCAAGUGUUUUAUUAUUUUUCCCAUAUUUUUUAAAGUUUUUAAAUUGAUUUAUUUCCAUUUGUUAUCAAUAAAAUCCCAAUAAUUAUUUCCAAAAUUAUUAUUUUGAUAAUUCAUUUAUUGGAUUUUUAUAUUUAUGAAAAAAUAUGGACAAGGUAAUUUUACAUAUUUUUUACAAUUUUAUUUAGUAUUUUUAAAGCUAAAUUACAUAUAAUUGCAAUACUAGCCCUUUAUAAGGUUUAAUUAGGUUUUAUAUAUUAAAAUUGGGUCCUGUAUUUUUAAAUUGUUAGUUAUGUGUUAUAUAUCAUUUUAGCCCUUUCAAUUUAGUUUUCACAAACUAUUUACUAUUUUUAUAAAUUAAAAAGGAAAAACUGGCUAUUUAAAUAACAACCCCUUUUGUAUUACAAUUCUAGCCCAAAUUGGACCCCAAUUCCCCCAGCCCAGUUUUAAUUCUAACCUGACCCUAACCCUUUUUAACCCUACCCAAACCCGGAUCCCCACCUACCCCAUUUAAUCUAUGUCGUUGAUCAUUCAAAUCAACGACCACUAUUCCACCUGCCCAAAAUAAACCUAAACGACCCCCUUAACCUAAUUCAUUUCUACCAACCCGUUGCCCUUGAAUCCCUCUCCUCUCAAACCCACUCUGAAACCUAAGGUUAUCCCUAGCCGCCGCCACCCAAAUCCACCCUAAACCCCUUCAGCCCCCACCCAAUCCAUGGACUCCCAUGGCUGUUUGAGACGUGUACUUGUCUCCUAUGUCCCAUGGUGGCCCGCUUGUGUGAUUUCAUGGACAAAUCUCGAAGAGAUCUGGUCCAGUCCUUGCUCAACUCCUAUCCAUGGCCUCUUUCCAGCCAUCCAUGGUUGUUCGAGUCAGAUCUUUGACUUUUCCAGCUAGAUCGGUACCCUUUCGAAGUCUUUCUCAUCUUUCUGGGUUCUCCGAAACCCUAACUUCAAAGGCUUUCUAAUUUUCUUUCAGAUAUGUCUUAGAUCUAUGUAUGUUAUGAACCUUUCAAGUGUUCUCCUUAAAGGUUUUCCGAUUUUUUCAAAAUGACUCUUCGUCUUUAAUGAUUAGGGUUUCUCAACCUCUUUUAAAAGAUCUCUUCUCCAAUUUUCCGUGUUGUUUUAUGAUUUUACUUUGUUUAAAUGAUUUGUUCAUGUUUUUCUUCUACUUGGUUCAUCGUGUUAAAACCCUAGGUAUUUUUAGUUUUAUCCAGGUUCUGAAGCUGUCUUUGUUUAUUUGAUUUGUAUGUAUACCUGUUUCGAUUGAGUUCUUUUUGUUUAGAUCAUUUUCAUUGUUUAUCUUAACUGAUUUUGAGUUCUCACCGCUUUUUUAACUCAACUUUGUUAAAACCCUAAUUUCUUAAAAGGUUUUCCUCACUCAUUACUGCAAAAUUUAAAGGGUUCUUUACUUGUUUCUGACCUUCUUACCUGUUGGUUUGGUUUUUCACUCUGGUUCUAUGUGACUACUUGACUUUGUUAACUACCAUGCUUCGAGUAGGUUCUUUUACUACUGAGUCCUAGCCGACUCCUGCUACUACUGCAUGUUUGUGUUGCUUCUUUUGUCAAUAUGGUUGGUCUUGCAUGUCUGAUACUCUUGUUCAUUCUUCUCUAUUUAUAUGGCAAAGUGCAGAAUCAUGAUUCUUUCUUGAUUGAUCUUGAUUUCCUCAAGUUACGACUGACUGCAAAGGUUUUCUUAUAAACCCCUAAUUCUACCGGUUUGUUUGAGUUGAUUGAUUCCUUUUCUUUAUUUGUUGUGAUGUUGUACCCCUGCUGAAUCCCUUCCCCAAUUAAGUAUAUUUUAUACUUAGACUCAAUUAUUUACUCUAUACUUUUAAUAUCCCAUAUAUGGUCAGAAAUCAAUCUUUCUCAAAUUGGUUUUCUUUCCUUAAUUAUUCAUGUCAGUAUCCGUUUGAACAUUAAUUCCUUGAUUAAAGGAAAUGACUUGUAUUAAUUGAUUCUGAUUGUGAUUAUUUCCAUGUUUGUAUUAAAAAUUUACUUGUUACCUUAUUUACUACUCGUUUUCAAAACUAUAAAUACCCCACCCUCUCUUCUCUAAGGACAAGAACAACUGAGUUCAAAAACACACUUACACAUUAAAAUUCUCUUCCUUUCUCUACUACUUUUGCCACUGCCUUGUCAAGCCGAUUGAAAGCCAAGGCUAGACUUUGGAACUCUGAUUGCUUUACUUUUUCCGCACUUUGCUCCUUCAACUGGUAUGUUCCUAGUUUAAAUUCUGAAACCCAAACCUAUGUGUUCCCUUGUUGUCAAUCACUGUCUUUUUCUAACUUAAUGGCUCAUGCUGUUGAGUUGUACUAUUUGUUUUUUCCUUUACUCAGCAUGCUUAAAAUUCUGCCUUUCUUUAAAUGUGAUCAGCAUAUUUACUUGUUCAUGUUUAUGUCCUUCAACUAGCAUGUCUAUAAUGUACCUAAUCCUUGACUAAUUGUUUGUUUCUGAUUUGGGUCCUCUAUGUCCCCAACCCCCAUUCCCUGUCCGUAAUUGCUGAAGCAUGUAAUUCUCUCUGAACUGGUUCUGUGUGUAUUGUUGUUGCUCCUACUCCAUUUCCCUUUUCAAAAAACUGUUUCAUUAGGCAAUUCUAAUGAUGUUUUACAAACUCACUUCAAACAUAUUAUUUCUAAAACUAUUUUCCAACUCAACUCCUUUGAGUAUAUGUCCAUCACUUUCACAUGAAUUCUUAGAUCAUUAGAUUCUGCCCCUCUUGUGUGAGCCUUGCUUUGGGACCCUUGAGCUCCCUAUGAACCUGGACACAUAAGGGUAGGCUCUUCCACACUGCACUUACUCUUGGUUAUGCAAUCUGGGUGUGACCACUGCCCGAAAUCCCUUGAGGUCCUUAGGGAACUCUGACACACCCAUGUAUGAGAAUGGCUUUGGAACAAUAUUGACAUUUGAAGUGGUUUAUUACAUAACUCAGAGAGGAAGUCAAGAUCAUACUUCCUAUGGUUGUAAUUUCUUAUUUUUGCAUUUUUUUAUGUAAUUUAAUCAUUUGGGAUAUAAUAAUUUGUAAACAACUCUGGGAUGGAUAGUGGAAAGGAAAAGGGUGACUAUGUAUGCUUUAGCUAUCAAAAGGGUAGAAAACAUGUUAUUAUGUUUAUAUCCUACUUGCACAAUAGAAACCAUGCUUAGGACUCAUUUCAUGCAUUAGAGAUCAUGUUCCUUAGGACUUAUGCUUACUGUUUUCAGCAUGUCCAUUUCACUAUCGCAUCACUUAGAAAAUCCUGCGUUAAAUGUCUUAAUAACCAUUGUUUCUGUGAUCAUGUUCUUACUGCCAUGCACACUUAGAGAUCCUAUCUUAGGCUAAACAACACUAACAAACUUAUCAUCUCUGCAUAUUCUGGUAAUCAUGUUUAAACGCUAUAAUAUUUGUGCAUAUAGAAAUCCUGUUUAGGAUUCUGCAUCAUUCUACAUAUCUGUACAUUAGAUACCAUGUCUUUAGGAUUUCACUUAUAUUCGCUUAAGCAAGCUUAGGCUAACAAUGAAUAAAACAAUUUUACUCAGUUUUAUAAUCAAUGGCAAUAAUUCUAUGUGUUGAACACCUAGAACAACAUGUUUUAGGUAAUAAUAGCUCCAAAUUGUCUCAGCAAUCCUGAAUAAUUACUGAAUAUUGCUUAUGCCUAGGCAAGCCUUAGUUAAUUACUUAAAUAAAACUAAAACUACCUCUGUUUAAUUCUUAACUGCUACAACCAGCAGGCAGGCCUGAUUCAGACUUCUUUUCUGCGUUAUAUAAUGAAUCUGGUUCUGACUUAAACACCCUGCUUAGGAUUUUUAAAUUCAGACCUCAACUGUGUAUAAGUAAUGCUAUCUAUGUGCAUUCUUUGUGGAGGUAUAAUUGAGCCUUCUACUUGCUUAUAUGUUCCCCCCUAAUUGCAGUCUUAUAUGCUUUUGUAUGUCGCCUUAGUAUUUUUCCUUUAAACCUGAGAAUCUUCCUAGAACCCCCUCCUUAUAGGAAUAGUAGUCCUAAAAUUCCUCCGGGACUGAUAGAAAGGGACGGGUUCACCGAUUGGUGACCUGAUCCCGCUAAACAAGAACUGCUACCAACACCGACUCUAUCUUAACGACCGGUUUGCCCCUGGACAUUCCGCUAAGUCUAGCUGACAAGUUUCCUUUCUUCACUCUGUAAACAAAACAAGCCCUUAGUCAAGAGAUUAGGAUGCGAGGAAAGGGAAAGAAGGUGAUAAGCAAGAAGAGGAAAGAAGAAUGUUAAAGAAGUCCCUAUAAGUACUUCACUUAGUCUUUCUAUAAUCUUUGUUCCCCUCUUCCCUCAAAGCGUGCUCUAUCAUCCAUACACAUGGUUCUUUCUCCUUUGAGGGAUUGGAAACCGUCUCUCCUUCUUAUUGAUAGCAUUGAUCUCAGCCCUCGCUGGGCAAGUUCACUCUUUCUGCUGUUGUUCCGGGGAAAGAAGUCGAAUUUGGGAAGGUGUGGAUCCUCGAUUCGAGUUUUGAAAUGGAGUUUCGAUUUGGUGAGCAGGAAAAAGCGGAACAGAAGAAAAUGAGUCUCGUACAAAGGGUUGGAAAGAAGGCUUUUACCUUAUUUUAGGUGGGUUAAUGCGGACAAUGAAAAGACAGAAAGGAGCGAAUGAUGCCAACCAACUCGACAAAGACAUUCAAAUAUGAAAAAGAUAAAUAAAGACAUGUUAAGCUUGUGUUUUCCCAGCCGACUCGCACAUGACCGUCUUUUUUUUGAUUGAAGAGUGGACAUUGAGAUGUGCAUACAAAGCAUAGGCUAGACAAGUGGUACACUAAACACCAACCCAAUCGUGAGAUUAUAAAUCAAGACGAAAGGUCGGAUGUACUUGUUUAGGUCAGGUCUACUUUUGGUCAUUCUUCUCUCUGAAAAAUAGAAUAUUGCUCAAAGAAAGAUGCCUAACCGCCGCACCAAUCAUUCGGGGGGAGGCGGGACACUACGAGGUGGGUAGUUUAUUUGGGGUGGAUGCCUCCUAAAGAGUAACGAAGGUAUGCGAAAGUAGGCUCAAGCUAAGAUUCUGCUCGUGAGCGUAAUGGUAUGAGCCUGCCUGACUGUGAGAUCGACUGGUCGAACAGAGAAGAAAGUCGGCCAUAGUGAUCCGGGAGUCCCGUGUGGAAGGGCUCUCACUCUAUAGAUCAAAGGUACACCGGGGAUAAUAGGUUGAUGACUCCCAAGAGCUCUUAUCAAUGGAUUCGUUUGGCACCUGACCAAGUCAGCUCACUUCCUGCCGAUCAGUAUGACUUACUCUACGGGCAAGCUAUCCCAGAUAUAUAUUGAUGAGAUAAUGGCAGCAUGCAAUAAUAGUCGAGACCAACCAUCUCUCUAUUACUUAAGCCUUACAUGGUUAUUUGCUAAUUGCACAAAUUCACAAAAACUGUCUGGCCGGGAACCACACUAGUGGAUCCUGAAAGGUGCCUAAUACCUUCCCCUUAGGAUAAUUUCAAGCCCUUACCCUAUCUCUGGUUAUCCAAACAUAGUUGUAGUUGAACCUUAUAGGUGCCCUAACGCACCUUAAAAUCAUUAGGUGGCGACUUUUCAAACACCAAUUCCCAAAAGGAAAUGAGUCAUCACACCUCAUAAAUGUCGAAACCUAGACUCCUCUCCACUAGAAGGGGAUAAAGAGGGGCGCGACAGCAACACUAGAACCAAUAUGGUAGUCACUGUAUUGAGAUUCUGAAAGCUCGCCUCACAAUCAUCAGACCAACGAAACGGAGCACCCUUCUGGGUCAAUCUAGUCAAAGGUGCUACAAUGGAUGAGAAGCCUUCCACAAACCAGCGAUAAUAACCUGCUAACCUUAAGAAGCUCCCCAUCUCAGUCACCGAAGUGGGACGAGGCCAACUCUGAACUACCUCAAUAUUCUUUGGAUCCACCUUAAUACCCUCGCCUGAUACAACAUGCCCCAAGAAUGCUACAGAAUCUAUCCAAAACUCACACUUGGAGAACUUAGAAUAUAGCUUAUGCUCCCGCAAUGUUUGAAGCACCACUCUCAAAUGCUGCUCGUGCUCCUCAAUGCUACGCGAGUAGAUCAAAAUGUCAUCAAUGAAGACAAUGACAAACGAAUCAAUGUAUGGCCUGAAUGCCCUGUUCAUCAAAUCCAUAAUGUCGUUGCGGUCAAGCCGAAGGAUACCACUAGAAACUUAUAAUGGCCAUAUCUAGUACGAAAAGCAAUCUUCGGAACAUCAGAUUCCCGAAUCUUCAACUGAUGGUACCCCAAUAUCAAGUCAAUCUUAGAGAACACCCAAGCACCCUGCAACUAGUCAAACAAAUCAUCAAUACGCGGCAACAGGUACUUGUUCUUGAUGGUAACUUUAUUCAACUGGCAGUAAUCAAUGCACAUCCUUAUAGUCCCAUCUUUCUUCUUCACGAAUAACACUGGUGCACCCCAAGGUGACACACUUGGUCUGACGAACCCCUUUUCUAGCAACUCCUCAAGCUGCUCUUUCAACUCCUUCAACUCUUUCGGAGCCAUGCAGUACGGUAGGAUAGAUAUAGGGUGGGUACCUAGAGCCAAGUCAAUACAGAAAUCGAUAUGACAAUCUGGUGGCAUACCUGGAAGGUCAGAAGGAAACACAUUGGCGAACUCUUGGACUACGGGCACUGAAUUAAUCAUUGGAGUCUCUGCGGUGGUAUCUCGAACAUAAGCUAGAUAAGACAAAUACCACUUCUCGACCAAAUGUCGAGCCUUCAGAAAAGAGAUAACCCGACUAGAUGUACUAACAAACGAACCAUUCCACUCCAAUCUAGGCAACUCUAACAUCACUAAGGUAAUCGUCUUGGCAUGGCAAUCAGGAUGUCGUGAUAUGGGGAUAGCCAAUCCAUGCCCAGGAUGACCUCAAAGUCGAUCAUAUCAAGAAAUAAAAGAUCUGCUCUAGUCUCGUAACCACAAAAUAUGACCACAUAGGACCGAUAGAUCCGAUCCACAACAACCGAAUCGCCCACAAGGAGUGGAAACAUAAAUAGGAGUACCCAAGGACUCACGAGGAAUAUCCAGGAAAUGAGCAAACAGAGAUGACACAUAUGAAUAGGUAGACCCUGGAUCAAAUAAUACCAAAGCAUCCCUACUAUAGACAGAAAUAAUACCUGUGAUCAUGACAUCUGAGGCCACUAUAUAUGGUCUGGCCGGAAAAGCAUAGAACCUAGUUAGACCAUCGACUAGCGGGCCUCUGCCUGAUUGAAAAAUAGUUGCCUGACCUCCCCCUGCCUAACCUCCACCUCUAGGAUGACCCCUACCCGCUUGCCCUCUGCCUCUUAGCGGUCGGACAGCUGGUGUUGUAAUCAUGGGCUGAUGGCCCUACUGUACUGCCUUGCCUUGAAGUGUUGUAAUUAUGAAUCUGAUGCUCAUAAUGCACCUCAUGACAUAUAUAUGUCUUGUUACAACUCUUGCAAUACCGCUACGACAGAAGAGAUGUGUAGAAAUUCAUAACCAAAUGGCAAGUCAACAAAUCAUUGAAUCUCUCCUCUUGACUAGAAUCAUCACCCCAUUAUGAACCAAAUAAUGGUAUUUGCUCUUAAAUAUGCUUCAUAUAAUCUGAUCGCACUGAUCCCAGAUCCAAUAAUCUCAUCUCACCCAAUACAAGCUGCUCAGGGAAUAAGCCACUUCAGACAUGACCAAACGUCUCAUAUGAUGCCACAAUGUGCUAAUAAGCUACCAACUCGAAUGUGAUACAUAAGGAAAAUGAACUCUGGAAAAGACUACACAACCCACGUAACUAAUUAGACAACCAAAAAGGUGUUAUGAACCUUUCUUGGAAAAUGUGAAACAAAACACACAAGAAUAGAUAUAGGGGAUUGUACUCAACAGCAGAUUGUUGCGGCAUGCAACCCAAUCAACAUAUAAUACCGUUGUGGCGUGCAACCCGAUACAAGAACAUACCCAUGGUGGCGUGCCACCCGAUUCACCCAAAAAAUCUGUAUAAGGAGAUAAUUACCGAGGUAGAAUGUUCAUUACUACAAUAUACCCGAAUAUCAGCCAUAAGCAUGCCAAGUGCAUAAUACCAUUCCUAGGGAGACAGAUAGCACCAUACGCAAAACUCAAGCACAACUAAGGUGCAAUAUAUGAUCUGAAUCUCGAGAGCCAUCCUGCUUACAUAACACCAUCGCUACAUGGAACCUCAACACAUAUGAAAUUUAUCAAGUCGUUUCACAACUCAUACGGCACAAUAUAGUAUUACAUGAAAUAGCCGACGAUGAAACAACAUCCAACAUUGGAAUACUCCUCAGUAAGGAGUGCUAUGCUAAAAUGAAUACAUCCGGCUUGAUAACGAACCUACUCCAACUUCCAAAAAUUCAAUCCGACCCGAUAUCAAAAAGCCCACUCCCGGUCAAACUUUCCAAAUUUCCAACUUUCGGCAUUUCAAGUCUAAUUCUACUACAUACCUCCAAAAUACAAUCCGGAUGCGCUCCUAAGUCCAGAAUCAACUAGCAGAGCUAACGAAACCAUCAAAAUUCAAAUCAGAGGUCAUUUACACAUAAGUCAAUCCGAUCAAAUUUUCCAGCUUAAGCUUUCAAAUAAGAGACUAAGUGUCUCAAUUCACUCCAAAAUCUUGCCAGACCCAAACCAAAUAAUUCGGUAAGUCAUAAUACAGUUGUAGAAUACAAAAGAAAUAGAAAAUGGGGGUACAGGGCUACAACUCUCGAAACGACCGGCCGGGUCAUUAUAUCCUCCCCCUCUUAAAUAAAUGUUCGCCCUCGAACAGGUUUAGAAACGUACCUGGAGCGUUAAAUAGUUGUGGAUAACUAUUUUGCAUCUCCCGCUUGGUCUCCCAAGUAGCCUCCCCCAUGGACUGACCUCUCCACUGCACUUUAACUGAAGUUAUUUCUUUGACCUCAACUUCCGAACCUACCACCCAAAAUAGCCAUUGGCUCCACAUCAUAAGUCAAAUCACCAUCCAACUGAACCGCGUUGAAAUCCAAAACAUGAAAUGGAUCUCCAAUAAAGUUUCGGAGCAUAGAAACAUGGAAUACUGGAUGGGCACUCGACAAGCUAGGUGGCAAGGCAAGCUUGUAAGCCACAUCCCCAAUCCUCUAAAUUACCUCAAAAGGCCCAAUGAACGGAGGUGUCAACUUGCCCUUCUUCCCAAACCUCAUAACACCCUUCAUGGGUGAAACCUUCAGAAGAACCUUCUCCCCAACCACGUAAGACAUAUCAAGAACCUUCCUAUUAGCAUAACUCUUUUGUCUUGACUGCACCGUGCGAAGUCGCUCUUGAAUGAAUUUAACCUUGUCCAAAGUACCCUGAACCAAAUCAGUGCCCAAUAGCCUAGCCUUGCCUGGCUCAAACCAACCCACCAGAGAUCUACAUUGCCUCCCAUAUAAACCCUCAUACAGAGCCAUCUAAAUACUAGACUGAUAACUGUUGUUGUAAGAAAACUCCGCGAGCAGCAGAAACUGGUCCCAUGAACCCCCAAAAUCAAUGACACAAGCACGUAGCAUGUCCUCUAAUAUCUGAAUAGUGCGCUAGGACUAUCCAUCCGUUUGAGGGUGAAAUAUUGUGCUCAACUUAACCUGAGUGCCCAACUCUCAUAGUAGGACUCUCCAAAACCGCGAUAUAAACUGCGUGCCUCUAUCUGAAAUGAUGGAAACUGGCACACCGUGCAGGCUAACAAUCUCUCUGACGUAAAUCUCAGCCAACCUAUCUAAAGAAUAGGCAGUAAUCACAAGAAUGAAGUGCGCGGACUUGGUCAGCCGAUCCACAAUCAUCCAAAUAGCAUCAAACUUCCUCGAAGUCCGUUGGAUCCCAAAUACAAAAUCCAUGGUGAUCCACUACCACUUCCACUCUAGAAUCUCUAUCUUCUGAAGUACCCCCCGGUCUCUAAUGCUCAUAUUUUACCUGCUGACAGUUGAGACACCGAGCUACAAACCCAACUAUAUCCUUCUUUAUUCUCCUCUUGCAAUAGUUUUGUCUCAAAUCCUGGUACAUCUUCGCGGCACCCGGAUGGAUGGAAUAUCGCUAGCUGUGGGCCUCCUUAAGAAUCAACUCCCAUAACCCAUCUACAUUGGGCACACAUAUCCGACCCUGCAUCCUAAACACCCCAUCAUCUCCAAUAGUCAUAUCUCUGGAAUCACCGUGCUGAACUUUGUCUUUGAGACCAAGCAAAUGAGGAUCAUCAUACUAGCACUCUCUGAUGCAAUAAAAUAAGGAAGAUCGAGAAACCACACAAGCUAGAGCCCAACUGGGUUACGAAAUAUCCAGUCUCACAAACUGGUUAGCCAAAGCCUGAAUAUAAACUACAAGAUGUCUCUCCCCAACAGGAAUGAAUGCAAGACUUCCCAUACUCACCUUCCUACUCAAGGCAUCGAGCACCAUAUUAGCCUUUCCUGGAUGAUAUAGAAUAGUAAUAUCAUAGUCAUUUAGCAGCUUUAGCAGCCCCAACCAUCUCCGCUACCUCAAAUUGAGAUCCUUCUAUUUGAACAAGUGCUGGAGGCUACGAUGAUUAGUAAAUAACUCACAAGACACACCAUAGAGAUAGUAAAUCCAAAUCUUCAAUGUGUGAACAAUGUCAGCUAACUCCUAAUUAUGAACAUGGUAGUUCUUAUCAUAAGGCUUCAACUGAUGCGAAGCAUAAGCAAUCACCCUACCCUCCUGCAUCAAAACUCAUCCAAUAUCGAUAUGAGAAGCAACACAAUAUACAAUAUAAGAACAAGAAGCUGAUGGUAGAACUAGAAUUGGAGUUGUGCUCAAGGCAGCCUUGAGCUUCUGAAAGCUCGCCUCACACUCAUCUGACCACUUGAAAGGGAGAUGCAAUAUAUGAGAAACCCUGCAUGAACUGACGAUAAUAACCAGCCAAACUAAGAAAGCUCUGAAUCUCUGCAGCUGAGGAUGGUUUGGGCCAACUCUGAACUGCCUCUAUUUUCUUCCAAUCUACCUGAAUACCCUCACUAGACACCACGUGACCCAAGACCACUACGAAACUGAGCAAAAACUGACACUUGGAGAACAUAACAUAGGGUUUCUCCUCCCUCAAUCACUGCAAUACAACCCUCAAAUGCUAAUGCUCCUCCUAGCUACGAGAGUACACCAGAAUAUCAUCAAUCAACACAAUAACGAACGAGUCAAAAUAAGGCCGAAACGUGUUGUUCAUUAGAUGCAUAAACGCUACUAGGGCAUUGGUUAGCCCAAAAGACAUCACAAGGAACUCAUAAUGACCAUACCGGGUCCUAAAAGUUGUUUUAAAAAUGUUUGAGUCCCGAAUCUUCAGCUAGUGAUACCCAGACCUCAACUCGAUCUUGGAGAACACUCGCGCUACCUAAAGCUAGUCAAAUAGAUCAUUAAUACGAGGCAAAGGAUACUUGUUUUUGAUUGUGACUUUGUUCAAGUGCUUGUAAUCAAUGCACAUUCUCAUAGUACCAUCCUUAUUCUUCACAUAUAGAACCGGUGCACCCCAAGGUGACAUGCUAGGGCGUAUAAACCCCUUAUUAAGGAGUUUCUGAAGUUUCCCCUUAAAUUCGUUCAACUCCGCCGCUGCCAUACGAUAUAGUGGAAUAGAAAUGGGCUCAGUGCCCAGCACCAAAUCAAUACUAAAGUCAAUAUCCCUGUCCGGUGGCAUGCUUAGUAGUUCUGUAGGAAUCACAUCCAGAAAAUCUCGCACCACCGGAACAGAAUCAAUGGUAGGGGUCUCUGUACUAAAAUCCCUUACAAAGACAAUCCUUCGCAACCAUCCGCUAGGCCUUCAAGUAUGAAAUCAGUCUACUGGGAACAUAGUCCAAAGAACCUCGCCACUCAAUCUGUGGCAAACCCAGCAUUGCCAAUGUCACAGUCUUAGUAUGACUGUCCAGAAUAGCAUGACAUGGAGAUAGCCAAUCCAUACCCAAUAUCACACCAAAAUCAACCAUACUAAGCAACAACAAAUCAACUCUAGUCUCUAAUCCCCCAAUAGUCACUACACUCGACCGGUAUAUGCAAUCCACAAUAAUCGUAUCGCCCACCGAUGUAGAUACAUGAAUAGAUAAAACUAUAGACUCACGAGGCAUGUUCAGAUAAUGAGCAAAAUACGACGAAACAUAUGAAUAGGUGGAACUAGGGUCAAAUAAUACAGAAGCAUCUCGAUGACAUAAUGAGAUAAUACCUAUGGUCACUGUGUCUAAAGUAAUGGCAUCUGGUCUGGUAGGGACUGCAUAGAACAGUUUUGGUCACCACCUGAUUUGUCUCCCCUUCUAGGAACACCCCUAGCUGGCUGAGCUCCACCCUAAGAUGGCAGGGCGGGCGGUGAAGAAACUGGCGUUGAAGUUGAAGGUUGACUCCUCUGUUGAGAUGAACCUCCCGUAAGGUGGGGAUAGUACCUCUUGAUAUGACCCAAAUCUCCGCAAUCAAAGUAACCUCUCCCAACAAAUGGAGGUGGGUACUGAAGGGAGCCUCGAGCACCUGGAUAAUCGCUAGAAGGACCCGACAUAGACGGACCCUGUGCUAAUGGUGCAUGAGAUGAACUCUGAGUUGGAAGGGCACUGAGAGAUGAGUGACCUUGCUGAGAACUGUGGGUACCAUGACCAAAAGAUGCACCUCAGUGAACUGGUCGGGUCGUCUACGCAUGCCUAUAGGGACGACCCAUGCCAUGCUGGAACUGACCUCCAGAAGGAACACCACCAAAACUACCUGAUCCACGAGGCCUCUUGGCUUCCCUCUCAACUCGCUUUUGGUGACAAAUCGACUCUAUUUCCCAAGUAAUGUCAACCACCUCCUCAAAAGUAGCACCAGUCACCCUCUCUCUAGUCAUAAGCACCCAUAACUGAAAUAUGAGGCCAUCAACGAACCUCCCGAUCCUGUCUCUAUCUGUGGGAACCUACCAAAGAGCAUGACGAGCUAACUUAGAAAAUCUCAUUUCGUACUGCAUCACAGUCAUAUCAUCCUAAUGCAACUGCUCGAACUGUCUACGUAGCUCCCUCUACGAGACUGCGGCACAUACUUCUCCAAGAAGAGAAUAGAGAACUCCUGCAAUAUAAGUGGUAUUCCACCAACUAGCUUACGCCUCUCAUAAGCCUCUUACUAAGUGAAGGCAGCUUCAGUGAAUUGAAAAGAAGUGAACAAGACCCCACUGAUCUCCAGAAAACCCAUUGUACGGAGGAUCUUUUGACAUCUGUCCAAGAAACCCUGGGCAUCAUCUCCCUUUGCACCGCUGAAAAGUGGAGGCUAGAGCCUCCCAAACCUCUCCAAUCUACGCUGCUCAUCAUCAGGCAUGACAGGAACCACAUAGUCUCGGGCACCUGCAACUGAUUGGGCUAGUGGUACCCAUAAUGUCUAGAGUCCCUGGUCUGGUGUGCACCUGCUCUGGUGUGCAGGACGAGGGAGUUUGAGCAUCUCCCCCGGCCUGAGAAAUGGCUACUCCGGCCAGAACAGAGACCACAUGAGCAAGACUGGUGCACAUGGUGCAGAUCUGAGCCAAGGCCUCUUGAAAACCUGGAAUAACAAUGAGCACAGUUGGUGCCUGAGUUGGUCCCGCUAGGGCACCCCCAACUGAGACCUAAUCCUGAGCUAGUGCAACAAUUGCAUCUGCAGGUGUUGCUCUAGCUGCAUCUCUAUCCCUACCACGGCCUCUACCGUGACCUUGGCCUCUCGCGACCCCGACUGGUGGUACUGGUGGCUAUCCAUCCUGCCCAGUAACAUGUGUCCUCACCAUCUGUGAGAGAAUAGAAUAACAAAAGUUUAAUUACCAAAAUCAACAAAUUCACACGAUAAGAAUUCAGGAAUGUGAAGUUUCCUAAGGGUGCUGCAGCCUCUUGAAGAUAAGUAAAGACGUCUCUGUACCAAUCCGCAAGACUCUACUAAACCCGCUCAUGACUUAUGAGAGCUAUGUAACCUAAGCUCUGAUACAACCUUGUUACGACCCAAAAUCAACAGUCGUAAUUGCGCCUAUCGUGGAACUAGGCCAUCAUCUACUUAACAAUUCAUCACAGUAACAAUACUUUUAAAAAUAAAAAUGGAAGCAUUUAACAUUAAAGAAACCUUUUUGAAAACAGAAUAAAUCCCAACAUGAAAUACAGUCCAACCCAAAAUCGGGGUGUCACUAAGUAAAUGAGCGUCUAAAUCAAGAUACAGUCCACUACAAUGUCUAGAUAAAUAAACUAAAAAUACAACUAAUGAUAAAGAAAGAUAGUCAAGGCCUAUGAAUACUGUGCAGCUACCUUGAUAGUCUCUGAACUACAAAGUCUCAAUCAGUAAUUGCCGCCAUUACUAGAAAUGUCUGGAUCUGCACACGAGGUGUAGGGAGUAACGUGAGUACAUCCAAAUCAGUAAGUAAUGGGUCCAAACUUUAGACUGAAAGGUAGUGACGAACUCAACUAGUAAAGAUAAAGAGAAAUAAUUGUGCAGAAACUUAGGCGUGCUUUCAAAUUAAAUAGGCAGCUCAAAACAGUAAAGUAAAGCAGGUUUGAAUUGUAUAAAGAAUGCACUCUGCUAUCUGUACAUGCCAAUGGACAUGCUCUAUGUGAUGCACCAUGUUGUCCGCCUCAUGUGCUCUCUCUCUCAAAGGUUCAACCAUUCAGUACUGUAUAUGGCCCAUACGGCCAAAGGAAGCUCCAUCCCGAAACAUAUAUAUCACUGACUAUAAGUCACUCAGUACCAAGGAAGUCCAAUCCAACCCUAUGGAGAAGAUUCACCUCCAGGUAUCAAGUACUUCGGACAAGAUCCAUGUCCAGGGAAGAUCCAUCCCUCAAUAAUAUCAACCGCGCUCACUGGGGGUGUGUACAGACUCCGUAGUUGCUCCUACAGCCCAAGCACUAUCACAAAUCAGUAUAACUGCUGCAGCGUGCAACUCGAUCCCAUAACUGUCACUCAUAAUCAGGCUCUCGGCCUCACUCAGUCAUGAAUAUCUCUAGUCUUAUACACAGGCUCUCAAUGUCAUGAAAACUAACCCAAAACAAUGAUAUGAUGUAUCAAUAAAUAACUGAGACUGAGAUACGAUAUAAAAAUGCAUGAAUAUUACUGAGUAAAGAAUAUCAAUGAAACCAGAGAGAUGACAGCAAGAAACAACUACUAAGGGUCCCAACAGUACCAGUAUAAAGCCUAAACUUAAUAUCUAACAUGAUUUACAACUCAAUUACUUUAUCACAAGAUGAAAACACGGAUAUCAACAAGAUAGAGUCAUUAUACGGUACCAUGGAAUCAACCAGGUCACAAUUCUCGUGGCGCACGCCCAUCACUUAGCAUGUGCGUCACCUCAACAACAAUCACAUAACAUAUAAUGCAGGGUUUCGAACCCUCAGAACCAAGUUUGAAAGCGUUACUUACCUCAAACCGAGCAAAUCUCUACUCCGAAAUGCCUUUACCUCUCUAAUUCGUCUCCAAACAUCCCGAAUCUAGCCAUAAGUAGUACAACACAAUCAAUAAAGGCUAAAGGGUUCAAUUCCACAAGAAAACUACUGAAUUAGAGCAAAAAUCCGAAAUCAGUUCAAACCCGCCCCCAAGGCCCACGUCUCAAAAUCCGACAAAAGUCACAAAAUCCGAAAGUCAUUUGUUCACGAGUCUAACCAUACUAAAUUUAUCAAAAUCCGACACCAUUUGGUCAUCCAAAUUCCCAAAAUUCACUCUCCAAUUAUGUGAUAACCCAAAAGGUCAUCACUUGUUUUGGAAGUAAAUUUUGUAUCUUGAGGCCUUAAAACAUCCUUUUUGUCACACCUUGAUUUGCAUGCGCAGUCCGGGCAUGUAUCCGAAAAGUCAUUAUGUGAAAAUCUGUGAAAAAUGAUAAAUUUUGCUUUUAAAAUGAGUUUAAGUUGACUUCGGUCAACAGUUUAGGUAAACAGACCCGGACCCAUGAUUUGACAGUCCCGGAGGGUCCGUAGAAAAAUAUGGGACUUGGGCGUAUGCCCGAAAUAGAAUUCCGAGAUCCCAAGCCCAAGAAAUGAAUAUUUGAAGAAAAUUGUUUAACUGAAAUUUUAAGAGUUUUUUGAAAUUUGAGUGUAUUUAAAAUUGAUGGUAUCGGGCCCGUAUCUUGGUUCUGGAGCCAGGUACUGGUCUUAUAUGGUGUUUAGGUUGAGCUUGUAAAAUUUGGUAAGAAACAGACUUGAAAUGACGUAAAUCGGACCCUCGGUUGUGAAAUUGAAAACUUAAGUGUUCUUGAGAUUUUUCUUUGAUUUUGAUGCUAAAUAUUUAUUUUUAUUUGUCAAAUUUUGGUUUUUAUUUCAUAAAAAAAACUGUCUUUACAUUCCCAUAUUAAUGCUGACCAUUAAUCUCCUAUUCACUAUUACAAAGGAAAACUAUACUAUACUGACUUUAGUUACAAGUUGCUAUACUAAGGAACAUUUUUUAAAUUUUCCAAUUCUGCUCGCCAUUUGAUCUUCUUUCUACCUUUUAUGUGUAUAUGUAUUGCAAUUUUCUUGUAGAGUUCAUCUAUGAUGAAUCUUCCUUUAUUAAAUCGCAUCGAAUUCCUUUCCCGUCAGAUGUAGUAGACAACCAUUGCAAACAAUGUUGUGAUCAUUUCUGCCCUGCAAUCUUUCCUCUUUGCCAUAAUACUUAUCCAUCUCAAUUCAUGCUGCCACCUUCCUAUCUGCCUCGCAUUGCCCGUCCAUAUCAAUACUCUUUCCCAUAGCUUAUUUGUACUUGGACAACCAAAGUAUAGGUGAUCAAAUAUUUCCACAGUUUUUGCACAGAAUACAUAUUCUAACUGAACUUGAAUUCCAAACAUGGCAAGUCUAUCCAUAGUUGCUAUCCUUUGGUGGAUAGCCAAUCAUAGAUGGAACUUGAACCUAGGAUGAAUAUGUGCAUAUAGACGAAUACUCGUCCAAUCUACUUUGAGUAAUUGAGGCUACAAUUGCACAUAAGCUUUAUGUAUCUGAAAUUUGCCUUGCUUCACAAAGCUAUCCAGUGUGUUUAUGAGAUUGUUAUGAAAUGACCUCAGCUUUUGUACUUCAUCCUUUGCCUAUAUGAUCUUCCUUACCACCCAUGCUGUCGUUUUGGGUGUGGUUACCUCUUAAAUAGGCCUAUUUUUUAUGUAGUAGAUGUGAGCCCAUUUAAUCCACAAAGUAUCCUUCUUCAUAGCCAAAGCCCAGAGAUGUUUUAAUAAAGUUGCUUUGUUCCAUAUAUUCAUGUUAAUCACAUUCAAACCACCAGUACCUCUUGGUUGACAUAUUAUGUCCCACGCAAUCAGUGCUUUCCUGGGGUAAUCAGUUGAGCCAGUCCACAAGAAGGUUCUCCAUAUAGUGUCUAUCAUCUUCAUGAUCUUCUUUGGCAAUAAGAAAAUUUGAGCCCAAUAUGUUUGUAUUCCAAAUAACACUGAUUUUAUGAGUUGAAUUCUUCCUGAGUAUGAAAGCGUUCUAGCUGACCAGCAUCUUACUCUCUCUGUAAUCUUUUCAACUAGAGGCAAAUAUUGAUGAAUGUUCAGUUUUCUUGCAGAUAGUGGAACUCCCAGAUAUUUAAAAGGUAUACUACCCUUUUCAUAUCCAGUAAUCUCGGUCAGUUGUUCCUUUAUAUGCUGUGCUAUACUAGCAAUAUAAAUAGAACUCUUUUCUACACUUGCCUGUAGUCCUAAUGCAUUUGAAAACCUCUUGAAGGUUUCCUUCAAUAUAGUAACUGAUUGUGUGUCACCCCUGCAAAACAUUAACAAAUCGUCUGCAAAACAAAUGUGUGUUACUCCCAACUUCUUGCACUUUGGAUGAAAUUUGAACUACUUUUGCAUAUCUAAUUGAUUCAUCUCCCUAUGCAAGUACUCCAUAACAAUCACAAAGAGGUAAGGAGACAUUGGAUCUUCUUGUCUUAUACCUCUAUUUGCAGGGAAAGGUCUAGUGAAUCCUCCAUUCAGUACUAGAGAAUAGGACACUAUUGUCACACACUCCAUUAUCCAUACAAUAAAUUUCUGAGGGAAGUCAAGCUCUGUGAGCAUAUAUCUAAGGAACUGCCAGUCCAAAUUAUCAUAUUCUUUCCUUAAGUCAACCUUGAGUAAACACCUUGGAGAUAAGCCUUUUCUAUUAUAACCAUUGAAUAAAUCAUGGCUAAAUAGUAUAUUAUCCACAAUGCUCCUCCCUUCUAUGAAUGCAGACUGUGCUUUCCUAAUUAUACCUUCAAUUACCUUUUUGAUCCUUUUAGUCAGAAUCUUGGUAAUGAUUUUGUAGACAGUAGUACAGCAAGCAAUAGGUCUAUAGUCUUUCACAGUUGUAGGUGCAGGAACUUUUGGAAUCAAUGUUAUGGCAGUGCAAUUCCAUGCUUGCUUCAUCUUGCUUGUUUUCCCAUUGCAUUUUAAAGAACUCUAUUGGAAAGCCAUCAACUCUAGGGGCUUUAUCAUUUGACAUGUCUUUCAUUGCUUCAUCAACCUCUAUAUAUGUUACUUCCUUUAUUAUAUCAUGUUGUUGUUCCAACGAUAAGCACACUCCUGCUUUGAUUAAUUUGGUAUUAGGACAUGGCCUGAUCCCAGUGUCAGUUCCUAUAAGCUGCUUAAAAAAAGUGAUGAAUUCUUUUUCUACAGGUUUAGGUUCUGUGACUCUAGCUCCCAUAUCAUUAUACAUAGUAGUAAUUGACUUCUUACUUGCCCUGAUCUUCAAUUGUGCAUAGAAAUAUUUGGAGUUUGAAUCCCCAUAGUCUAUCUAGUUGACUCUUGCCUUCUGUUUCAGAACUCUUUCUUCUAUUAUGCACCAUUUCUCUAGUUCCUGCAAUGUUUGCUUUUCCUUCUCAAUCAAAUCCUGAUUAAAGGGAUCAAGCUUCGAAUUAAUCUGAGUAUACUCCAGCUGCUGUCUUAUUUGAUUCAAUCUUUUCUCAUAGCUAGUCAUCUCCAUGUUUAAUCCUUUAGUCUCAGUUUUCAGUUGUUGUAAUUUCUGCCAUAUGCUAUCCAUAUGGUCAUUUCCCAGCUUCUGCUUCCAUACUUUAUCCACCCUAGGUUGGAAUUCCUUAUGUUCCAUUGUUACCAUAUACAACUUGAAAGGCUUAGGAUAUAUAUUCUUUCUUCUCCAUAUUUGGACCACUAUAGGUGAGUGAUCUAACACCCCAUGUUCUAGGCAAUCAGCUUCCACAUGCCCAUAGUCCUUGAUCCAUUCAAAGUUCCCAAAGGCCCACUCAAUCUUACUGUAUACCCUGUCAUCUGCAUGCUACUUAUUGCACCAAGUAUAGAAACAACCCUUUGUCUUCAGUGGGGUCAGUUGCAUAGUGUCAAUACAAUCCUUGAAUUCUUUCACCUCAUUCAUAGUAACUACUUGUCCUAACCUAUCAUCAGUGGUUAGGACAUUGUUGAAGUCACCACUUAUGAUCCAUGGAAGUUGAACUUGCCCCCUAUCAGUUGUAAGUCACACCAUAAACUUACUCUUUCCUGCAAUUUAUUUCUAGCAUACACUACUGUCAACAUAAUCUGGUAUCCAGUCACUGAAUCACUCACUAUACAAUGAAUGAAUUGUUCAUGAACUUGAAUUAUGUUGACUAAAAGAUUGGUCCUCCACAGUAUCUAAAUUCUACCAUUCUCAGCCUUUGUAUAGUUGCAACAAUAUCCUCAAUCUUUUGUUACCUUGUACAGAAUCAUUUUUGCUUUCUUUUCUUUGACUCUAGUUUUCAGACAUUCUAAGAUGUCUAUUUUAUUCUUCUGCGAAAAGAUUUUCAAUUCUUUCUACUUAUAGGGCUUGUUCAGCCCUCUUAUGUUCCAAGUACUAAUGAUCAUGGUGGGUUUUGUCUGGGGUGUGGAUUCAAACCCCCUCCCUGUGCAGAUGUUUGUGUAUAUUAUUCCAAUACUAUGAAUCUAUUAGCAUUGCUAACUUUAUCAAUUUUACCCUGCUAAUCUAUUGAAGUAUUCUAUCUUUUAGUGUCAUCAUCUCUAUGUAUCAUCCUUCUUCUUUGAUUUGUAUCAGCUUCAGAGUUAUGUUUCCCUUUGUCACCUUCUAUUGGAGGUUUAAUUUCAGUCACCUCACUAUUCCUCUCAUCUUGAUCUUGUUGAUCCUUUGGCUUCCAUUCCUGAACAACUCUCCUCCUUCUGCCUCUAUUUCUUCUCUUAGGGGAUUUGAAUUCAGCAUCUUCUUCUUACUUACUUAGCUUCCAGCAUUCAAAAACAUCAUGCCCAAAAUGCAAACAUUCAUUGCAAAAUUUUGGCUUCCACUCGUAUAGAAUUUCCUGUUGUUUUACACCAUUGGGAGUCAUAAUUUCAACAUUCUCUACCAAUGGCUUUGUUAUGUCCACUUUCACUAGCGCUCUUGCAUAAGAGAUUUUGUUUAAUUCAGCUGUGUACUUGUCUGUGUACAUUUGCAUACCAACAACAUUGGCAACCUUUCUUAGAGCAUCAACAGUCCAAUACCUAGUCGAUAAACUAGGAAAGUGAAUCCACAGUGGAAUAGUAGUUAUACAUUUAGGAUCAAAAUGGAAGUCUCUCUCCCAAUUCUGUAAGAUAAAUGGCUUGUUAUGAUAUGCUUGAACAACUGUAUCUCUAUCCUCCAUAGUUGUGAAUCGAAAAACAUAAUAGCCAUCAUGGUGAUAUAGAAUUUGGGGCUUAGAUACAAAAUCCCAAACUAUUUCUACAUAACUCACCAUGGAUUUCUCAUACGCAGUAUCUCCCAAUACAUACCCAAUUAGAGCAGUUUCCCAAUAUUCCUUCAAAUCACUCACAUCAUUUUCCUCUAUUUGGAUGACCACUUUGCCAUCCUUGUGACUUGGUGGAACAUAUUCCAAUUUCAUCCCCAUCUGAGAGUUUCGAUUCGGUUGUCGAAGUUCCUUUGCAUGUCGUGUCUUCUCCAUCCCUAUCUCCGCAUUUGCUGCAAGAUCUAGAUCUGGAGUUGGCUGUGAAGAUCCAGCCUCAGAGAAUUGUAGUCAUUUUGGACUUAUUGGCAGUUAAUCCUUACACUUCUGAGCUUCCUUUGAUGGAUUUUCAAUUUUACUGUUGCAUUGGUUACUAUUCCUCUCUUCCGUUCCAUUUAGCUCACUUUCCUCAGCAAUUGGUUGAACACUAGCCGAUUAGAAACUUCCAAACAUUAACGGAAUGAUAGUAUGCAUCAUCGAGUUCACCGGCAUUGUAGUAGCGGUCGCCAGAGCUGCUUGCUUGCGUCUCCUAGCCAUCAGUGGUGCACGUUAGCUUGCCUUGGCCUAUCAUGCGCUGAGAGCAUUUUUAGAAAGCUCUAUUUCCCUUGAUAGAUUGAUCCGAUUUAGAUGCUAAAUUCAUUGUUAAAGAUGUUAAUUUGGCGAUUUAAUCGCACGAGUAAGUCCAUAUGAUGUUGUUGAGUUAGUAUGCAUGUUUGGUUUGGGCCCCGAGGGCUCGGGUCAGUUGUGUAUAGGUUUCGGGAUGUUUUUACACUUAGAAAAGUUAUAGGUAUUUUGUUUCUGGUAUACUAAAGCUUUGUUCUUCGCGUUUGCGGAAGGUCUCUCGUGAACGCGAAAGGUAAGGCAGGCUAAAGGAAAAUUUCUUCUAUGCGAAUGCGAGAACCAAGUCGUGAACAUAAAGCCUUGGGGGUGCUAUCUUUCGCGAACGUGGACCUGCUAUCGCGAAUGUGAAGGACUUUUGGACAGGACUGGAGGAAAGGGAUUUUGUUCUACGUGAACACGGCCAUUGUCCCGCGAAUGCGAAGGCUUGACGAGCUAAAGCUCCGCAAACAUGAGCCACUAAACGCAAAUGCAAAGUCAACUGAGCCUGAUCCUUCGCAAACGCGACAAACCCUUUGCGAACGCGAAGAAGACCUGUUCAGUGAAUUAAAAACAGUAGCAAAAUCGGGAUUUAGUCCAUAAUUUCAUAUUUUCAAAACUAGAGAGCAUUGAGGCAAUUUUCAAGGAACAAGUGCUUCCCCAAAGCAUUGGUAUACGAUUCUAAACCUUUUUCAUUCGAUUUCCCAUUGCAUUUCAUCAACUUCAUCAAAAAAUCUAGGGUUUUAUGGUAGAAAUUAAGAAUUUAGGUAGAGUUAGGGCUUUUUGAUUAAUUGGGAUUUAGACCUUUUGGAGUCGGAUUUCAAAACUAAUUGCAUAAUUGGGCUCGUGGGUGAAUGGGUGAUCAGGUUUUGGUCCGAACCUCGAGUUUGAGCAAGCGGGCCCGGAGUCGAAUUUUGACUUUUUGGGGGAAAUGAUAGAAAACCUAUAAUUAAGCAUUGGGUAUGAAUUCAUUAACAUUUAUUGAUGUUGUUAAAUUAAUUUGGGCUAGAUACAAGUAAUUUGGUGGCAGAUUCUAAAGGAAAAGCGGUGUUUGAGGCUUGAGUUGGCCGUGGAAGUUUGAGGUAAGUGUGUGGUUUAACCUUAGCUUGAGGGAUUAGGAGUUGUGUCUUAUUUGCUAUGUGUUAAUUGCUGAGUACGGUGUAUAGGUGUGGUGACGAGUAUCUAUAAGUCGGUGUCAAGCAUGCUCGUGGGUCUUAUACUAUGAUUGAUGUGGUUUCAUUUCGUAUUGUUCAAUCUUUAUAUGAUGAUUUCUAUUGUUGAACAAAGCUUGGAAAGUAUUAUUGAUGCUNNNNNNNNNNNNNNNNNNNNNNNNNAUGAUAAUGUCUCCCUUGCCAGGAUAUUACUUCUUAUGAUAUUGUUUCCCUUGCUGGGAUAUUAUUGUUAUUGAUAUUGGUUCCCUUGCCGGGAUAUUGUUGUUAAACUAUUGUUCCCUUGCCGUACGUGAGUUUGAGAGUGUUAAUGCACGAACGGUGAUGUCAUGACGAUAUGUGAGGUAAAAGCACGAAGGGUGAUGUCAUGUCGCACGAUGUACAAUAUAGUGCCAUGAUAUGAGUGUUAAUGCAUGAAGGGUGAUGCCGUGCUGAUUAUAUUGAUUCUUAUGGUGAGGACGAAAGUAAAAGCACAAAGGGUGAUGCCGUGCACUUGUAUUGUUCUCCUUACUCUUGCUUAUAGUUGAAUUUUGGUGUACUUUAUGUUUCUUUACUGAAAUUUUGUUGUACUUGUUAUCCCCCGCAGCAUGUGUCCCUUCCUAACUUUAACUGUUAGUUCUGUUGUUAUUACUCACUAUAUUUGAUAUAAUUGCAUAGGUUUAUUUGGUAGUCCUGUCGUUGCCUCGUCACUACUUCGCCGAGGUUAGUCUCGACACUUACUAGCACAUAGGGUCGGUUGUGCUGCUACUAUACUAUUAAAUGUAUGCAGAUACUGGUACUAGAGCGUUUGGACCACAGUGAGCUUGCUGCCUUCAGCCCAUCGGCGGAGACCCGAGGAAGUCCUACAGACGUUCGUGGGCCUUGGUGUCCCCUUCUAUCAUUUUCUUUCUAUUUUUACUUAUUCAGAGACAGAUUCGUGUAUUUCUAUUCAGACUUUAUUUGUAGUAUUCGUAGAUGGUCUGUGACAUUGUGACACCAAAUUCUGGGUAUAGUUGUAUUUAGCAGUUUGUAUUAAGUUAAAUUAUCAGAUUUUGUCUUCCGCAUUGCUUUUGAUAUUAUUAUUUCCCCUGUUUUGAUAUAUUGUUUUGAAUUUGUAAGGAAAAUAAAGACUGAAAAGGGUAAUUCAAUCGAAAUAGUUGGCUUGCCUAGAUUUCACUAGUAGGCGCCAUCAUGGCUCCCGAGGGUGGGAAAUCCGAGUCGUGACAAGUUCGUAUCAGAGCUAUAGGUUUCCUAGGUCUCACAAUUCAUGGACAAGCUUAGUAGAGGCUGAGGGAUCAGUACGGAGAUAUCUGUAUUUAUCCUAGAGGCUAUAGACUUAGGAAAAACUUCAUAUUUAUUCUUUCUUGUCAUGCGACUUGAUUUCUCAAUGCUAAUUGAACUUCUACUAUGUUCUUUCGCAGAUGGUGAGGACACGUACCGCUUCAUCAGUUGAGAAGCAACCCGAGCCCCCAGUAGCAGCUCCUACGAGGGGCAGAGGUUGAGGCCGUGCUAGGGCCCAUGGUAGAGGCAGAGCUCAGCCCAGAGCUCGAGCAGCAGCACUAGUGGCGGAGCCUCAGGUUGAGUUUGACAAUGAGGUUCCAACCCAGUCAGUUCCAAUAGGACCAGCUCAGGUCCUAGAUGGGUUUAUCACCACCCCAGUACUUCAGGAUGCUCUGGUCCGUCUAGUGGGCCUUAUGGAGAGUGUAGCCCAGGCAUGCUUGCUUCCUGUAGCACUAGCCGUCUCUCAGGCUGGAGGAAGAGCCCAGACUCCUGCUACUCGCAGUCCGGAGCAGAUGGCUCCCCAGUUUCAGACUCUAGCAACUUUGCUUGUUGGGUUAGUUCAGCUGGGUAUUAUAGCACAAACCGGUGAGGGGCCAGCUAUGUCUGUUGAUGCCUUGUGGAGGUUGGAUAGGUUCACUAAGCUCUUCACUACUACUUUUGGUGGUACAUCUUCUGAGGAUCCCCAGUAUUAUUUGGACAGCUGCCAUGAGGUUCUACGGAACAUGGGGAUAGUGGAGACCAAUAGGGUCGACUUUGCUGCUUUUUGACUAUUUGGAUCCGCCAAGACUUGGUGGAGAGAUUAUUGUUUGUCUAGACUAGCUGGGUCACCUGUUUUGACUUGGGAUCAGUUCUCUCAGCUAUUUCUAGAGAAGUUUCUUCCUGUCACUCAGAGGGAGAACUAUCGGAUACAGUUUGAGCGUCUCCAACAGGGUUCUAUGACUAUCACUCAGUAUAAGACCAGAUUUUUUGACUUGGCCCGUCAUGCUCUCCAUAUACUUCCCAUUGUGAGAGAGAGAGAGUGAGGAGUUUCAUUGAGGGACUCGUCCAGCCUAUUCGACUGUAGAUGGCUAAGGAGACGGGGAGUGAGAUUUCUUUUCAGGUUGCGGCCAAUGUGGCCAGGAGAGUUGCGAUGGUUCUAUCACAAGGGAGUGGUCAGGGGUCUGACAAGAGGCCUUGUCAUUCGGGCAUGUUCAGUGGUGCCUCAUCUGAAGGCAGGAAUUCUAUUGGUAGGGGCCAUCCUUCGAGGCUGUUUCAUUCAGAACUUCAGGCUUCUCAACGUGCACCAGAUGGAUGUAGUUCUCAUAUGCAGUACUCUGAUCAGUUGGCCUACAGUGCACCACCAGCUCCUAUCAGUGCACUGCCACUCUGGAGUUUUCAGGAUGGUCAUUCAGGCUGUCAGAGUUAGUAGUCUCAACAGCCGAUGGCUUGUUAUACUUGUGGCUAUACGAGGCAUAUUUCUAGAUUUUGCCCUCGAGCACCGAGCAGCUCUCAGCAUCAGGGUUCCCAUACCAUGGUUCAGGCACCAAGUGUUCCACCGCCCGUUCAGCCAGCUACAGGUGGGGUUAGAGGUGCUAGAGGUGGAGGUAGAGGUAUUAGAGGUGGAGGUCAGGCCGCUAGAGGUAGAGGACAGCCAGCAGAAGGUCGUCCUAGAGAUGUAGUUUAGAGUGGUGGGGCCCAGCCCCGAUGUUGUGCCUUUCCAGCUAGGCCUGAGGUGGAGGCCUCUGAUGCAGUUAUCACAGGUAUUAUUCUGGUUUGUAGUAGGGAUGCUUCAGUGCUAUUUGAUCCAGGGUCUACAUACUCCUAUGUGUCAUCUUAUUUUGCACCAUAUUUGAUCAGGCCUAGUAUUCUUUGAGUGCUCCUGUAUAUAUGUCUACACCGGUGGGUGAUUAUAUUGUGGUAGAUCGUGUUCAUCGUUCUUGUAUGGUUGUGAUUGGGGGUCUUGAGACCCGAGUAUACUUGUUACUUUUGGAUAUGGUUGAUUUUGAUAUCAUAUUAGGGAUGGACUGGUUAUCACCUUAUCACGCUAUCUUGGACUGUUAUGCCAAGCCUGUAACCUUGCCAGGGUUGCCUCAUUUAAAGUGGAGAGGGACUCCUGGUCAUUCUACCCGUAGUAUUAUCUCACAUAUGAAGGCUCGGCGUAUGGUGAAGAAGGGGUGUUUGUCCUAUUUGGCAUAUGUUUGUGAUUCUAGUGUUGAGGUUCCUUCUAUGGAUUCUGUGCCUGUUGUUCGUGAGUUUCAUGAGGUUUUUCCUUCAGACCUGCCGGGUAUGCCACCUGAUAAGGAUAUUGACUUCUGCAUUGAUUUGGCGUCGGGAACUCAGCCCAUUUCUAUUCCGUCAUAUCGUAUGGCCCCGCUAGAGUUGUAAGAAUUGAAGGAGUAGCUGCAAGACUUGCUUGAUAAGGGCUUCAUUAGACCUAGUGUCUCGCCUUGUGGUGCGCCAGUGCUACUAGUGAAGAAGAAGGAUGGGUCGAUGAGAAUGUGUAUAGAUAAUAAGUAUCCAUUGCCGAUGAUUGAUGACUUGUUUGAUCAGCUUCAGGGUGCCUAGGUAUUCUCGAAGAUUGACUUGAGAUCUGGAUGCCAUCAAUUGAGGAUUAGGGAAUCCAAUAUCCCUAAGAUAGCCUUCCGCACUCGGUACGGGCACUAUGAGUUCUUGGUGAUGUCAUUUGGGUUAACAAAUGCUCUAGUAGCUUUUAUGGAUUUGAUGAACUGAGUGUUCAAGCCUUACUUAGAUUCGUUCGUGAUAGUCUUCAUUGAUGAUAUUUUGAUUUAUUCCCGCAGCCGAGAAGAGCAUGAGCAUCAUCUGAGAGUUGUUCUUCAGACUUUGAGAUAUAGUCAGUUGUAUGCUAAGUUUUUGAAGUGUGAUUUUUGGUUGGGAUCAUUACUUUCUUGGGUCACGUUGUAUCAGCAGAGGGUAUUUAGGUAGAUCCAAAUAAGAUAGAGGUAGUCAAGGACUGUCCUAGACCCGCAUCAACUACAAAGAUCCAGAGUUUCUUGGGUUUGGCGGGCUAUUACCAUCGGUUUGUGGAGGAGUUAUCAUAUAUAGCAUCCCCUAUGACCAGGUUGACCCAGAAGGGUUCCCAGUUCAAGUGGUCGAACGAGUGUGAGGCGAGCUUUUAGAAGCUCAAGAUAGAUUUAACCACGGCGCCGGUAUUGGUAUUCCUACAGGUUCAGGGUCAUAUACGGUUUAUUACGACGCAUCUCAUAUUAGUCUUGGUGCGAUGUUGAUGCAGGAUGGCAAGGUCAUUGCUUAUGCUUUGCGGCAGUUUAAGAGUUAUGAGAAGAACUAUCCAGUCUAUGAUUUGGAGUUAGUAGCCAUUGUUCAAGCGCUGAAGAUUUGGAGGCAUUAUUUGUAUGGCGUGCCAUGUGAGGUGUUCACGGAUCACAAGAGCAUACAGUAUUUGUUCAAGCAGAAGGAGCAGAAUUUGAGGUAGAGAAGAUGGUUGGAGCUAUUAAAGGACUAUGAUAUCACUAUCUUAUAUUAUCUGGGGAAGGCCAAUGUAGUGGUCGAUGCUUUGAGUAGAAAGUUAGUCAGUAUGGGCAGUCUUGCGUAUAUUCCAAUUGGUGAGAGACCGCUUGUUUUGGAUGUUCAGGAUUUGGCCAAUCAGUUCAGGAGGUUGGAUAUUUCGGAGCCCAGCCGUGUGUUAACUUGUACAGUCGCUUGUUCUUCAUUAUUGGGGUGUAUUCGAGAUCAGCAGUGUGAUGACCCCCAUUUGUGUUUCCUAAAAGACAUGGUGCGGCAUGGUCGUGCCAAGCAGGUUACUGUUGGAGAUGAUGGAGUGUUGCGGAUGUAGGGUCGAGUGUGUGUGCCUAAUAUAGAUGGUCUUAGAGAGUUGAUUCUAGAGGAGGCACAUAGUUCCCGGCACUCUAUUCAUCCGGACACUGCUAAUAUGUAUCAGAAUUUGUGGUAGAAUUAUUGGUGGAGGGGGAUGAAGAAGGAUAUUGUUGCAUAUGUGGCUCGGUAUUUGAACUGUCAGCAGGUAAAGUACGAACAUCAGAUACCUAGUGGUUAGUUUCAAAGGAUUGAGCUUCCCGUAUGGAAGUGGGAGCAUAUCACUAUGGACUUUGUUGUUGGACUUCCACGGACUAAGAGGAAGUUCGAUGCAGUGUGGUUUAUUGUUGAUAGGCUGACCAAGUCAGUACAUUUCAUUCCUGUGGUAGUCUCAUAUUCUUCUAAGAGGUUAGCUGAGAUCUAUAUCUGGGAGAUCGUUCGUCUUCAUGGUAUGCCCAUGUCUAUCAUUUCUGACCGAGGUACACAGUUUACGUCAAAUUUUUGAAGGGCAGUUCAGUGUGAGUUUGGCACACAGGUUGAGAUGAGCAUAGCAUUUCAUCCUCAGACGAACGGGCAGUUCGAGUGUGCUAUUUAGAUUUUGGAGGAUAUGCUCCGAGCUUUUGUUAUUGACUUUAGAGGCUCAGGGAUAAGUUUCUGCCUUUAGCGGAGUUUGCCUAUAACAACAGUUACCGGUUGAGCAUCCAGAUGGCUUCUUAUGAGGCUUUAUAUGGUAGGUGGUGUCGGUCGCCGGUUGGGUGAUUCGAGCCGGGAGAGGCUCGGUUGUUCGGUACAGACCUAGUACAGGAUGCCUUGGACAAGGUGAAGAUCAUUCAGGAUAGGCUUCGUAUAGCCCAGUCUAGGAAAAAGAGCUAUGCCGAUCGCAAGGUUUAUGAUGUGGCAUUCAUGGUUGGAGAGCAGGUAUUGCUUCGAGUGUUGCCUAUAAAGGGCGUGAUGAGAUUUGGGAAGAAGGGCAAUCUAAGCCCUAGAUUCAUUAGUCCUUUUGAGAAUCUUGAUCGAGUGGGAGAGGUGGCUUAUAGACUUGCAUUGUUGCCGAGCUUAUCAAUUGUGCAUCCAAUGUUUCAUGUGUCCAUGCUUUGGAAGUAUCACGGCGAUCUAUCCCACGUGUUAGACUUCAACAUUGUCCAGUUGGACAAUGACUUGUCCUAUGAGGAGGAGCCGGUAGCUAUUCUAGACCGGCAGGUUCACCAGUUGAGAUCGAAGAGUUUCCCCUCUGUUCAUGUUUAGUGGAUAGGUCAGUCUGUGGAGAUAGCGACCUGGGAGUCCGAGUCCGAUAUGCGGAGCUGAUAUCCCUAUCUUUUCUCUGACUCAGGUACUUUUCUUAUGUCCGUUUGAGGAUAAACGAUUGUUUUAGAGGUGGAGAAUGUGAUGACCUUUUAUUCUAUGUCUCGAGGCCUUAAAACCUCCUUUUUGUCUCACCUCUAUUUGUGUGAGCAGUCCGGGUGUGUAUCCGAAAAGUCAUUAUGUGAAAAUCUGUGAAAAAUGAUAAAUUUUGCUUUUAAAAUGAGUUUAAGUUUACUUCGGUCAAUAUUUUGGGUAAACGGACCCGGACCCAUAAUUUGGCGGUCCUAGAGGAUCCGUAGAAAAAUAUGGUACUUAGGCGUAUGCCCAGAAUUGAAUUUCGAGGUCUCAAGCCUGAGAAAUGAAUUUUCGAAGAAAACUGUUUAACUAAAAUUUUAAGAGUUUUUGGAAAUUUGAGUGUAUUUUAAAUUUAUGGUAUUGGGCCCAUAUCAUGGUUCCGGAGCCGGUACAGGUCUUAUAUAGUGUUUAGGUUGAGCCUGUAAAAUUUGGUAAGAAACGGACUUAAAAUGCCGUGAAUCAGACCCUUGGUUGUGAAAUUGGAAACUUAAGUGUUUUUGAGAUUUUUCUUUGAUUUUGAUGCUAAAUUCGUUGUUAAAGAUGUUAAUUUGGCGAUUUGAUCGCACGAGUAAGUCCAUAUGGUGUUGCUUAGUUAGUAUGCAUGUUUGGUUUGGAGCCCCGAGGGCUCGGGUCAGUUGUGUAUAAGUUUCAGGAUGUUUUUACACUUAGAAUAAUUGCAGGUUUUCUCUUUCUGUUAUGCUGAAGCUUUGUUCUUUGCGUUCAAGGAAGGACUCUUACGAAUGCGAAGGGUAAGUAAGGCUGAAGGAAAAUUUCUUCUAUGCGAACACGAGAACCAGGUCGCGAACGCGAAUCUUUGGGGGUUCUACCCUUUGCGAACGCAGACCUGCUAUCGCGAACGCGAAGGCCUUUUGGUCGGGACUGGGGGAAAGGGAUUUUGUUCUAUAAGAACGCGGCCACUGGCCCACGAACGCGAGCCACUAUAUGUGAAUUAAAAAUAGUAGCAAAAUCGGGAUUUAGUCCAUAAUUUCAUAUUUUAAAAACUAGAGAGCAUUGAGGCGAUUUUCAAGGAACAAGUUCUUCCCCAAGGCAUUGGUAUACCAUUCUAAACCUUUUUCUAUCGAUUUCCCAUUACAUUUCAUCAAUCUUCAUCCAAAAAUCUAGGGUUUUAUGAUUGAAAUUAGGAAUUUGGGUAGAGUUAGGGCUUUUUGAUUAAUUGGGAUUUAGACCUCGUUUUGGGAUCGGACUUCGAAACUAAUUGCAUAUUUGGGAUCGUGGGUGAUCGGGUUUUGGUCCGAACCUCGAGUUUCAACCAAGCGGGCCCUGGGUCGAUUUUUGACUUUUUGGAAAAAAUGAUAAAAAAAAACUAUAAUUAUGCAUUGGGUAUGAAUUCUUUAGCAUUUUAUUGAUGUUGUUAAAUCUUAGCUUGAGGAAUUAGGAGUUGUGUCUUAUUUUCUAUGUGUUAAUUGCUGAGUAUGACAUAUAGGUGUGGUGACGAGUAUCUAUACGUCGGUGUCAAGCAUGCACGUGGGUCUUAUACUAUGAUUGAUGUGGUUUUGUUUCGUAUUGUUCAAGCUUUAUAUGAUGAUUUCUAUUGUUGAACAAGGCUUGGAAAGUAUUAUUGAUGCUUGAACACUGUAGAGUGUUGGCUCAAGUUGAUAAUUGAGUUGUGAAGUAAUUGUGAAAAAGAGAAGAGGUUUAUGAUAUUGUCUCCCUUGCCAGGGAUAUUACUGCUUAUGAUAUUGUUUCCCUUGCUGGGAUAUUAUUGUUAUUGAUAUUGGUUCCCUUGUAGGGAUAUUGUUGUUAAACUAUUGUUCCUUUUCUGUGUGUGAGUUUGAGAGUGUUAAUGCACGAACGGUGAUGUCGUGCCGAUAUGUGAGGUAAAAGCACGAAGGGUGAUGUCGUGUCGCACGAUGUACAAUGUCGUGCCAUGAUAUGAGUAUUAAUGCACGAAGGGUGAUGCCGUGCCGACUAUUUAUUCUUAUGGUGAGGACGAAAGUAAAAGCACAAAGUGUGAUGCCGUGCACUUGUAUUGUUAUCCUUACUCUAGAUUAUAGUUGAAAUUUGGUGUACUUUAUGUUUCUUUACUGAAAUUCUGUUGUACUUUUUAUCCCCUGCAGCGUGUGUCCCUUCCUAACUUUAACUGUUAGUUAUGUUCCUAUUAGUCAUUGUAUUUGACAUAACUGCACAAGUUUAUUUGUUAGUCCUAUCCUAGUGUCGUCACUACUUCACCGAGUUUAGGCUCGACACUUACCAGCACAUGGAUGGUCGGUUGUGCUAAUACUACACUCUGCACUGUGUUUGGACCACAGUGAGGUUGCUGCCUUCAGUCCAUCGUCGGAGACCCGAGGUAGUCCUGCAGACGUUCGCGGGCCUUGGUGUCCCCUUAUAUAAUUUUCAUCCUGUUUUUACUUAUUCAGAGACAAAUUCGUGUAUUUCUAUUCAAAAUUUAUUUGUAGUAUUCUUAGAUGGUUCAUGACAUUGUGACACCAAAUUCUGGGUAGAGUUGUAUUUAGACUUCCGCAGUUCGUAUUAAGUUAAAUUAUCAGAUUUUAUCUUCCGCAUUGUUUUUGAUAUUAUUAUUUCCGCUAUUUUGAUAUGUUGUUUUGAAAUUAUAAGGAAUUAAAGAAUGAAAAGGGUAAUUAAAUCGGAAUAGUUGGCUUGCUUAGCUUUCACUAGUAGGCAUCAUCACGGCUCCCGAGGAUGGGAAAUCUGGGUCGUGACAAAUUCUCAAGCCCUAAACUCCCAAAAUUUCACCUCAAAAUCUCACUAAUUAGGUAUAAAAUCAGUAGGGAAAUACCAUUAUUGAGGAUAAAUAGGCAUAAGGAACUUACCCAGUGAUUACUUCGAAAUACCUCUCAAAAUCCCUAAAAUCCGAGCUCAAAAAUUAUGAAAAUGGUGAAAAAUCUUGAAGUCUUCUAUUUAUAGGUUCUUCCCAGUCUUCUUUGCACUUGCGGCUAAUACUCCGCUCCUGCAGGCUCCACAUCUGCGGUAAAAGUGCCGCUUUUGUGGAAGUCACUUGAAUCCUAGGGCUCGCACAUGCGCCCUCUUGUCCGCAUCUGCGCUACUGCAGGUGCAUGAAAUCCUUUGAACCUGCGACCCCUGACCGUCCUGGCCUUGCCCGCACCUGCGACCUUCCUCUCCCCUUUUGCGGGCUCACACCUGCGAUAAAAAUUCCGUAGGUGCGAUUACAAUAGCUGAGUACAACUUCAGUAGCUCUUCCAAUUCGAAUCAAGUUCGUUUAACCACCCAAAAUCAACCCGAGGCUUUGGGGACCUCAACUAAAUAUACCAACAAGUCAUAUAACCCGAUACGAACUUAGUCGAAUCAUCAAAUCACCUCAAUCAACAUCAAAAACACGAAUUACACAUAGAUUCAAGCCUAGUAAACUUUAAAACUUCCAAAUUCCACAAACGACGUCAAAACCUAUCAAACCACGUCCGAUUGACCUCAAAUUUUGCACACAAGUCAUAAAUGACACCAUGAACCUACUCCAACUUCUAAAAUCCAGUCCAACCCCGAUGUCAAAAUGUCCACUCCCGGUCAAACCUUCCAAAUUUCUAACUUUCAGCAUUUCAAGUUUAAUCUACUAUAGACCUCCAAAACACAAUCCAGAUGUGCUCCUAAGUCCAGAAUCACCUAACGGAGCUAACAGAACCAUCAAAAUUCAAAUCCGAGGUCAUUUACACAUAAGUCAAUAUCCGAUCAACUUUUCCAGCUUAAGCUUUCAAAUAAGAGACUAAGUGUCUCAAUUCACUCCAAAAUCUCUCCGGACCCGAACCAACUAACCCGGUAAGUCAUAAUACAGCUGUAGAAUAAAAAAUAAGCAGAAAAUAGGGGAAUGAGACUACAAAUCUCGAAACGACUGGUCAGGUCGUUACAGUUUCCUUCUUCGCAUUUGAGAGGGGAGUUUUGUGUUUGCAAAGAGGAACUGGAGGCAGGUGGGAAUUUUGUGUUUUGCGUUUGUGAUGGAGGUCCCGCGUUUGCGAAGCUCUAAGGCAAAUGUUAUAUGCAUUCGCGAUGAGGGUCCCGCUUUCACAUAGAGGAACUGGCCACCUGAGUCUCCAGACCCUUUUGCUUACGCGUUCGCGAUGUUUGAUUCGUGUUCGCGUAGGGUCGAGUUGAGUGACCUUCACGUUCAUGAUUAGGUCAUCACAUUCGUGAUGAAGGAUUUUUGGCUGGAGUAAGUUUGUGCUUCACAAACGCGAGGGUUCUUCCACGUUCGCGAAGAAUUGAUGCAUGGGCAGUAUUAAACAUUUCAAAAACAAGGGUUUGCCAUUUUUAUCAAAACUUCAGAUAGAGAGCUCGGAUUUAGAAGAGAUUUUGAGGGAUUUUCAGAGACAUUGAUUGGGUAAUAAUUCUUCAAUUGUUUUUUGGUUAUAUUAUACUAAUCUAUAGUUGAUUUCAUCAUUUAAUUAAGGAAUUUGGCUGAGAAAUUUGGGGAAAAUAGGAGAAGUUCUUCAACUAAGUUUUUGAGUUUUGAUUUGGAUUUUGAUAUCGGAUUUGGAUAAUUUUUGUAUGAGUGAACUCGUGAGUGAAUGGGUAUUUAUAUUUUGUAACUUUUACACCGAUUCCGAGAUGUGGGCCCGGGUCAAAUAUUUGGGGCGAUUUUCUAAUUUCUUGCUUAAUCCUUGAUUUCAUUAAUUAGAUUAGUUUAUUAUGGUUGUAUUUACGGUAUGUAAUUUAAUUUUGCUAGAUUUGGGCCAUUCGGAAUUGGAAAAUCAUGGAAAAGGCAUUGUUACUAAUCGAUUGAGCUUGGUUCGAGGUACGUGGCUUGACCAACCUUGUGUAGGGGAACUCCCAUUAGGAUUUGGUACUGAUGUGAUAUGUGAUCGCCAUGUACGAGAGGUGACGAGUGCGUACACGGGUUAUUUGUUGUAACACCCAAUUUUUACUGAGAAAUAACCGGUUUCAUCUUAGUUCAGUUAUACUAGCAUGUGUAGUUAUCCUGUUUAGCCUAGUAUCGCAUGCCUACUUGUCUUAAAUGCUUAUCUGAACUCUGUGCAGCAUGCUUAGUGGAUUUCCUAUUUUUCCUUGAUGUGUACUUAGUCGAAAUUGUAGGAUUUCUUGUUGUGCAUGUUAUUUCAUUAUUUUGAGCUGCGUAUUUACUUUGGGACUAUGGGACGGUAUCCCAGGAGAUCACCCUGCAUAUUUACUUUGGGACUACGGGACAGCAUCCCGGAAGAUCCCCCUGCAUAUUUACUUUGGGACUACAGGACGAUAUCCUGGGAGAUCCCUCUGCAUAUUUAGUUUUGGGACUACAAGACGGUAUCUCGGGAGAUCCUCUGUUGUUUUACCUCAGUGUACGAUACUGUUAUUCUUCUGUGAUUUCUUUUUUGUUAAAGUUUAGUCUCUUAUUGUACUGUGAUAUUUUUAUUCUACCUUAUCUAAUUUAUAUAUACCAGUAGGGCCCUAACCUGACCUUGUCAGUACUCGACCGAGGUUAGGCUUGGCACUUAUUGGGUACCGUUGUGGUAUACUCAUGCUACUCUUCUGCACAUGUUUCAUGUGUAGAUCCAGGGACCUCCUACCAACCCCGCUAUUAGUUGCGUACUUGUUGCUGCUCCAGGGACUUCAAGGUACAUCUGCCCGCGUCUGCAGACCUCACAGUCUACCUCUAUCCCUUUUAUGUUGUUCCUCCUUUACUUUUUCUAGUUAUUGAUGUAUAGAAACAGUUAGACAAAUUCUUAGAAGCUUGUGACUUAUAAUAUUCUGGGUCUUGGGGAAAUUCUAUGUAUAUUUGAGAGUUUCUUAUUUCACAUGUCGAGCGUCACUUAUGUCAGUUAUUUUAUUGUUUGUUGUAGUUAGUUGUUAAAUUUAUGCUUUCAUUUUUAUUAUUCCGUAGGUGUUAGGCUUACCUAGUCGUAGAGACUAGGUGCCGUCAUGACAUCUCACGGAGGGAGGAUUUGGGUCGUGUGAGCAUGUAAUUUCGCCCUACUAGAAAUACUCCUACAAAAUUAAAGAAAAUAGAUUCGCUCCAAAAAAAAUUAAUUUUAUAGGAUUUUGUAGGAUUUUAUUAAUUGCUUGAAUUUUUGUGCACGUUCAAUUUUGUUAAAAUCAUCAAAAUACCCCCAAAAUAUCAAAAAUUUCAUGCAUUGCAUAUUAUGUUUUGUGUUCAUAUUUUAAUAUUUGGUUAAUUAAUUACUUUAUUAAAAUGAAAAAUUACAAAAACAUAUUGUCCAUUUUACAUUUUUAGCUUUUAAUAUUAGAUUAAUAAUUUUCUCUUCAUCGAUUUAGGAUAAAUUAAUCUGUAAAUAUUAUAAAUAUAUAAUUAUUUUGGUUUUACAGAUUAGAUUAAUUUAGGAUUUAAUUGAGGAUUUCAAUUAAUUUAGUUAAGUGUUUAAGAAUUAUAGAAAAGAAAAAGAAAAAAAAAGAGAAAAAAAAAAGAAAAAUCAAGAUCAAAGAAAAACGACUGCCUCCACAAUUGGGCCAAGUUGCCCAUAGCCAAAAUUUUCCCCAAUCCAUCCCAACCCCUAUAUAAAACUGGUCCAGCUCUCCCAUUAAUUAAAACGACGCCGUUUUAGUAACGACGAUCCUAGCCGUUGAUCUUUCUUGAUCAACGGACCAGAACUCAAUACCCACACCCCUUAUAACCGUCUGAACAUCCCCCAUAACCCCAAAACACCCCCAUUCUCUCUUCUCUCUCUCAGAGACUAACCCUUGCUGCCCUAAAAUCCCUCAUCGGCUCUGCCGUCCUCCGCCGCCUGGAAAUUGCCUCACCACGGUGGACCACCACAAAACCACCCAAAACUUAACCAGAUAAUCUCCAGCCCCCUAUUUUCACUAAUGCACCUUUAGUUCCCCCAAAUUCCUCAACAAUCCAGUCGAAUUUCAGAUCUGAGAAAUCAUGAAAAACCUAGGUUUACCUUUUCUCUGAUUUUUCUUCUAAAUCGAGUUUGUUUUACGUUACAACUCACAUCAAUGUGGGUUGCUUUUGUUGGGAGUCGCCGAUUGGUGUUAGUUUUAUAACAUUUGGACAAACCUUAAAUCCGGCCAGAACCCUACUAACUUUGCCGGAAUUCCGGCAAAGUUGUUUCUUCUCCAAUUUAAUUUCCAAACCUCCCCAGAAUCACACCUUCCUUCAUCCUCAAUCCAAAACCCAUCAAAAAAUUUCGAUUUACAAAAUCAGAGAACCCGGAAAUCUUAAUGGCCAUUGGUGUAUCUGGUUUUCAGAGGUCCUCGUGGCAAGAUGUCCCAUCCGGAAUUUAAAUUUUGGAUGGGUCUCUUAACACAAGGACUUUUGGCGACUGGGUGAAUUGGUUUCAAAUCGGCAGAAUCCGGUUUAGGUAUGCCCCUUUUCCUUCUUUCUUUUUCCUUUUCCUGCUUGAUUCCUUUACUAUUAUUAGUUGUUUUGUUUCUCUCUUGUUUGUUCCGUUUGAUUGGCAACUAUCUUAACUCAUAGGUUUGUUCGAUUGAAUCAAAUUCAGGUUAAUUAGGUUAUUGUUACGUGUGAUUGCAUCUCUGUCUUCUAUUGCUGUUUUUCGUUUAUUUGUUUUGGAAUUUAGGUCUGUUUAGGUUUAUUAUUCAGUAAAGUAGGGUCAAUCAGCUAAUUACUCUAAUUUAAUCAUUUACUUAGGUUUAAUUCAAGAUAUUUGUUUAGCUAAGUCCAUCUAAUAAGAUGCCUUGAUUUAGCUUUAGUUAUUUAAUUAUUUUGGUUUGAAUAAGUUAAGAAUUGAAAUGGAAAUAACUGACAUUUAAAGGGGUCAAUUGAAAACUAACAUGAGGGAGUCUCAAUCUAGAACUAUCUGGAAGGUUUUAGAAGACAAUGGUAGGGGCUAAAACGUAAUGAAACAGCUAAAAUUGGGUCAAAUUUGGUAAAAGAGUAAUAACAAGAACUUACAGGGGUUUAAUUGGGAUUGAUAAAUGAGAAAAGUAUCAGAAUGUUCUAGUAUGGGACAGUUAUCCCCAUUCUUAGCAUGAAAAUGUUGAAAUUAGGUGGGAAAAGGGACAGACGAUGUUAAAAUAUGCAGUACUAUCUGACAUUUCAGAAAUUAGGGUAGAAUAUUCCAUUUGUUAUGCUAUCCUUGUGCAUUCUAUAUAAAUGAAAAACAUUCACUCAUUCUCACACAACAUCAUCAGCAUAGGCAACAUAAAAAGGAUAUUUCUGAAAUACAAAGAAUUCUGGGAAAAGAGCUGGAUUUUCACAUUGAUUUUCCUUCAUUUUUUCUGAGAUUCCAAGGGGAUUUGAAAACAUAAAUAGCUCCAUGUUUCCCUAAUUCAUCAUCUCUGCUGUUAAAGUUGGUCUAGUCAAAUACUUUGGGUUUUCUGGUUGCUGCUCUGUUGCUCCUGCUAUAUUCUGGUUGCUGCUCUUCCAGUUCUUAUUCAUCUUUUUCUUCCCUUUUUCUUUGCUGAUAAUAACAUAUGUACUGAUAUUUUUUCCCGAUAAUAGAGUUGGUAUUUGAAUGUUAUAUGGCUAUGAGAUUUCAGCUAUCUGUUCACUUCAUGUAUACUGGAUGUUUUUGUUUUUACGUUUGAUUAUGAGUUCAAGUUUGAUUUAAAGCAUCAGAAUGUCACAAACCUUAAUGAAAUAGGAAACAAUGCAUUAAAAUCAGUUAUUUCUUUUAGCCUUUGACUGUCAAAGUAUUCUUGAAGUUCUGAAAAAUCCCUAAAUGUUUGAGAUUUCAGAAGUUUGGCAGCAUGUUCUUUUUGUGUAAAGCCUUCCCCUUUUGAAAUCACUUUUUCUUGGUAUUGUUAGCAUUUGGUAAUGCAGGAGUUUGUGAGUGCUUGGCACGAGGCCCAGAUUUACAAAUCUUGCCACUGGUUGGUUAGCCUUUUGUGAAUGAUAGGUAGCUUCAAGAAUAUGGCAAAACUUAUUACUAAGUUGAUCACUAGGCAGAUUCAAAAUUUAUUUGAUUUCAUCCUGUACAUAUUACUUUUAUUAAUUUAGUUCAAGGCCUGUAAUUAUUUGUAAAUAUUUAAUGAAGUUAUUUAUUAUUGGAAGUGUAUAAAAUGUAUUCAAACUUAGUUUAAAUCAUUGCUAUUUUAGCUCUUUUCUUUACAACAGUCCAAAUGUUUCUUGUUCAGAGUUCGAAAACUGGGCCCAUUCCAUUUAAGCACAUCUAGGACCAGUACAUAUUAACUUGAGAUGUUUCAGUUUAGUAUAUGUUGUUUGUUCCUGAAAUGUGACUUAAAUAGCUAGUAUAAAUGUUUUGAAAAUCGCUGAUUUGUGCACGUCCAUAUUUGGCAAGAAUGUUGAGAUUCUGGUGUGUUGUUUGAACUCUUUUUAGCCCUUCUAUGCAAUACAAAUGUUUUUUAAGUUUAUCCUUUUGUCAAAAUUAUGUUAAGUAAUCACUAGUUUCCUUUGCAUAAUGUUAGAUCCAAUCGACCGUGGCCUAAUUUGUCAAAAUUGGUUCAUUAACUUGUAGUGAUAUCAUUGACUCAAAGAGAAAACAUAUUUAGAUCUUUUGUCCACAUUAACAGAACUCACACUUUACCCGACCCCAUUUCAUAAUUCUUUGACAUUCACUUGACUUCAAACCUUAGAAAAGGAUGAUCAUAUGAAUACCGUAUUUUGCUUUAGGCACGAUUGUUAAAUAAACCAUCAUGAUUAUGGGUAUGGUUCCCGUGACAUAGUUAUGAUGCCUAAUUUCCUAAAUUCGUGUGUGCAUUUUAUGUGACCCAAUCACAACAACUUCGAAUAAUAAUAAAAAAAAAGUCGCGAAUCGCGGGUGCAUUUCAUGUAGUGUGGUUUGCGGCGUGUUCCAAAAUGGCAAGAGUACGACAAUCAUAACUUGUUCAAGAAAAUUUCCAUAAAUCCUAAAAGCGGAUAAAAUAAUUAAAAGUGGUUAUAAAGUUAAAAAAUGCACACUAGGUUUAAAACAUGUAAUAAAUUAGAUAAUUAGGCCAAUAUUAAUAGUUAAGCGACUGUGCUCGAACCACGGAACCCGGAAAUGCCUAACACCUUCUCCCGGGUUAACAAAAUUCCUUAACUAGUUUUCUGGUUUCGCAGACUUUUAAAUGAAGUCGAUUUUCCUCGAUUUGGGAUUUAAAGUAAACCGAUGACUUGGGACACCAAAUAAAUUAUUCCAAGUGGUGACUCUGAAAUAAAUAAAUAAAUAAUUCCGUUUCGAUUUAUGUUACUUUAAUUGGAAAAACUCCUUUAUAUCCCACUCGGAAGAAAAAAGGAGGUGUGACAACUCUGGCAACUCUGUUGGGGACUAAGAACCCAGAACCUUUGGUUUAGGGUUCAAGAAUUCGAGCUUAUAAUAACUGUUAUACGUGGCUUUAUUUUUUUUUACAUGUUUGAGCCUAAUGUGCUAAAUGCCUCUUUUUACUGCUUUGAUAUCGUUUGAACUGUAUAUAAAUUGUUACGAAACCCUCUUCUCUCUGAGUCUUCUAAAUCAUCUAGGAAGUGUGCACUUCCUAUGAUUUAUUUUCUGUUAGAGUCAUAUCCCAAUUUAAGAAUGAGGUUCGGACAAGUUGCAAAGCCGGUGAAACUUCUGUAUUCACAGUACGCUGCCCCCCUCGGCUCGAGUCAUCUGCUCGGGUAAGCCAGGUCUAGAAUAAAUACACCCAGGUUUUUAAACCUAGAAUAACAUAGCCUCAUGCCGGAUCCCUAGUAGAAAUGCUUGUUUGAAUCACGUGCAUUUGACUUUGGGGACUCAACACAGGGGUUGGGUUCGUCUAGGGCCGGUGCACCCUAAAUCAAAAGAUCAUCCCGAUGCAUUUUACUUGCUACUUGUACACUUAUUUGCUUUGGAUUGCAUGUUCACCGACUUCUAGAAUAAGGGAGAAAAGUUGGAAAAAUCAAAUUGAGGUAUGAGAGAGAUAAUUACCUACUUUUGAAAAAUCAGGUGUCCAAAAUAUACCGAAACUCUGCCGAAAACAAAGAGAGAAAAAGAAAAAGGAAAUAAAAGAAAAUUGUUUCAAAUAUUUCAUGUUUUUCUGUUGCGUCAAAAACUUCCUGAACUACGCAGGUUUUAUUCUCACCAGAUGUGGUAUACGUAGGCAACCCUUAUCGGGUCCAACCCUAUUUUUAGAAAAAUAACCCAAAAAUAUGAAAGGUUGUCAUUUUGUCAUAAAUAAAGUUAGAUGAUGUCGUUUUUGUCUAAAUCGCCAGAAAUGCCCCGACAGGGAGCCGGAAGGUUGUUUUUGCAAGAAUAACCACCUAUGAUCGUUUUUUCAAAUUUUGGCCAAUUAGCAAACACAUCCCUAAAAUCUUCCUUCCUGAAGUGCUGAAGGGCCGUAUUUGCAAAGGUGUUUUGUUUUGAGCAAGUUGUUUGAGUUGCAAUUUUGCAAAAAUAAUAUUCUUCCUUUUGGGUUAAAAUAAAUCAUGGGUUUUUAACCGAUCACUUUAAAUAAAUGUGCAGGAUGAGCACUAUUGAAAAUGAACCUUUCAAAGUUGUAGAGAAAAUCCUGAUAGGACUCCAUAUGUGGUUUAAUGACCUGGGGGAAGUCAGCAGAGGUGUUGCGAUAAAAGCUUUAGGCGGGAUCACUGGUCUUUUGAAGAUUAAACCAAGGGUGGACAUAAUUGAAGCAUUGAUACCGUUUUAGGACUUGGCGCAAAUGUGUUCCAUUUCUUUGAUUUUGAGUUAACCCCUACACUUGAGGAGAUAGCAGGCUAUGUUGGCCUUAACAGGAAUCUUAGUAGCUGAUACCCAGUGGAACCAAGAGUUGUAACCCCUCACAAGUUUCUAGAUCUUGUGAGCAUUAGUCGGGAAAUCAAAGAUUGAAAUUUGGCUGAAGGAUUUUGCACAUUCUACUUCCUAUACCGCCGUUAUGGGGACCCCCACGUUUUUGAGCCUUCGAAUACCAGUUUAAGUCAUUAAGGGAAUAAAGGCAAAUGGGAAGCAUGCCAGGGAUUGGCCUUCGUAGUGGCAUUCUUAGGCACUCUAAUCUGCCUGAGGAGUGAUGGACAUAUAGAGUUGGGGCUCGCAGGGGUGGCUAACUUCAUGAUCAAAAAGGCUAAUGACACUAUUAUAUCAAUGAUCCUGGCAGAAAUUUACCGAGCUUUAACUGUUUGGCGAGCUGGGGGAAAGUUUUUUGAAGGUUGCAACUUGCUUUUACAAAUCUGGAUGGAAGAACAUUUGUGCCAUCACCCGGGGUACAUGAACUAUGAUCUAACUGAUCUCAACUACAUUGAGGAACAUGAAAACCGGGUAAAUGGUCAUGAGUUUCCAGAAGGUACAGACGAAUGGGUUGCACAUUUGGGUUUUUUGACUGCAAGCAAAAUUGAGUGGACAUUCGGUUGGCUCCGUGUCAACGAAGUUAUCUAUAUGUUGGUCGGAGUGUGCUUUCUUUUAUUAAUGAGUCUUUGAAGUAUUCAGGUGUAUGCUCCACACAGGGUUCUGUGCCAGCUGGGUAGGUACCAAACUAUCCCUCAUAAUGAAGAUUUGAGUUGACAAGUCAUUGAACUAGGUCCAAAAGCUGCAUUCCCAGAAGAAAAGGUUGGCCAGAUUUGGCAUCAAUGUAGGUUUCUGGAGCCACAAACUCGAGUACGGGAUUUGUCCAACGGUGAGGUAGAGCCUAGCUACACGGCCUGGUAUGGUAAAAGGGAUCAAGAACCUGAAUGGCCCACCAAAAGGCCCCAUGUACAAUAGUUCACUGAUGGGGCACGAGAACAAUGGAAUUGGUUGGCAAAGGAGAAAACCUAUAGGGCCACGAUAAGCAAAUUAGAAGGGAAAAUCAGAGAUCUUAAAUUUAAUAGUAGUGUGCAGGCCGCUGCUGAUGAAGGAGAGAAGAAAAAGUUGGCUCGAGAAAAUGAAGCCCUUCGAGCCCAGAUUCAAAGGAUGAAGAUAGCUGCUGAAAACCCGAGAAGGAGCCAAACAGAUGAAAGACUUAUAAACGGUCUUAGGCGGAAAGUAUGUGAGCAUGAGACUGAUUUGGAAAAGUCCGAAGGUAUAUUAGCAAGAGACCGGGCAAAGCUGGCGAAGAACGUAGAAGGACGGGCAGGGUUUGUUCAGCAAUUAAAAGAAAAAUAUGAUAGAGAGGUUGCAAAUCUAAAGAAAAAGCUAACUACCCUCGAGAAUGAAAUAGCUCAAUAGACAAAGAACUUCAAGGCAGAGAGGGAACAUUGUUAUGCAUUGAUGUCCGGACUAGAAGAGGACAUGCAACAGUAGCAGGAGCAAAGCCAUAAUGACACCCAAGUUCUGGAAGCUAGAUCUCAACAAAUUGGGCGCCUGCUCUAAGAGAAAGGCAUCAUUAGAGAAAGGAUUAGAGGAAUUCCUGACUAUAUCGUCAUGAAAUGCCAUGAGUGCGAGGAUAUGACUAGAUCCACUUUCUUCGUCACUGUGAUGACUUUUGUUCGCCAGAUAAUGGACGACCUAGAUCGCCUCCAAGAAGACAUUGCACGUAGGCCCACGUCGAGACCGACUGAUGUCCCGCGGGCCCCUGGAGUAGUAUUGGAGGCACUUAUGUAUUCCUGAUUUUUCUUUUCGAGUAUGUAUUUCAGCUUUCUUUUAGAGUCUGUUAGUCUACUUUGAGUCUGUUUGUUUUUUUUAGUUCUAAAGUCUGUAUGAUGGAGUCGUUGUAAAAGAGAAAAAUUAGAAGUUUUUAUUUUAAUGAAAAUUUGGAAAACCCAAAAAAUAGUUCUUUCUUUUAUUUCGCAUUUAUCCCCUGAACUACAUAAUGAUCUGAUUCAUGCGGUGUCAUGAUACAUAGGCAAUCCCCAUCGGAUCUGGUCAUAGCUUUAGAUAACUCGAAUAAGAGAGAAAAUGAUGAAAAAAGAGAGGGCACAAGAAAAAGAGAGAAAACAAUGCAAAGAGAGAGCGCAAAGAAAAGAGGGAAAUAAUGAAAAGCGCAAAAGAAAAGAAAAAGAUUCAAGAUCUGGGAGAUAGUCAAAGCCGGGAUAAGACACGCAACCGUUGCAAAAUAUAUAGAAAAAUGUUUAACUAUUUAGGUGCAUUGCAUUCCCCAACGUGUGAUUCCCUAUGUGUUAAUCAUCUCAAGCUAACCGAUUUGUUGUGUAUGCUAUUGAGAACAGGUUCUGUUUUAGGUGGUUGGUUUUGUGUUAAUUUGGCUUCACACCCUUACUUCACGAGAUCUAAAGGGAGUGUUGAAAUGAGACCGAAAAGUCACCUACCAAUCAUUAACCCCUCAGAGGACAGCCCAAUGUCGGUUAUCCUGACGUCAAAGUCAGCAACUACUGAAGAGAACAGGAUAUUGCGCCUUCGCAUGUUGGAAAUGUGGGAUGCUUGGUCUAACGGUAGGGAGCCGCCUAGCGCAAUACCUGGUUUUCUCGAGCUGAUUCACAGAACAAGUGGAACCUCCAAUAUCCCUAUAAGCUACCCGACCACCCCAUUCGGAUACCCCACUAUGUCAACCUAUUUCACUAGAACUCAUUCUAAGGUUUACCCCCAGGCACUGAUUUCGGGAGUGUUUUCUAACAUAUUCACCGCACCACAAACCUCUGCUAUGGAACAACCAACAGUACCCAGGCCAGGUUUCGAGUCAUCGUCCUUUACUUUCCAAAUACCACUAUUUCAAUUGGAUACAGCUCAUGUUACCCCAAGCUCCUACCCUCAACAACCUCGGUAUGAGUCUACCACGGAACAAGAGAGAACUAUAAAGAAUCCCGAGCAAGAAUAGAUCACUCGAAAAAUGAAAAGCAUAGAACAAAGUCUCAAGAACAUACAAGGCCUGAGUGGCCAGAAGAGUGUCUCUUACGCUGACUUGUGCAUGUUCCCUCAUGUUCAUCUGCCAAUCGGUUUCAAGACUCCCAAAUUUGAAAAUAUGAUGGACAUGACCCCAUAUCUCACUUGAAAAGGUAUUGCAAUCGGUUAAAAAUAGCGGGCGGGAAAGAAGAACUCUUGAUGGCUUACUUCGGGGAGAGUUUAGCCGGAAUUGUAUCUGAAUGGUAUAUGGACCAAGACAUCUCCCACUGGCACAUCUGGGAUGACUUGGCCCAAGACUUUGUCAGAUAGUUCCAGUACAACGUGGACAUAGCUCCAGAUAGAAACUCUUUGUUCAAUUUCAAAAAGAAGUCUUCGGAGAGCUUUCGAGAGUAUGCUAUCAAGUGGCUUGAACAAGAUGCCAUGGUGAAACCCCCAAUGGAUAAGACUGAGAUGAUCAGUGUCUUCUUGUAAGCCUAAGAGUCUGAUUAUUUCCAGAACAUGAUGCCCGUUAUGGGCAAGCAGUUUGCAGAAGCCAUAAAGAUUGGGGAAAUGGUGAAGAAUGGUUUGAAAAUGGGUUGCAUCCUGAGCUAGUCGACUAUAAGAGCCAUCUCUCAAGCAAUCCAGAGCAGGUCGGGGGCUGCAGCAAACCGAAAAAAAGAAAGAAGAAGUGGCAAUGAUGGCCUCAAGUUUGAGAAACCCCCAUCAACCCCGAGGUUACUUUGGUUCCUCUUCAAGCACCCCGCAACAUCACUACCAUCACCAAGAUGCGACAUAUGCCAUGACUCAUCAGCCUUAUGCAGUAAUGAAUACCCAGCCAUACGCUCGGCCACAACAAUACUAUAACUAGAACUGAGCUCCACCUCCCAGAAAUAACCCUCCUCACCAAGCUCCAUAUAACCCCCGUCCACCACAGAAUAAUUUUCCAUAUAACACCCGUACCCGUGAACAACCCGUACCUCCAAACAGGAAAAACCCAGAGUCACCCUCCUACCGACUAGGUACCCGAUAUGCUUAUCAUUCAGGGGCAGAAAGGCAUGACACUGAAGAUUGAUGGACCCUUAAGAGUGUGGUCAAAAACCUGAUAGAACAAAAACCGGUAGUGUUUAGGGAUGAGGACGUUCCCAAUGUAACAAAUAACCCAUUGUUGGCUCACAACAAUGGACCAGUCAUUGGUAUGAUCUUUGAGGACAAAGAGUUCGACCCAGCUUUGAAAUCUAUCAUUGCUAUUGCUGACGUAGAAAAGAAACCCAGAACGGCAGAAAAACAAGCUAAGGAUGAGAAGAAGAGCAACUCCACUCCUCAAAGAAUAGAAAAGGUUGUGGAAGCCAAGACAGGGGUAGUACUUCCUAAAGAUGCCAUUCUCUAUGUUCGCAGGGCCCCAAAAAAGAACAACUCGUGUUGAGUCCCCCAAAAAGUUUGAGAAAAACAAGGUUACACUAAAGGUACCAAAGAUGUACAUACCAAACAGGACUUAUGUGGCGCAGGGGCCGAUAAUUUCACCCAGGCUGACUGAGCCCGUGGUUAUCAGCCGCGUACCAAAAAAAUCCUAUGAAGGGCCCUACUGUCGUCCCCUAGAACUAUAAUAAAGCGGUGGUGACGUACAAGGGAAAGGAAAUCAUGGGGGAGGUGAAUGAAGCAAACCCGUCUUGGAAGUACCUCAACUUGGAAGAAUUGAAGAAAACCAAACAGAAGCGUUUUCUGCUUAAAAAGCUAGUCAAUGCUGAAGAGGCAGAUGAAUUCUUCCGAAAGAUUAAAACCUUGGACUACGCCGUGAUUGAUCAACUCAGAAAGUCACCCUCUCAGGUCUCACUUUUGUCCCUGUUGAUAAGCUCGAAUGAGCAUCAGAAAGUGCUAUUAAAGACGCUUAAUAAGGCAUAUGUUCCGGUCGAGACCAUGGUUGAACAAUUGGAAAGAAUGGCAGAAUGAUUUUUCGAAGUCAAUCGGAUUUCAUUCAGCCGAAAUGACUUUCCUACAGAAGGGGUUGCCCACAACAAAGCUCUUCAUUUGACCAUUAAAUGUGAAGGAUACUACGUGAAAAGAGUUAUAUUGGAUGGCGGAUCUAGGGUUGACAUCUUCCCUCUCUCGACCUUAUAGAGAAUGGAAAUUGGGACUGAACGGAUUAAACCCAACAAUGUUUGCAUACGUGCUUUUGAUGGCGUCAAGAGGGAUACGAUAGGGGAGAUUGAUUUGGUCCUAACCAUUGGCCCUAUGGAUUUUGAAGUGACAUUUCUGGUUUUGGACAUGGACACCUCCUACAACUUUCUCUUAGGAAGGCCUUGGAUCCAUGCUGCAUGAGCCGUUCCCUCUAUGCUCCACCAAAUGGUUAAGUUUGACCAUGAAAACCAAUAAAUGGUGGUCCACAGAGAAGAUGAGUAAUCAAUUUACUGGGACCCGUCAGUCCCAUGUCUGGAGGCUAAGAAAGGUAGCGAGCACAUAGUCUACCAAGCUUUUAAAAUCAUGGUUGCGGACCAGUGUGAGGAAGGAACCCCAUGUACUCAACCCUUCUUGUCAAACGCGUCAAACAUGGUCUCCAAUGAAACGAUCAAAUAUGGCUACAAGCCUAGGAAGGGGCUCGGGGCAUCUUUGCAAGCUAUUACAGAGCCCGUCACUUUGACUGCCAGUGAGAAAUUCUUUGGCGUCGGUUUCCAAGCUAUAGAAGCCGACGUAAAAUUGGCUAAUGAAUGUAAGAACAAUGGGUGGGCUCUACCUCAGUCGGUCCUGCAUCUCGCCAGAAUGUUUGUUAAGCCAAGGUACAUAGAAGGAGAAGAAGAGGCCUUAACGGUCGAAGAAAUUGAGGACAUCUGUGGGGCAAUGAGGCAAAUGUUAUAUGAGGCUCACAUUGUCCAGUCGGGUGAAGGAUCAAGCAUUGUUGAGGUGCAAUAUAUGGUGCCAAAUUCCAAACUUCAAAAUUGGAUGGCUACUCCGUUCCCAGUCAGGCAGGAAUCCCGGUAGUUCAGUCUUGCUAUCUUUUCUGCAUUCCGAGUUAUUUCAGGGUGUAACUCAAAUGUUUUUUGUUUUAUUGUCUUUUAAAUUCCAAUGUAAACCCUUCUAUCUUCAAAUUAAAUGAAAUGAAAUAAAUAUUUCAUCGUCUAUGAAUCUCUCUCUUUAUUCUUUUUUAUUUUUGUUAUUUUUUCUUAUCUCUCUUUUCAGUUCUAAUAAUGCGGACUUAAAUAACAUGACAUGCUUGCGGACUUCAUGCCCAGAUCCUAACAUGCUAUUUAACUGUGAAAUAAUGAAUCAAGAACUAGAAUAUGAUUAAGAUGAGGCAUUUAGGGAAAUUAACCGAGAACUGGAACAAUUUGAAAAUAAGCCUAAGUCAAACUUAAAUGAAACUAAGCCAGUUAAUUUGGAUAUUUCGGAAGAGGUCCAAGAAACCAUGAUAAGCAUUCAGGCUAAUGAAAGAACAAGGGAUGCAUCGAUCCAACUUUUGUUCGAAUCAAAUAUGUGUUUCCCUAGUCCUAUGAUGAUAUGCCAGGACUGAGUGUUGAUUUAGUGGUGAACAAAUUGCCAACUUACCCGAGUUUUCCCCCUGUCCAAAAAAAUAGAGAAAGUUUAAAACAGACAUCAGUGACAAGAUCAAAGAACAAUCACCAAAGAGUUGAAAGCGGGUGCGAUCCGAGUGGUAUAAUACACCACAUGUUGGCUAAUGUGGUCCCAAUGCCAAAGAAAGAUGGAAAAACCCUAGUGUGUGUUGAUUAUCGAGAUUUGAAAAAAGAAAGCCCUAAGGACAACUUUCCAUUACGAAACAUCCACAUCCUUGUUGACAACUGUGCCAAACAUGAGAUACAGUCUUUCGUGGAUUGUUAUGCUAGGUAUCAUCAGGUUCUGAUGGUUGAAGAAGACGCAGAAAAGAUGGCUUUCACCACACCUUGGGGUGCUUACUAUUAUAGGGUCAUGUCGUUUGGUUUAAAUAACACCAGGGCAACUUAAAUGAGAGCUAUGACUGCCAUCUUUCAUGACAUGAUGCACCAGGAAAUUGAGGUGUACCUGGAUGAUGUGAUCAUUAAAUCCAGAAUGCAGGAUGACCAUGUGCGAGAUUUGAGAAAGUUUUUUGAGCGCUUGCGUAAGUAUGACUUGAAGUUGAAUCCCGCUAAAUAUGCAUUUGAAGUACCAUCUGGGAAACCGUUAGGGUUUAUAGUCAGUCGAAGAGGCAUCGACUUAGAUCCAACAAAGAUAAAGUCUAUUCGGGAUUUGCCACCUCCGAGAACCAAGAAAGAGGUUAUGAGUCUAUUAGGAAGGUUGAAUUACAUCAGUAGAUUCAUUGCUCAGUUGACUUCCACGUGUGAGCCCAUAUUUAAGCUACUGAAAAAAGAUGCGGCGAUUAGAUGGACAGAGUAGUGUCAAGAAGCUUUCGACAUAAUCAAAGAAUAUCUAUCGAAUUUGCUAGUGUUGGUCCCACCCUAACCUCGAAAGCCUUUGUUCUUGUACUUGAUAGUGUUGGAGAACUCUUUUCGAUGUGUUCUCAGGCAACAUGAUGUGACCAGGAAGAAAUAACAAGCCAUAUACUAUUUAAGGAAGAAGUUCACUAGUUAUGAAGCCAAGUACACUUUGUUGGAAAGAACUUGUUGCGCCUUAACUUGGGUCGCUCAGAAGAUUAGGAAUUACUUGUUGGCUCAAACCACCUAUCUCAUAACCAGAUUGGAUCCUUUGAAGUACAUAUUCCCAAAGCUGAUGCCCACAGGAAGGUUAGAAAAAUGGCAAAUCAAGCUCACCGAAUUUGACAUAGUCUAUGUUACCCGCACUACAAUGAGAGCUCAAGCCUUAACAGAUUACAUAGCUAAAAAUCUUGUUGAUGAUGAAUAUCAUCCUUUGAGUACUUACUUUCCGGACGAGGAAGUAAAUUCAGUUCGGGUAAUUCCAGAAGACACCAAUACUUGGAAAAUGUUCUUUGACGGAGCUGUGAAUGCAAAAGGUGUCGGGAUUGGGGCAAUUUUGAUUUCGCCCACUGGUCAACACUAUCCGGCCAUAGCCUGGCUUCGGGUUUUCUGUACGAACAACACUGUCGAGUAUGAAGCAUGCAUCAUGGGCAUUAACAUGGAAGUCGAUCAGGAUGUGAAAGAAUUGUUAAUCAUGGGAUAUUCUAACUUGAUUAUUCGACAAGCUCAAGGUGAAUGGGAAACUCGAGAUAUCAAGCUUAUUCCAUACAGGCAACAUGUGGAAGAUCUUAGCAAAUGAUUCAAGUCUGUCGAGUUCAGGUAUAUUCCUCGAUUCCACAAUGAGUUAGUUGAUGCACUAGCUAUUUUGGCCUCAAUACUACCGUAUCCAGGCAAUGUACACAUUCACCCACUGGAAAUCCAAAUUCGAGAAAGACAUGGUUAUUGAAAUACAGUUAAGAUGAAACCAGAUGUUCAGCCAUGGUAUCAUGAUAUCAAAAGAUUUUCAAAAAUAAAGGAAUAUCCCGAACAAGCCAGCGGAGAUCAAAAGAGAACCAUUAGAAGGUUGGCCAGCAGUUUCUUCUUGAGCGGAGAGGUAUCGUACAAAAGAACUCUAGAUUUGAACCUUUUAAGAUGUGUGGAUGCUUAAGAGGCUAGAAAAAUCAUGAACGAGGUGCAUACGGGAGUAUGUGGAUCCCAUAUGAAUGGAUACAUCCUUGGAAAGAAAAUCCUUCGAGUGGGUUAUUACCGUAUUACCAUGGAAAAGGAUUGCUUCAGUUUUGUCCGAAAGUAUCAUCAGUGUCAGGUACAUGGUGACAUGAUUCAUGCACUGCCUUCAGAAUUGCAUCCUAUGUCACCACCGUGGUUGUUCGUUGCUUGGGGUAUGGAUGUCAUUGGGCCAAUCGAGCCAAAAGAUUCAAAUGGAUACAGAUCCAUCUUAGUUGCCAUUGAUUAUUUCACGAAAUGGGUUGAAGCAGUCACUCUUAAAGCCGUCACAAAGAAAGCGGUGGUGGACUUUGUGUAUUCCAAUAUAUUAUGUCGCUUUGGUAUUCCUAAGACUAUUAUCACCGACAAUGCUGCAAAUUUGAAUAGUCAUUUGAUGAGAGAGGUAUGCGAACAAUUUAAGAUCACGCAUCGGAAUUCUACCCCUUAUCGCCCCAAAGCUAAUGGCAUUGUUGAAGCAACGAACAAAAACAUCAAGAAGCUCCUUAGGAAAAUGAUCCAAAGUUCUAGACAAUGGCAUGAAAAGUUGCCUUUUGCAUUGUUAGGAUAUCGCACAACCAUGCGCACGUCAGUUGGGGCGACACCCUAUCUAUUGGUUUAUGGCACUGAAGCCGUAAUACCCGUAGAAGCUAAAAUUCCAUCUUUGUGAAUCAUCGUUGGAGCUGAGAUUGAGGAUAAUGAAUGGGUCAAGACCCGUCUAGAACAAUUAACUCUGAUUGAUGAAAAGCAGAUGGUCGCUGUUUGGAAAUGUCCGUAUAUUAUAAGGAAAUUGCUGCCGAAAGGGGCAUUGUACUUCGGAGACAUUGAAGUAAAUGACCCUGAAACAGCUAUCAAUGCAGACGCGGUCAAAAGCUACUACAUUUAACCCUUAUGCGAUGCUAAUAUUCUCCGAUUGGGAUGAUGAAGGCUUUCAUUCUCGCUACCUAAACAUUGUUAACCCUUUGCAAACCCUUUGAGCUGGUUACCUUUCUAUGAUUACCCUCUUUGGAGCUCUAAAAUGUUGUCAAAAAAGAACAAGAAAAAAAAAGAAAAUCAAAAACAAGGUUUCCUGAACUACGUUCGACUUGAUUUUGAAAGGAUACGUAGGCAUCCUAUCUCUGGGGUUCAAUCACGCCAAAACAAAAAUCCACAUUUCCCUAAAAGUUGAAACUGUGGCAGAAGAUAUAAAUGGUUUGGCGAUGGUUCGCCUGAAAGGUUCCAAAGUUAUAAUUCAAUCCAAACUAUUUUUAUCCCAAAUCCUAUUCAAGCCCUUCCGAUCAACCGGUAUAGAUGUUCAAAAUUGAAAGAUGUGUUUACUUGGAUCUUAUACAAUUAAAUGAGAGAAAUAAAAUGAGAGAGUCUUAUUAGUGAAAACCCACACGGGCACCAUAGGGCGAUGGUAAGCAGAGAAAUUGAAAAUGAGAGAGUCUUGUUAGUGAAAACUCGCAAAGAGCACAAUAAGACGACGGUGAGACGAGAAAUGAGAGAGGUCAGUUGGUGAAAACCCGCAAAGGGAGCAACUGAUCAAAAAAGGGAUCCCUUACGACCAUCGGUACUGAUAGAGUCCUGGCGAGGCUCAGUUUUGAGGUAUGGGUUAUGAUGGGUUUAUAAGGUUUGGAUGGUUUUCACAGAUCGGGUAUCCAGUCCAAAACGCAUGUCAUGCCUAUGGAAGUCUGCGUGCACUCCAGAUAAGUCCUUCAUUUCUUUCCCCGAAAGGGACACGUCUCGUUUAAAUUCAUUAUCCUGUCCAUUGUUUACCUUUCUUUGAAUCCCUUUCAGUUUAAUUCUCCCCUAAAACUAAUACAAUGAAAAGAUGGCAAGAUUGGUUUUAUAGAGUUUUGUUUGACAUAAAAGCGAAUAUUCAAGAAAGCACCCAGCCUCAGCAGGUGCAUCAAGUCGUCCUCAACUGUCUAUGAUGGCCGAUGCUUCAGAGUUAAAAACUCUUGAAAGGAAAGGAAAUCAAAAUCAAAUGCCCGUAAAGGCAAAAUAAGAUGAAAAGGACACAUCCCACACUGGUUAAUCAUCAUGAGAAGCUUCAAAAGGUCAAUACUUCUUAGAUUUUGAAGAUGAAACCAACUCCCAUAAAGAGCAAGCAAAGUACUAAAGAUCCUUACUAGAAGAGCGGGGCCAAGAUCAAAUGAUUAAAACAAUCAAGUCCACAAAACCAACAACCAUUUCAAACUAACAAUUGUUCUUUGUUUGAAAAUAGGAAAUGGGUGCAAUCCAAAAGCAGCCUUGCAAGAAGCAGGUGCAACAAAAGGAAGCUGCACAAGAGCUAAAAAACAGCUUUGCAGCAACAACGCCAAAAAAGGGAAGUCUCUUCCAAAAUUCUCUCCCGCUUUUACUCGGUCUUGAAAUUAAAAAUGAUGGUGAAAAUAAAAAUAAAAAAUAAAAGAAGAAGAAGAAGAAGAAGAAGAAAAUUCAAAAUCAUGGUAGCAUAGGGUAUCCAAUCUCUAUAUACGUCUUUUCCAACAUAGGGUCCUAUUCCCUAGUCGAUGCCAGCAUACCCUGGUAAUCUUUCCAACAUAGGGUCCCACUCCUUAGUUGAUUCCGGUAUAACCCGAUGACUUUUCCGGCAUAACCCGAUAAUUUUCUGGCAUAACCCGAUGAUUCUUCAGGCAUAACCCGAUGACUUUUCCGGCAUAACUUGAUGGCUUUUCCGGCAUAAGCGAUGACUUUUCCGACAUAACCCGAUGACUUAUCCGGCAUAACCCGAUGACUUUUCCGACAUAACCCGAUGACUUUUCCGGCAUAACCAGAUGACUUUCUCGGCAUAACCUGAUGACUCUUUCGGCAUAACCCGAUGACUUUUCCGGCAUAACCCGAUACUUUUCCGGCAUAACCCGAUGAUUUUUCCGGCAUAACUCGAUGACUUUUCCGGCAUAGCCCGAUGACUUUUCUGGCAUAACCCCAUGACUUUUCUAGCAUAACCCGAUGAUUUUUCCGGCAUAACCCGAUGAUUUUCCGGCAUAACCCGAUGACUCGUCCGGCAUAACCCGAUGAUUCUUCCGGCAUAACCCGAUGAAUUUUCCGGCAUAAACUGAUGAUUCUUCCAGCAUAGCCCGAUGACGCUUCUAAUAUAGGGUCCCACUCCCUAGUUGAUGCCAGCAUAACCUAGUAAUCGUUCCAAUAUAAGGUCCUACUCCUUAAUUGAUACCAGCAUAACCUGGUAUUCUUUCCAACUAGGACCUCCAAUCCCCAGUUGUUUUCAUUUUAGAUAUAGGGUCUCCAACUCCCUAAUCUCUUUUUUCCUAAGGAUACACAAUCCUGAUUUUAUUGCUUUCAAUAAAGAAGUAAUUUAGAUUUUUGUUACAAUAACUCACGAAAUUUUCUUAGUGAAAACUGGGGCAGAAAAAUUUAGUUCGUUUGUUUGUUUUGGUGUCUGAGCAGGUUAUACCGCGAGACAUAGAGUGUGAGAUGACCAAAAGAAGAAGUCACAAUCCAGAAUAAAAGAAAAUAAGAACAAGAAAAAAAGUGAACUCUAAGUGCAGAAGCGGAGAAAAGAUGUGGACAACUCAAGAUAUGAUUGAAGUCACAAGCUUUGCAUGUUCCGCCUUGAUCUGAAAAGCUGAAGAAAAAUGAACCAGCAGUUGCAGCUAAUGAGCAUCAAGAUUCAGAUCAGAGUCUGCAGGAAGAACCAACCAAGACUCAAGAUCAAGCUUUAGAAGGUUUAUAGAUAGGGAUUUUGUAACCCGUAGUUGAUUAGCUUUUCAUUUUCGUUUUGGUGUAAUAAGGAGCUCAACAAGCAGAAAUAACAGUGAAAUCAUAGUUUCUUGGUAGUCCCAGCUACCAAAACUUCCAAAACUACACUGACCUGAUUCUUUUAUAGCCAAGGAUAUGUAGCCAACCUCCGAAGCAAGGUUCGGUCAGACUUUUUCCCAAAAAUGCUUCCCAGGAGUAUCCAGAUGGGCAAAAAUCGCUCAUAAUUGCUCACUUUAUCUUUGCCUAAAAAUUCUUCAUAUUUCGAGCAAAGAGGGGCAACUUUGAGCAUGUAAGUUUUGCCCUACUAGAAAUACUCCUACAAAAUUAAAGAAAAUAGAUUUUCUCCAAAUGUUUUUCAAUUUUAUAGGAUUUUAUUACUUGUUUGCAUUUUUGUGCCCGUUUAAUUUUGUUAAAAUAAUAAAAAUACCCCAAAAAUUUCAUGCAUUGCCUAUUAGGUUUUGUGUUCAUAUUUUAUGAUUAAUUGGUUAAUUAAUUUCUUUAUUAAAAUGAAAAAUCACAAAAAAAUAUUGUCCAUUUCAUUUUUAGCUUUUAAUAGUAGAUUAGUAAUUUUCUCUUCAUCAAUUUAGGAUAAAUUAAUUUUGUAAAUAUUAUAAAUAGACAAUUAGUUUGGUUUUACAGAUUAGAUUAAUUUAGGAUUUAAUUUAGUACUUUAAUUAAUUUAGUUAAGUGUUUAAGAAUUAAAGAAAAGAAAAAUAAAAAAAAAAGAGAGAAAAAAAGAAAAAUCAAGAUCAAAGAAAAAGGGUUGCCUCCACAUUUGGACCAAGUUGCCCAUAGCCUAAAUUUUUCCCAAUCCAGCCCAAACCCUAUAUAAAAAUCGGUCCAGCUCGCCCAUUAAUCAAAACAACGUCAUUUUAGUAACAAUGAUCCUAGCCGUUGAUCUUAUUUGAUCGAACGGACCAGAACUCAAUACCCACACCCCGUAUAACUGUCUGAACAUCCCCCUUAACCUAAAAACACUCUCUUUCUCAGAGACCAACCCUAGCUGCCCUAAAAUCCCUCACCGACUCCGUCGCCUGAAAAUCGCCUCACGACGGCGAUCCACCACCAAACUGCCCCAAAACUUAACUAGAUAAUCUCCAGCCUCCCCUCUUCACUAAUCCACCUUUAGUUCCCCCAAAUUCCUCACCAGACCAGUCGAAUUUCAGAUCUGAGAAAUGAUAAAAAAACCUAUGUUUACCUUUUCUCUGAUUUUUCUUCUAAAUCGAGUUUGUUUUACGUUACAACUCAUAUCAAUGGAUUUCUUUUGUUGAGAGUCGUCAAUUGGUGUUAUUUUCAUAAUGUUUGGACAAACCUUAAAUCCGGCCAGACCCCACUAACUUUGCCUGAAUUCCAGUUGUGAGCACAUGAUUUUAGCCUUAUGUGAAUUACUCACAUAAAUUCAAGAAAAAUAAUUUUUCCCAAUAUCGUAGAUUUUCGUAGGAUUUUUUGUUAAUUGUUUGCAUUUUUCUGUGCAUGUUUAUUUUAUUAUAAAUCAUUGAAAAACACAAAAAUACAUUGCAUUUGUAUUUAGGGUCUAAUUUUGUAUUUUUGAAUUAAUUAGUAAUUUAGUUGUUUACAAAAAUAGAAAAAUUCACAAAAAACAACUCAUUUUUACAUUUUUAUUUGAGUUUCGAAUUUUGGGAGUUUUUCUUUUAAUUUGGUAUUUAAUUAUUUGUGGUAAGUGUUAUUUAGAGUUAGUUAAUUCAAUGUGGUAGGAUUAAUUUUAUUUAGGAAUUAGUUUAGGUUUUAUUUUUAUUUUUGUUUUUAAAAGAAAGUAAAAAAAAGGAAUUUUGAAAUAAUUAAAAAGGAAAGAAGUGAUAGAUCAGAUUUUGGGCUAUUCCAUUUUUAAUCCUCAGGCCCAAUUCAGAAACCCGUCCAAACCGUUUGAGUGCAGCCCAAACCCAUAUCCCAACCUGGUCCGAUAUCUAUGCUCAACCAAACGACGCCGUUCCAGCUCUUUCUCAUCUCAACCGUUGGAUCUCAUUGAUCCAACGGAUCGGAACUUGAUCUCCCUUAGGUAUAUUACUGUCCAAACGACCCCAACCCCCCACCAUUCCAUUUCCCCCUCAUUCCUUCUCUCUCCCAAACCCUAGAGACCGCCGCCCUCAUCGCCUCCACCUUGUUCCGCCUUACUCCGCCCAUCGGAAAUCGCCUCACGAUGGUUCCGGUGGUCCAAUCACUACCAAAUUAACACCAUGAACUCCCCUCCACAUCCCCAUCCCAAAUCUCCAAACAAUUCCUCUCAAAUUCCCUUAUGCUGCCUCAAAUCUCAGAUUUAAGGUCACCGCCUAAAACCCUAAAACUUCCAAAAUCUACCCUGAAUCACACCACGCACCCCUUCAUCUCCGUCCUUCCUCAAAUAUGUUCUUGUUUCCUCUCAAACCAGUCCGUCAGUGGUGGAGCAGAGGUCUGGAACACCCUAGGUCUCUCCCUAUGUUGUUUUCUGGUUCGACAAGGUUGAGUGAACCCAAACCGUCAUUAAUCUUUUGUCUUUUGUUAAGGACAAUCAAUUAAUGACCGUCAAGGGUUCACUUUCUUCGUCAAAAGGCUAUUUGAGUUCGUGCAGUUUCUUGUUGAAGCAGUUUUGGAAUAAUUUUUGUGUUGACUAGUUUCCGUUUGAUCUUUUCUUUUUGUUUGUUUGUUUGUUUGUCUAGUUUUAUUUCUUCAAAAGUUUCAUUUCUUGUUUAAUUGCAUUUUGUUUCUGGUUCAUUAGUUAGUUUGUUUGAUAAAUUGUUAAUGACAAUCGAUUACAUAGGGUUCGAGUUUGAUUUGUUUUCAAUUCGUGAGUUUCUCUUCUUUCGGCUAGAUUUCGUUUUAUGUUUGUGAAUUAAUUCUAGAACUGAGACAUUGAGAUUAGUCAAGUAUAGUUCCUUGUCUACAUUAAUUCCUUCUUUCAAGAGCAUUUUUUGAGUUCAUGUUUAUGUGUGUGAAGGAUCUUAGGUAUAAUUCAUGCUAAUUCUUCAUGAUUUCAAAUGAUUCAACAAUUGUUUUGAAUUUCAAUCUGGUUGAAAGUGUCAGCUCGUUUGCCUACUAUUUAUUAUGAUUGUGAGCAUUCAGAACUCGGGGGGGAAUGGAAAAUUAGGAAUUUUAGGGGUAGUUCUAGAGAUUGGUUCAACUUGGGAAUCUUUGGUAACCAAUUGGGGAAGCUUCCUAAAUGGACAGCUGCCCAAAUUUGUUAAGGGAAACAGGCUAGAAAAUUGAAAAUAUCUAAAGGAAAAUGACAGCUGUCCAAAAAUCAGUUUUAAAAGAUGCUCUGUGAGGGUAUUUUGGGGAAAAGCUGAUUGCUUUGCCUUGGAAGGCACACAACAGCCCCUCAGCCUUAUAAAUGAAGCUUUUUCUUUCACUUAACGGAUGGGGGAACACACCUUAAAAGAGUGAAAAUUCUCUGCAUUAAUUUGGGGUCAAAAGCUGCUUGCUAUCACACUCAAGGAGAACACCAGAAAAAUCAGAAAAAUGGCUAAGAGAGUUCAUUGAUAUUUCUGCAUCUUUUGGGUUGAAAAUUGGUUUCAAAUUUGAUGUUUAAUUUUAAGCGUUAGCUGGAAUUCAAAAACUUCGAAGAGCUUCUAUUUUGCUGGGUAAAAAUGGUUUAAGAUUUAAGCUUGUUUGUGUUUUGGAGCUGUUGGUUCAUCUGCUUUGUUACUACCGCUAUGUCCUCAUUUUCUUUGGUUUCUUUCGAUAUCUAGGUACACACUUUUAAGCCCUAAUGGUUGUGAAGUUGGAUUUGAAAAGUGAAAUGAAAAGCAGAAAGUUUAAAGCAAAGUACCAGUUAUUUGUGCUUCAACUUUACCUCUUUUUGAUUCUGUGUUUUGAUAGUUUAGUUCUUAUCAUUGUCUAGUAUCAUGGGAUAGUUAAGGUGUUGUAGCAACAGACUUAGUCGAGGCAUUUGAAUUUUAGCCUUGCCUUAAUUUCGGUUGAAAUAAGUGUUCAUGUUUGGUGAUGAUUUUGUGUUGACCUAGCUAUUAUGACAAGUUUAGGUUGGAGACAAAUUGAAUGAUGUGUAGUCUGUUAUUUUAAAGCAUUGGGAGGUAUUGUUUUGCCAGAAAUAGUCGUCUUGUGAUAUGUGAUAGUAAACUCGUAUUAAAGAUAGUUUGAUUUGCCUAUUAGUCUUGUUUAAAUUUUGGCAUAAAUCAGUUUAGUGUUUAAUAUUUUGUGAAAUAAGGUUUAAACCUUGUAGUUUGAAUUUUGAUUUACUGCUAUGAAGGAAGGGCUUAAACAUAUGUUGUUUGCCUCUGAAGAGACUUGAUCUCGAGUCCUAGACCCCCAGCAAUGGACCUUGAACAUGAUUUGGGCUCGUUUGGGCCCAAUGUUAUUUUUCUAAGUGAUGCGGCCACGUGAGUCUAAGGCAGACCUAGGCCCAAAUCACGUUAAUAAUUCAGAGAUUCAGUUUUAAUUGCUCUACUUUAAGUAAUCAACGAUCCAGAAGCUAAAAGGUUAGUUUAAUUAUGUGUCCCAUGUAGUUUUAGCUGAUCGGUAUCUAAUGGGUUGUGUACAAUUGUUGGCUUAUGGAAGUUGCGCCUAAAGUUGGCCCAAUUAAUGAGAUCAAUCCCAGACUUGAGUGCAAGACUCUACGCUGUUUUUUCUUGGUCAUCUGUUCUCUCAUCAUGAGUGGGCCCAUUUAGAGCCCAAUUCGGAAGGUAUUAGUAAAUAUGGGUCAGUACUUGUUUCAUUUUCGUUAAGCCCAAUCUUCAUUAUUUGUUUAUGAUGGUCUAAGCCAUUGGUUUAAUUGACCGAACCUUUCUCUCUUGUGCCAGCUCUUUAGCCACGUUGAGUAAAACACCAAAUUGCUAAGUGCAUAAUUAAUUAAUUACUCGUAUAAGUCGAGGUGUGUCGUGCCGAAUAAAGCUAAAAAUGCAUGGCCCUCGCUUAAUUGACUUUCUAUCCUUAGAAAUCAGGUGCGCCAUUUAGCGAACUUUCCAUGCGUAAUUAUUUUAAUAAUUACCUUCCUAAACUCGAGUGUGCAUUUCAUGUGACCCAAAUCCAAAUCUUAACAGUGUUAAAUAAAAUAUGUCUCGGACCUCGAGUGCAUUUAUGUGACGUGGUUCAAGACGUGUUUUAAAUAACGUUGAAAUCUUCCUAAAAAAAUAAUUAAAUAAAAGUGUUUAUAAAGUUAAAAUUGCACCAUAAGUUUAAACAUGUACUAAAAUCAGGUAAAUAGGCCAAUUAUAACAGUUGAGCGACUGUGCUAGAACCACGGAAUCCGGGAAUGCCUAACACCUUCUCCCGGAUUAACAUAAUUCCUUACCUGGAUUUCUGUGUUCGCAGACUGUAAUACAGAGUCAAUAUUUUCCUCGAUUCGAGAUUUGAACUGGUGACUUGGGACACCAUAAAAUUAUCCCAAGUGGCGACUCUGAAUUUUUUUCAUAAAAUGAUCCUGUUUCGAUUGUCACUUUAAGUUGGAAAAAACUCCCUUAUACCCUUUUAGGGGUGUAGGAAAAAGGAGGUGUGACAGCUCUGGCGACUCUGCUAGGGACAGAACCCAGAAUCUCUGGUUUAGGGUUUACGGCUCAGAAUUCGAGCUUAGAUGAAUUGUUAUAUUUGGCUUUAUCUUUUAUCUGAUUUUAUUACAUGUUUGGACCUAAUGUGUUAAAUGUUGCUUUUACCGCUUUAAUAUUAUCUGAACUGUAUAUAAAUUGCUACGAAACCCAUCUCUUCUCAUCUUUGGGGAUGUGCACGCUGGCCGUGACUCCCUAUUCUGUUAGUGUCAUACAUUGAAAUAAGAAAGUGGCUCGGACAAGUUACUAAGCCGGAUGGCCUUUUGGUUCCCAGUACAUAGCCCCCUCCUCGGCUCGAGUUGUCCGCUCGGGUACACAAGUCUAGAACAAAUACCCAAGUUUUGAAUCUAGAAUAACUCAGCCUCAUGUCGGAUCCCUAGUAAGAACGUUUGUUUGCAUCAUGUGCGUUUGACUUUGGAUACUCAACACAGGGGUUGGGUCUGUCUAGGACAUGUGUACCCGAAAUGAAAAGACUAUCCUGAUGCAUCUUACUUGCUAUUUGUGCAUUAAUUUGCUUUGGAUUUGCAUGUUGACCAGCUUAUAGGGUAAAACUCGAGAUAAGGAAAGUCAAUGUGAGGGCUGAGAGAGAUAACUGUCUGUUUUUUAAAAACCAAUGUCCAAAAUAUACUGAAACUCUGCCGAAAUUUCGGAAAAAAGGUUUUUUGAAAAUAGUUGGUUUUUGUUUUGUCAAAAUUGCCCGAACUAUGCCAGUUUGAUUCUUACCGGAUGUGGGAUAUGUAGGCAACCCCCAUCGGGUCCAACUUCCCUUUUGCAAAAAUAACCCAAAUAGAACCGAAAAUUUUAUUGCUUUGUUGUAAAUAAGUAAGGUGAUGCCAUUUUUGUCAAAAAUAGCCGAAUGUCCCCCAAAAGGACGCCGGAAGGCUAUUUUUGCAAGAAUAUCCACCUUGGUCUCUUUUUCAAAUUUUUGGCCGGUUAGCAAGUACAACUUUAAAUUCUUCUCCCGGAAGUGCUGAAAGGCCGUAUUUGCAAAGGCGGGUUUUAUUUUUGAAAUGAAAAUUUGAAAAAAAAUAGUGUUUACUUUUCUUGAGUCAAAUGAGUCAUGAUUUUGCUUCAUCACUCUAAUAAAUGUGCAGAAUGAGCACAAGUCAAAAUUUGCCAAUAACAGUCAUGAACAAUAUCCCUUUGGAGCUGCAUAUGUGGUGGGAAGAUCUGGGUAAAUCAGGGCAAGAUCGGGUCAAUCUCUACUUGGGAGGUCUUACCGGGUUAUUGAAGAUCAGGCCUAGAGGAGACAUCAUGACGGCGUUGGUUACGUUCUGGGACCCGGCCCACAACGUGUUUCAUUUCUCAGAUUUUGAACUCAUACCAACUUUGGAAGAAAUAGCCGAAUAUACUGGGAGCACUGAAGUGCCUCUGAGACACAAGUAUUUGAUUGCUCCAAGAUUCUUCGCUUUCCACUCUACAGUUUAUAUACCAGCGAUACGGACACAUAGAAGGGUUUAAUAAUCCAGAAAGCAAAAUUUGUAGCAAAGGGAAUCGCCUCAAAUGGAAAGAACACAUGUGCUUUGCUUUUAUGGUAGUAUUCUUGGGUCUUCUGGUGUUUCCUAGGAAAGAUGGAAAUAUCAAUAUACGGAUAGCUGGGGUCGUCAGCACUUUGCUUACUCAGGCCAAAAGUACCCUCGCACCCAUGAUAGUGUCUGAAAUCUUCCGCACUCUCACAACCUGUAAAGCCGGAGGAGACAUUUUUAAAGGGUGCAACUUGUUGCUACAGAUGUGGAUGAUUGAACAUCUAUGUCAUCGUCCUCAAUACAUGAGCUAUGGGUUGACAGAGAAAAAUUGCAUAAAGGAAUUUUAUACAAGGGUCGACGGGUUUUGCCUACCAGAAGGGGUUACAUAAUGGAUAUCACAUCUCUGUUCCAUCACUGCAAACCAAAUAGAAUAGAUGUUCGGGUGGCUUCCUAUAGACAAAAUUGUAUACAUGCCAUCUACCGGACCUCACUUCCUUCUGAUGGGUCUCAUAAGUAUCCAGCCUUAUGCCCCAAACUGGGUUUUGAGAUAGUUGGGGAGAUGUAAAAUAGUUCCAAAAGAUGAAGACCUUAGUGCUCAGGUAGUCGAGAUUGGUCCUGAUGGUCAGUUUCAUGAAGCAGUAGUCCGCCAGAUUUGGAGCGAGUGCCAGUUCCUAACGGCAAAUACCUGUGUGCGCGAUCUAUCCAAAGGUGAAAUGGCACCAGGGUACCUUACUUGGUAUAAAAGGGAAAUUGAGUUUGGAAGGCCAUCCAAAAGACCCCAUCUUCAAGAAUUUGUCGAGGCAUCACAAGCGCAAUGGGAUUGGUUGGCCAAAGAAAAUGAAUAUAGGGCUACCAUAAGCAAGCUGGAAAAGCAAGUCAAGGACCUUCAAUUCGAGAAUGGUUUGCAAGCCACCAUAGAUGAGGGUGAGAAGAAAAAGCUAGCCAAGGAAAAUGAAGCCCUUCGACCCCAGAUUCGGGAAAUGAAAAUAGCAGCUGAAAAUCCCUCCAGAAGUGCAAAAGAUGAAAAGCUUAUAAAGAACCUUAGGUAGAUGGUGAGUGAGUAUAGUUUUGAUUUGAACAAGGCGGAGGGUGAAUUAGCAAGGGCUCAAACAAAAUUGGCUAAGAAUACGGAAGAACAAGAAUGCUUGGUUAAACAGUUAAAAGAAAAAUAUUACAAUGAGGUUGUGGGGUUGAAGAAAAGGGUCACCAUCUUUGAGAACAAAAUGAUCAAGCAAGCAAAAGACUUUAAGGCAGAAAGAUAACAAUGAUAUGCAGCGAUGGCACAGUUAGAAAGAGAUCUACAACAACUUCAAGAACAUAAUCAUAUAGCUGAACAAACUUUGGAAGCUAGGGCCCAACAGAUUGGGCGUUUGUUGCAAGAAAAGGGCGUCAUAAGAGAAAGGGUCAAAAGGAUCGCCAACUACAUCACAAUGAAAUGCAGUAAGUGUGAGGACAUGACUAGAUCCAUGUUUUUCGCCACUGUGAUGACCUUUGUCUGCCAGAUAAUGGAAGAUCUCUACCAUCUCCAAAGGGAUUUGGUGCGUAGGCCCAUGGCGAGACCGAAUGAUGUCCCGCGGGCCCCAGGAGAAGUUGAGGCAUUGAUGUAUUUAUGAUUUUCAUUGGAGUCUGUUAGUUUGUAUUUUCAUCUUGGAGUCUGUUAGUCUGUUUUCGAUUCUGUUAGUUUUUGAUUCGUUAUAAUCAAAACGUAUAUUUUAUGAAAAAAAAAUUGAAAAUCCCAAAAUAUUUUUAUUAUUUAUUUUUACACUUAUCCCCUGGAACUACGCAAAGAUCUGAUUCAUGCGGGGUCAUGAUACGUAGGCAAUUUCCAUAGGAUUCGAUCAUAACCAAAUGAAAAAAAGAGUGAGAAAAGAAAAAAAAAAGAGAUAAAAUAAGAAACCGUGAGAAGGAAACAAUGGCAAAACAAGAAAAAGAAAUGAGAGGAUAAAGAACAACGAGAAAUCAAGCAAAAAAAGGGCAGGAGUGAAAAAGAGAAAAAGAUUGAAAAAAAAGGAAAAAAUAAAGAAAAAGAGAAGUUGCAAAUAGAAAUAACAGAAAAGCUAGGAUGACGCAAGCAACCAAUCAAAUGCAUGAUAGAAAUGUUUAACUGCUUAGGUGCAUUACAUUCCCCCAAAUGUGCGAUUGCAUAUCUGUUAAGCUCUAACUGCUAACAAGUUUGUUGUUGGUAACCAGUACAGGAAGGUGGUUAGUUUGUUGGCAUUCUGGCAACUCACCCAUACAACACCCGAUCCAAAAACAAGUUGAUCAUGGAUAACCAAGAACUUGAUGCAAGUGUUAUCGAUCCUUCGAGGGAGGGGGAAGAGUCGGAUGUCAAUUUAAGAGAAGAGAUGUAUAAGUUGAAACAACAGAUGGCCGAGAUGUAUCAAGCAUGGGUAAAAGGGCACCCACCACCUCUUUAUCCCGCCAACCCUGCCUUCGUCCCUCUAUUGGCUCAAUCCCAGGAACCUCUCACGGCCGAUUCAUCCCUAGGCUUUCCCAUUUACCACCACUAUUAGGGCACUACUUCCCAAACACCACAAGCUCCACCACCCAAACCAGUUUUGUACCCUCCUCCACCAGCCACUCCUGUUUUUGUGGCACCCCCACCUGCUACACUCCACCGAUCCUAUAGAGAGCCUUUAUUCCAAGCUCAUGAUAACCAAUAUUACCCCCUGGAGCCCACUUUCAAGGCUCCAGAACCCUAUUCCUUCACUCCUUGUUUUGAUCUCCUUGUGGAAACUGAGAAACCAUCUAAGAAUCCCGAACAUGAGGAGAUGUUCAUGAAAGUUAAAAGCUUGGAACAGUUGUUCGGAAACAUGCAGGGGUUGGGAGGUCAGGUAAGCAUGGCUUACAAAGAUCUAUGUGUAUUCCCAGAUGUUCAAUUACCGGCAGGGUUUAAGAUGCCCAAGUUUGAUUUGUAUGAUGGGCAUGGAGACCAGGUGGCACAUUUGAGAGGUUUUUGUAGCAAAAUGAGGGGAUCUGGCGGGACAGAUGAGUUACUAAUGGCGUAUUGCAGUCGGAGUUUUAGUGGUUCGGCACUGGAGUGGUACACUCGGCAGGAUCAUGGAAGAUGGUAUACAUGGGAUGAUCUAGCCUAAGCAUUCACUUGUCACUUCCAGUACAAUCUCGAGAUUAUUCCGGAUCGUCUGUCUUUGACAAAGAUUGAAAAAAAGCACAAUGAAAUCUUCAGGGAGUAUGGUUUUCGAUGGAGAGAACAGGCAGCAAGGGUUGAUCCUCCAAUGAAAGAAAGUGAAAUGGUGGAUUAUUUUCUGCAGGCCUUAGAACCUACUUACUACGGUCAUCUGGUAUCAGCUAUAGGCAAGUCCUUCAAUGAAGUGGUGAAAAUGGCGGGUAUGGUAGAAGAAGGACUUAAGUCAAACAAAAUCAUGAGCUAUUCGGCUAUUAAGGCAACCAUUCAGGCCAUUCAAAGCGGAACUGGGGAGUAAUUGGAAAGAAGAAGAAAGAAGAUGUGGAAACAAUUGAUUUAGGAGCUUGGUUUGGACCCAGGGGAUCAUCUCACUACUAUAAUCAGCCUCGACCCCACCACCAAACCUACCCCCACACCUCAUAUAAUCCACCUCAACACUACUACCCACUACUAGACCCCCAUUUUUCUGUCCACCACGCCUAAAUAUACACUCAACCUCCUGCCCACGCACAAUGGCGUGUACCAGUCCCACAAAACACCUACCCCCCCAUGAGCCUACCGAAACCCUCCUAGACCAGAUUUCCGGCACAAUCAAGCAUUUAAAAAUGAGAGGUUGCAGAAGAAGAAAACCUUCACUCCAUUGGGAGAUUCCUAUACUAGUUUGUUCCACAGGUUGAGAAAAUUGGAUAUGCUAAGGCCGAUCGAGUCAAAAUUGCCAAAUCCUCCCUCGAGAAAUCUUGAUUAUUUUGUAAGUUACGGAUAUUGUUCUGGUGCUCCGGGGAAUGACACGGAGAAAUGCUGGCAAUUGAAAAAUGCUAUCCAAGAGCUCACUGAUACAAAUCAGAUUGAAGUCCAACCUUCAGAGGCUCCCAACAUCAACCAAAACCCAUUUACAACCCAUCAAGAGAGAAAUAUGAUCGAGAUAGUGCAUAAGAGAGGGGAGCCCAAGAAACCUUCACAGACCGUCAUGAUGAUUCGGUCCAGCGAGGUCAAACCGGUUGAAAAAUCAAUAAGUGAGAGAUCAGUGAUCGAAUUAAGCGGGACAAACAGCGAACCAUCUGCGGUAGUCAAGAAGGGGUUCUCAAGUGAUGUUGCAGCGAAACAGGAAAGGGCAAAAGUGGUUGUGCCAGGAGUGGCAAACAAGCCUAUCGUAAUUGUGGAGGGUGCCCACACGGAUCCGGUCAUUAUCAAGCCUGUAACCCAGUUAACAAUAGUCAACAACAAGGCUAUCCCGUGGAAUUAUGAACGGGUGAUAGUGACUUACAAAGGAAAAAAAGUUAAAGAAGAAGUCUAUGAGACCCAUGGAUUGAUUCGGUCAGGGAGAUGCUUUGCACCCGAGGAGUUAAGAAAAGCUAAAACCUCCAAAGAUAACCCAGUGCUAGUGAAGAAAGUUGUGACCGAAGAAGAGGCAGAAGAGUUUUUGAGAAAGAUGAAGGUGCAAAACUAUUCCAUUGUGGAGCAGUUUGAGGAAGACGCCUGCUCAGAUUUCACUGUUGUCAUUGUUAAUCUAUUUAGACGAGCAUCGACGGGCCUUGAUCAAAAUCCGGAACGAGGCCCACGUUCCUGACAAAAUCUCAGCAAACCAUUUGGAAAAGAUAGCCAACAAGAUAUUUGAGGUAAACAGAGUCACUUUUUCUGAUGAUGAGUUUCCCGUGGAGGGUACUGAUCACAAUAGAGCCCUUUAUCUUAUAGUAAAAUGCGAAGAUUCCAUGGUUACCCGGGUAUUUUUUCAACAAUGGUUCCAGUGCGAACAUUUUCCCUCUCUUCACUCUGAACAAGUUGAAAGUGGAUGAUGAAAGGAUUCACAAGAACAAUAUCUGUGUGUGGGGAUUUGACGGUGGAGGGAAAGAUUCAGUCGGUGAUAUAGUCCUUGAGCUCACGAUAGGACCAGUUGAAUUCACCAUGGAAUUCUAGGUGCUGGAUGUGGCUGUUUCCUACAAUCUGCUGUUAGGUCGACCCUGGAUUCAUGCUGCCAAUGUAGUACCGUGUACUCUGCAUCAGAUGGUCAAAUUUGAAUGUGAUAGAUAGGAAAUCGUUGUGCAUGGCGAAGACAAUUUGUGUGUUCGCAGUGAUGCCAUUGUUCCGUUCAUUGAGGUUGAAGACGUCAAGGGACCUUGGGUCUAUUAGGUUUUUGACAUAGUAUCAGUUGAGAAAAUUCCAGAAGAGAAAUACAUUCCAAUGCCGAGGGUAACUGCCGCAUCAGUCAUGGUGGCUUUUGAAAUGUUGAAAAAUGGUUUUGUACCUGGUAAGGGUUUGGGUGCAUCUCUACAAGGUAUAGUACAACCGGUGUCUCUCCCCUAAAACUUGGAUACAUUUGGUUUGGGAUUCAAGCCCACAACCGCAGACGUGAAAAGAGCCAAAAAAAUGAAAUAGAGGGCAUGGGUCCUCCCAAAGCCGGUCCCAUGUCUCUCUAGAUCGUUUGUCAAGCCUGACACCAAGAAGCGUCUAGUAACAAUAGUUCCCAAUUCUGUGGUUGGUCUUGAUAAAGAGUUGACUGAAAGGUUCGAAAGGUUGUUCGACGAUGUAAACAUGGUGGAAGUUGGAGAAGGUUCUAGCAAGGUGGAUGUGCAAUUUGUCGGGCCCAGUACAAAGAUUAACAAUUGGGAAGCUACUACUCUCUCUACCCGAAAAGAGUUUUGGUAGUUUGCUUUGAUCUUCUUUCAGUUUAUCUGGAUUAUUUCAGGGUUGCAAUUCAGAUUCUAUGUUCCGUUCGUUUGGAUGUAUAAACCUUGUUAUCUUUUGAUUUCAAUGAAAUGCAAUUUCCCUUUUUUAUCAUUCCUGAUAGUUUUAUUUUUGUUUUUCUUUUCUUCCUUGUACAGUUCUUUUUAUGCUGGUUUCAAUGACAUGAUAUGCAUGAAGAAUCUUUGUCCCAGUCUUAAAAGCCAAUCUAAUUCUGUAAUAAUAAUUCAAGAAAUAGAGUGUGAUGAUGAAUCAAAAUACGAUGAGGAUGAGUCCUUUGAAGAGAUUAGUAAAGAAUUAAGGCAUUUUGAAGAAAAACUCAAGCCCAACCUGAGCGAUACCAAAGCAAUCAAUUUAGGGGACCUAGAUAAUAUCAGAGAAACUAAGAUAAGUGUCCAUCUUGAAAUGCAACUCAAGGAAGAUAUGAUUAAAGCAUUGUUUGAGUACAAAGAUAUUUUUGCAUGGUCAUAUGACGACAUGCCGGGUCUAAGCACUAACUUGGUGGUUGACAAAUUGCCCACCGACCCGGAAUUUCCUCCCGUCAAACAGAAGUUGAGGAAGUUCAAAACCGACAUGAGUAUGAAGAUCAAAGAAGAGGUCAUAAAGCAGUUCGAUGCAAAAGUCAUUCGCGUCAUGCGGUAUCCCACUUGGUUAGCAAUGUUGUGCCUGUGCCAAAGAAGGAUGGUAAGACUAGAGUGUGUGUUGAUUACCGUGAUCUCAACAAGGCAAGUCCAAAUGACAACUUCCCACUGCCAAACAUCCACAUUUUGAUUGAUAAUUGUGCCAAACAUGAGAUUGGGUCUUUUGUGGAUUUCUAUGCGGGCUAUCAUCAGAUCCUAAUGGAUGAGGAGGCUGCAGAAAAAAUGGCAUUCAUCACGCCAUGGGGAACAUACUGCUACCAGUUCAUACCUUUCGGUUUGAAAAAUGCUGGGGCAAUUUACAUGAGGGAAAUGACGACCAUAUUCCAUGACAUGAUACACAAGGAGAUAGAGGUUUAUGUGGAUGAUGUAAUCAUAAAGUCUAGAAAGCAGUCUGACCAUGUCAGAGAUUUGAGAAUGUUCUUCCAAAGGCUUCGCAGGUACAAUCUUAAGCUCAAUCCUGCAAAGUGCGCAUUAGGGGUGCCGUCUGGAAAACUAUUGGGAUUCAUAGUCAGCCGUCGAGGUAUUGAAUUGGUCAAAGAUCAAAGCUAUCCAAGAAUUGCCACCCCCAAGGAACAAGACCGAGGUGAUGAGUUUAUUAGGGAGGCUGAACUACAUAAACAGGUUUAUUGUUCAGCUUACGACAACUUGUGAGCGUAUCUUCAAACUGCUGAAGAAGGAUGUUGCAAUCAAGUGGACAGAAGAGUGUCAAGAAGCAUUUGAUAAGAUAAAAGGGUACUUGUCAAACCCACCUGUGUUGGUGCCACCAGAACCGGAGAGACCUUUGAUUUUGUAUUUGACAGUCCUAGACAAUUCAUUUGGUUGUGUGUUGGGUCAACAUGACAUCACCGGCAGGAAGGAGCAAGCCAUCUAUUAUCUCAGCAAGAAGUUCAUAUCUUAUGAGGUUAAGUACACUCACCUGGAAAGGACAUGUUGUGCACUAACUUGGGUAGCAAAUAAGUUGAAGAAUUAUUUGUCAUAUUGUACUACUUACCUCAUCUCUUGUUUAGAUCCGCUAAAGUAUAUCUUUCAGAAGCCUAUGCCUACAUUAAGGCUCGCAAAGUGGCAGAUCUUGCUAACAGAAUUUGACAUCGUCUAUGUGACUCGGACUGCGAUGAAAGCCCAGGCAUUGGCCGACCAUUUGGCCGAGAAUCUAGUGGAUAAAGAAUAUGAGCCUUUGAAGACUUACUUCCCUGAUGAAGAGGUAAUGCACAUUGAUGAGUUGGAACAAGUUGAAGAGCCAGUUUGGAAACUUUUCUUUGAUGGAGCUGCUAACAUGAAAGGCGUUGGGAUAGGAGCUGUACUUAUUUCUGAAACAGGUCAUCACUACUCUGUUACGGCUCAACUUCGUUUCUAUUGUACUAAUAACAUGGAUGAGUACGAGGCAUGCAUUUUGGGUUUGAGGUUAGCUGCCGACAUGGGUGUCCAGGAAGUCUUGGUCUUGGGAGACUCGGAACUUCUGGUGCACCAAAUUCAGGGAGAAUAGGAAACACGGGAUUUGAAACUCAUACCGUAUCGACAAUGUUUGCAUAAUCUUUGUCAGCGGUUUAGAUCAGUAGAGUUCAGGCAUAUUCCAAGGAUCCAUAAUGAGGUUGUCGAUGCUUUGGCUACUCUGGAAUCAAUGUUACAUCACCAAGAUAAGGCUUAUGUUGACUCUUUGCAUAUUCAGGUCCAUGAUCAGCAUGUUUACUGUAACAUGGUGGAAGAAGAACUUGAUGGUGAGCUGUGGUUCCAUAAAAUCAGGGAAUACAUCAGAAUGGGGAUAUAUUCGGUACAAGCCACAGGUGAUCAAAAGAGAACAAUUCGUCAUUUGGCAAGUGGAUUUUUCUUUAGUGGAGAAGUUUUGUACAAAAGAACUCCAGAUCUUAGAUUGUUAAGAUGCAUAGAUGCUAGACAGGCCACAUCUAUCAUGACCGAAGUACAUUCUGAAGUCUGUGGACCGCAUAUGAGUGGGUACGUUCUGGCAAAGAAGAUUCUCCGAGCAGGUUAUUAUUGGCUCACCAUGGAGCGAAAUUGUAUCAGUUUUAUGCGUAAAUGUCAUCAGUUCCAAGUACACGGAGAUUUGAUUCAUUCUCCGCCAUCUGAAUUGCACACAAUGUCUGCACCAUGGCCUUUUGUUGCUUGGGGCAUGGAUGUCAUUGGACCGAUUAAGCCAGCAGCAUCCAAGGGGCACAUGUUCAUUCUAGUAGUCAUUGAUUAUUUCACCAAGUCGGUUGAAGCUAAAACUUUCAAGUCUGUGACCAAGAAAGCAGCGGUCGAUUUUGUGCACUCAAACAUCAUCUGUCGGUUCAGGAUCCCAAAGGUGAUCAUUACAGAUAAUGGUGCUAAUCUCAAUAGUCAUUUGAUGAAAGAGGUAUGUCAGUAGUUUAAGAUUACGCAUCGCAAUUCCUCCCUAUACUUCGCCAAGGUGAAUGGAGCAAUCGAGGCAGCCAACAAGAACAUAAAGAAGAUACUUCGGAAAAUGGUGGAGGGCUCCAGGCAGUGGCAUGAAAAGUUUCCCUUUGCAUUGUUGGGUUAUCGCACUACUGUUCGCACUUCAGUAGGGGCAACUCUUUAUUUGUUGGUAUAUGGCACUGAAGUAGUGAUACUCGUGAAGUUGAAAUCUCAUCCCUUCGGAUUGUUGUUGAAGCCGAAAUUGAUGAUGAUGAGUGGGUCAAAACCCGCCUAGAGCAAUUGAGUUUGAUCGAUGAGAAAAGAUUGGCAGCAGUGUGUCGUGGCCAGUUGUAUCAACAGAGAAUGGCAAGAGCAUAUAACAAGAAGGUGCAUCCAUGGAAGUUUGAAGUGGGUCAACAAGUAUUGAAACGUAUCGUUCCACAUCAGGCUGAAGCAAAAGGCAAGUUCGCCCCAAAUUUGCAGGGGCCAUUCACCAUAAUGAGAGUGUUGUCAAUGGUGCUUUGUAUUUAACAGAUAUAGAAGGCAAAUGUAUAGACAUGGCUAUCAAUUCUGAUGCAGCCAAAAGAUAUUAUGCAUGAUUUCUCUGGUUUAAAUUGUAUUUGUUUGAACUUCGCAUGUUCUGAAGAUUGGAAUGACGAAGGCAUUUUGUUCUGCUAUCUAAACACUUUAUCCUUUGUUACCCCUUUUGAGCCUUAUUUAUUUCCUUUCAUACCUCUCUUUUGGAAUCAGUAGCAUAGUUCAGAAAUGCAGUCGCAAAAGAUAAGUAAAGGAAAAGAGAGAAAAGAAAAGAGAAGGAAAAAAAAGUAAAGAAAAUAAAAAGAGAGAACAACAAAACAACAAAAAAAUAAAAAGGAAGAAAGAAAAAAAGAGAAAGAAAAGAAAGAGAAAAGAGAAAAUCACAACAACAAAGACAUUUCUAUGUUAUGAACUACGUUCGACCUGAUUCCUUUUAAGGAUACGUAGGCAGCCUCAUGGUUCGGUCUCAUCAAAGUAAAAGUUCAAAAGUCCCCCAAGCAAAGAAACUGGGGAAGAAGUUGUGGUUGUUGUAAGAAAUCUAAUUUCGAAAGUUGUAAUCUUGAACCCAUUUGAAUUGUUUUGAGCCUUUUGAUACCCUUCAUUUCUAACCCCAUCCACACCCAUAUUACGGUCCAAAGAAAGACCUUUCGAUCAGUCUUCGAGAGAUGCCAAGUAGGAAGUGGAGGCGAUUCAUAUCAGGGGCAACACUCCGGACCAAACAAAGAAAAUAAAAAUGAGAGAGUCUUAUUGGUGAAAACCCUCGCGGACACUAUAAGGCGACGAAAGCUGAGAGAAAUCAAAAUGAGAGAGUCUUAUUGGUGAAAACCUUCAUGGGUACCUUAAGGCAAAAGUGAGUUGAGAGAUGAACAAAUGAGAGAGGUUUGUUGGUAAAAAUCCUUCAGGGCACCACAGGCCGAACAAGGACAAAGUUUUGGUGAAGAAAUUAGGUUUUGAAGAUCUUGGGGCGUAAAGUACGACAACUGAAAGUUGAUUGGUUGGACAGAUUGGGCUGAUUAAUCCGAAAUGCAUGUCAUGAUCAUUGGUGUCGGCUGCUCCACUCAGAAAAGUCUCUUUUUUUCCCUUUCAGACAGUCUUCCAGUUUUGAAUUUUUCUUAUCCCUAUAUCUUAAAGUCAUUGCAUUUCAUUUCUUCUGGGUUUAUUUCUCUAAGAUGUUUCCAAUGUCAAUUCUGUUUAAGAGAAUAAGAAAGGAUUUCAAAGCUCUCUACCAACUUCCAAAAUUGCACAAAAGCACAGCGCGGCCAAAGCAUUGUUAGAGAUAAUAGGAUGUGGAAUGGGAUAUAAAGGGUUAGCAAAAGUUCCAUCGGUGAAAUGGUUUAGUAAUUUCAUGGGUGAUGCAGAGGUGCAUAUAGAUGGGUCAGAGAUAUAACACAAUAGUUAGGUAUAGAACACUCGGGUUAUCCAAGGUCAUGUGGGUGAAAGUCAGUCAGAAAAUCAAAUGGUUUUUGUCCAGUCCGGGGAAGCUAGUCAAAAUAAAGCACGACAGCGAAGAGGUCAACUUCAGAAAGAAUGCCACAAACUAACCAACACAUUUUAAACUGACAAGAUUUUUCUUUGAUUGAAACAGGGGCAGGAAAUUUCGUUUAUUUCGGAAAAACCCUCCGUAAGGGAAAACAAGCACCAGAUAAGUCUGAUCAUAAAUUCUUAGGACCCUCAUGGAAAAUGGGACCUAGUUUAAAAUUCAAAACAAUCAUGAUUAGCAAAAUCUAGCAUAAAUGAACCCUAAAGGAAUAUAAAUUGGCUUCAAAGUUUUCAUGCUUGAGAUAGGAUUCAAUUAAGAGCUUUCAGGACCCUCCUGAAUAAUGGGACUUAACUUUAAGAUUUCCAUUAGAUAAUAAGAUUUAGCGUAAGUUCUGCUGUAGAGUAGUAUAAUUCAGCCGUAAAAGUUGUCACUCUUAAGAUAAGACUUGAUUUUUUAUUUUCAGGACCCUCCUGGAUAAUGGGAUGUAGUUCUAAGACCCUCUUAGAUAACAUGGUUUAGUGGGAGUCAUACCUUUAGAAGAUUAAUUUAGAUGUAAAGCUGUCAUUUAACUAGGAGUUUUCAGGACCCUCCUGGAUAAUGGGAUUUGGCUUUCAAAUUCAUAGAGAUAUUUGGUGAUAUGAUUCAAUUAACACUCAUAGAUGCGCCCAGCACCAAAUUGGGGCAGGAAAAUUUAUUUUGUUUUGUUUGUUUUGUUGUAAUCAGGUUCAAAGGUUUUGGCAAUCGGGCGCCCACCUGGAGAGUUAAGGGAAUACAGUUCAAGUUUUGGCAAUCAGGUGCCCACCUAGAGAGCAAGGGAGUAUAGUUCAAGUUUUGGCAAUCAGGCGCCCACCUGGAGAGCAAGGGAAUAAAAUUCAAGCGAUUUGUAAUCAGGAGCCCACCUGAAGAAUGAAGGGAAGUAGUUCAAGUGUUGAUAAUCAGGAGCCCACCUGAAGAACGAAGGGAAGUAGCAACUCAAGUGUUGGUAAUCAGUAGCCUACCUGGAGAACGAGGGGAAGAAACAAUUCAAGUGUUGGUAGUCAGGAGCACACCUGAAGAAUGAAAGGAAGUAGCAGUUCAAGUGUCGGUAAUCAGGAGCCCACCUGAAGAACGAAGGGAAGCAGCAGUUUAAGUGUUGGUAAUCAGGAGCCCACCUGAAGAAUGAAGGGAAGCAGCAAUGUUNNNNNNNNNNNNNNNNNNNNNUGUUUGAAGGAAGACAGUUCGAGUUCAGCAAUCAGGCGCCUACCUGGAGAAAAGGGAAAAAAGCAUCUCAGAUUACAAUUCAGGUCAGCAACAAGGGAAUUUCACUGGAGAGUAAGAGUCAACAGAGCAACAGGAGCUACAAGAUCAAGUUUGAAGAUAUCGAUAGGAAUCUUAUAAUGCAUAGAUCGUAGUUUAGUCUAGCUUCUUUCAUUUUAUCUUGGUGUAAUAAGGAGUUCAGUAAGCAGUAGCAGCAGCAACAAUAGUGAAAUCACAAGCUUCCUGGUAGUCCCAGCUACCAAAACUUUUCGAACUACAUUGACCUAAUUCCUUUAUAGCCAAGGAUAUGUAGGCAACCUCGGAAGCAGGGUGCAGUCAAAUCUUUCAAAAAUGUUUCCCAUGGAGUAUUCAAACGGGCAAAAAUCGCUCGUAUCUACUCACUUUAUCUUUGCACUAAAACUCUUUGUGUUUCCGAGCAAAGAGAGGCAAUUGUGAGCACGUGAUUUUUGCCCUAUGUGAAUUACUCAAUAAAUUCAAGAAAAAUAAAUUUUUCCCAUUAUUGAAAUUUCGUAGAUUUUCGUAGGAUUUUUUGUUAAUUGUUUUUGUGCAUGUUUAUUUUAUUUUAAAUCAUUGAAAAACACAAAAAUACAUUGUAUUUGCAUUUAGGAUCUAAUUUUUUAUUUUUGGAUUAAUUCGUAAUUUAGUUGUUAACAAAAAUAGAAAAAUCACAAAAAAAACUCAUUUUUGCUUUUUUUUUGAAUUAAAGUUAAUUAAUUCAAUGUGGUAGGAUUAAUUUGAUUUAGGAAUUAGUUUAGGUUUUAUUUUUAUUUUUGUUUUUAAAAGAAAGUAAAAAAAAGGAAUUUUGAUAUAAUUAAAAAGGAAAGAAGUGAGAGAUCAGAUUUUGGGCUAUUCCAUUUUUAAUCCUCAGGCCCAAUUCAGAAACCCGUCCAAACCGUUUGAGUCCAGCCCAAACCCAUACCCCAACCUGGUCCGAUAUCUUUACUCAACCAAACGACGUCGUUCCAUCUCUUUCUCAUCUCAACCGUUGGAUCUCAUUGAUCCAACGGAUCAGAACUUGAUCUCCCUUAGGUAUAUUACUGUCCGAACGACCCCUACACCCACCAUUCCAUUUCCCCCUCAUUCCGUCUCUCUCCCAAACCCUAGAGACCGCCGCCCUCAAAUCCCCAUCGCCUCCACCUUGCUCCACCUUACUAUGCCCAUCGAAAAUCGCCUCAUGGCGGUUCCGGUGGUCCAAUCACUACCAAAUUAACACCAUGAACUCCCCUCCACAUCCACAUCCCAAAUCUCCAAAUAAUUCCUCUCAAAUCCCCCUCUGUCGCCUCAAAUCUCAGAUUUAAAGUUAGCGCCUAAAACCCAAAAACUCCCAAAAUCUGCCCGGAAUUACACCACGCAACCCCUCAUCUCCGUCCUUCCUCAAAUAUGUUCUUGUUUCCUCUUAAACCAGUCCGUCAGUGGUGGAGCAGAGGUCUGGAACACCCUAGUUCUCUCCCUGUGUUCUUUUCUAGUUCAGCAAGGUUGACUGAACCCAAACCGUCAUUAAUCGUUUAUCUUUUGUUAAGGACAAUCAAUUAAUGACCGUCAAGGGUUCACUUUCUUCUUCAAAAGGCUAUUUGAGUUCAUGCAAUUUCUUGUAGAAGCAGGUUUGGAAUAAUUUUUGUGUUGAUUGAUUUCCGUUUGAUCUUUUAUUUUUGUUUGUUUGUUUGUUUGUCUAGUUUUCUUUCUUCAGCAGUUUCAUUUCUUGUUUAAUUGCAUUAUGUUUCUGGUUCAUUAGUUAGUUUGUUUGAUAAAUUGUUAAUGACAAUCGAUUACAUAGGGUUCGAGUUUGAUUUGUUUUCAAUUCGUGAGUUUCUCUUCUUUCAACUAGAUUUCAUUUUAUGUUUGUGAAUUAAUUGUAGAACUGAAGCAUUGAGAUUAGUCAAGUAUAGUUCCUUGUCUGCAUUAAUUGCUGCUUUCAAGAGCAUUUUCUGAGUUCAUGUUUAUGUGUGUGAAGGAUCUUAGGUUUAAUUCAGGCUAAUUCUUCAUGAUUUCAUAUGAUUCAACAAUUGUUUUGAAUUUCAAUCUGAUUGAAAGUUUCGGCUCGUUUGCCUACUGUUUAUUAUGAUGUGAGCAUUCAGAACUCAGGGAGGAGUAAGUGUAUAAUUAGGAAUUUUAGGGGUAGUUUUGAAGAUUGGUUUAACUUGGGAAUCUUUGGUAACCAAUUGAGGAAGCAUCCUAAAUGGACAGCUGCAUAGAUUUGUUAAGGGAAAUAGGCUAGAAAAUUGAAAAUAUCUGAAGGAAAAGGACAACUGUCCAAAAAUCAGUUUUAAAAGAUGUUCUGUAAGGGUAUUUUGGGGAAAAGCUGAUUGCCUUGCCUUGGAAGGCACACAACAACCCCUCAUCCUUAUAAAUGAAGCUUUUUCUUUCACUCAACGGACGGGGGAACACACCCUAAAAGACUGAAAAUUCUCUGUAUUAAUUUAGGGUCAAAAACUGCUUGGUAUCACACUCUAGGAGAACACCAGAAAAAUUAGAAAAAUGGCUAAGAGAGUUCAUUGAUAUUUCUGCAUCUUUUGGGUUGAAAAUUGGUUUCAAAUUUGAUCUUUAGUUUUAAGCGUUAACUGGAAUUCAAAAACUUCGAAGAGCUUCUAUUAAAAUAGUUUAAUAUUUGAGCCUGUUUGUGUUUUGGAGUUGCUGGUUCAUCUGCUCUGUUACUGUCGCUAAGUCCUCAUUUUCUUUGGUUUCUUUCGAUAUCCAGCUACACACUUUUAAGCCCUAUUGGUUGUGAAGUUGGAUUUGAAAAGUGAAAUGAAAAGAAGAAAGUUUAAAGCAUAGUACCAGUUAUUUGUGCUUCAGUUGUACCUCUUUUUGAUUCUGUGUUUUGAUAGUUUAAUUCUUAUUAUUGUAUAGUAUCAUGGGACUGUUAAGGUACUGUGGCAACAGACUUAGUCGAGGCAUUUGAAUUUUAGCCUUGCCUUAAUUUCGGUUGAAAUAAGUAUUUAUGUUUGGUGAUGAUUUUUUGUUGACCUAGCUAUUAUGACAAGUUUAGGUUAGAGACAAAUUGAAUGAUGUGUAGUCUGUUAUUUUAAAGUAUUGGGAGGUAUUGUUUGCCAGAAUUAGUCGUCCUGUGAUAUGUGAUAGUAAACUCGUAUUGAAGAUAGUUUGAUUUGACUAUUAGUCUUGUUUAAAUUUUGGCAUAAAUCAGUUUAGUGUUUAAUAUAGUUUGAUUUGACUAUUAGUCUUGUUUAAAUUUUGGCAUAAAUCAGUUUAGUGUUUAAUAUAUUGUGAAAUAAGGUUUAAACCUUGUAGUCUGAAUCUUGACUUACUGCUAUGAAGGAAGGGCUUAAACAUAUGUUGUUUGCCUCUGAAGAGACUCGAUCUCGAGUCCUAAACCCCCAGCAAUAGACCUUUAACAUGAUUUGGGCUCGUUUGGGCCCAAUGUUAUUUUCCUAAGUGAUGCGGCCACGUGAGUCUAAGGCAUACCUAGGCCCAAAUUACGUUAAUAAUUCAGAGAUUCAGUUUUAAUUGCUAUACUUUAAGUAAUCAACGAUCCAGAAGCUGAAAUGUUAGUUUAAUUAUGUGUCCCGUGUAGUUUUAGCUGAUUGGUAUCUAAUGGGUUGUUUACAAUUGUUGGCUUAUGUAAGUUGGGCUUAAAACUGGCCCAAUUAAUGAGAUCAAUCCCAGACUUGAGUGCAAGAUGCUACGCUUUUUUUCUUGGUCAUCUAUUCUCUCAUCAUGAGUGGGCCCAUUUAGAGCCCAAAUCGGAAGGUAUUCGUAAAUAUGGGUCUGCACUUGUUUCAUUUUCGUUAAGCCCAGUCUUCCUUAUUUGUUUAUGAUGGUUUAAGCCAUUGGUUUAAUUGACCGAACCUUUCUCUCUUGUGCCAGCUCUUUAGCCACAUUGAGUAAAACCCCAAAUCGCUCAGUGCAUAAUUAAUUAACUACUCGUAAUAAGUCGAGGUGUGUGCCGAACAAAGCUCAAAAUGCAUGGCCCUCGCUUAAUUGACUUUCUAUCCUUAGAAAUCAGGUGCACCAUUUAGAGAACUUUCCAUGGCCCUCGCAAAGUAGCAAAUGUGUAGUUGCUCUAGGCGCGUUAUUUUAAUAAUUACUUUUCUAAACUCGGGUGUGCAUUUCAUGUGACCCAAAUCCAAAUCUUAACAGCGUUAAAUAAAAUAUAUCUCGGACCACGGGUGCAUUCAUGUGACGUGGUUCAAGAUGUAUUUUAAAUAAUGUUGAAAUCUUCCUAAAAAAAUAAUUAAAUAAAAGCGGUUAUAAAGUUAAAAUUGCACCAUAGGUUAAAACAUGUACUAAAAUCAGGUAAAUAGGCCAAUUAUAGCAGUUGAGCGACCGUGCUAGAACCACGGAAUCCGGGAAUGCUUAACACCUUCUCCCGAGUUAACAGAAUACCUUACCCGGAUUUCUAUGUUCGCAGACUGUAAUACAUAGUCAAUCUUUUUCACGAUUCGGGAUUUGAACCGGUGACUUGCGACACCAUAAAAUUAUCCCAAGUGGCGACUCUGAAUUUUUUCAUAAAAUGAUACCAUUUCGAUUGUCAUUUUAAGUUGGAAAAAACACCCUUAUACCCUUUCAAGGGUGAAGGAAAAAGGAGGUGUGACACCAACAAAGUUCUUUCUUCUCCAAUUUAAUUUCCAAACCUCCCCAGAAUCACACCUCCUUUCACCCUUAAUCCAAAACCCAUCAAAAUCGUCUGAUUUACAAAAUCAGAGAACCCAGAAAUCUUAAUGGCCAUUGGUGUAUCUGGUUUUUCAGAGGUCCUUGUGGCAAGAUGUCCCAUCCGGAAUUCAAAUUUUGGAUGGGUCUCUUGACACAAGGACUUUUGGCGACUGGCUGAAUUGGUUUCAAAUCGGCAGAAUCCGGUUUAGGUAUACCCCUUUUCCUUCUUUCUUUUUCCUUUUCCUGCUUGAUUCCUUUUACUGUUAUUAGUUGUUUUGUUUCUCUCUUGUUUGUUCUGUUUGAUUGGCAACUAAAUUAAUUUAUAGGUUUGUUCGAUUCAAUCAAAUUCAGGUUAAUUAGGUUAGUGUUAAUUGUGAUUGCAUCUCUGUCUUCUAUUGCUGUUUUUCGUUUAUUUGUUUUGGAAUUGAGGUCUAUUUAGAUUUAUUAUUCAGUAAAGUAGGGUCAAUCAGCUAAUUACUCUAAUUCAAUCAUUUACUUAGGUUUAAAUCAAGAUAUUUGUUUAGCUAAGUCCAUCUAAUAAGAUGCCUUGAUUUAGUUUUAUUUAUUUGAUUAUAUAGGUUUGAAUAAGUUAAGAAUUGAAAGGGAAAUAAAGAAGUUUAAAGGGGUCAAUUGAAAACCAACAUCUGGGAGUCUCAAGCUAGAAUUGUCUGGAAGGUUCUAGAAGACAAUGGUAGGGGCUAAAACGUAAUGAAACAGAUGAAAUUAGGUCAGAUUGGGUAAAAGGAUAAUAACAAGAACUUACAGGGGUUUAAUUGGGAUUGAUAAAUGAGGAAAAUAUCAUAAUGUUCUAGUAUGGGACAGUAGUCCCCAUUCUUAGCAUGAAAAUGCUGAAAUUGGUUGGAAAAAGGACAGACAACUGUUAAAAGAUGUAGUACUAUCUAAUAUUUCAGAAAUUAGUAGGAUAUUCCAUUUUUAUGCUAUCCUUAUGCAUUCUAUAUAAAGAAAAAGUAUUCAGUCAUUCUUACACAACAUCAUCAGCAUAGGCAACAUAAAAAAGGACAUUCUGAAAUACAAAGAAUUCUGCGAAAAGAGCUAGAUUUUCACAUUGAUUUUUCUUCUUUUUUCUUCUAAGUUUCCAAGGGGAUUUGAAAAUAGAAAUAGCUCCCUGUUUUCCUAAUUCAUCAUCUCUGCUGUUAAAGUUGGUCUAGUCAAAUAAUUUGAGUUUUCUAGUUGCUGCUUUGUUGCUCCUGCUAUAUUUUGGUUGCUGCUCUUCCAGUUCUUAUUCAUCUUUUUCUUCCCUUUUUCUUUGCUGAUAAUAAGGUAUGUACUGAUAGUUUGUCCUAAUAAUAGAGUUGGUAUUUGAAUGUUAUGGCUAUGAGAUUUCAGCUAUCUGUUCAUUUCAUGUAUACUGGAUGAUUUUGCUUUCAUGUUUAUUUAUGAGUUCAAGUUUGAUUUAAAGCAUCAUAAUGUCUCAAUUUGAUUUAAAGCAUCAGAAUGUCUCAAACCUUAAUGAAAUAGGAAACAAUGCAUUAAAAUCAGUUCUUUCUUUUAGCAUUUGACUUUCAAAGUAAACUUGAAGUUCUGAAAAUUCCCUAAAUGUUUGAGAUUUCAGAAGUUUGGCAGCAUGUUCUUUUUGUGUAAAGCUUUCCCCUUUUGAAAUCACUUUGUCUUGGUAUUGUUGGUAUUUGGUAAUGUAGGAGUUUGUAAGCGCUUGGCACGAGGCCCACAUUUACAAAUCUAGCCACUGGUUGGUUAGACUUUUGUGAAUGAUAGGCAGCUUCCAGAACAUGGCAAAAAUUGUUGUUAAGUUGAUCACUAGGCAGAUUCAAAAUUAAUUUGAUUUCAGCCUAUAUAGAUUACUUUUCUUAAUUUAGUUUAAGGCCUGUAAUUAUUUGAAAACAUGUAAUGAAACUAUUUAUUAUAGGUAGUGUAUAAAAUGUAUUCAUACUUAGUUUAAAUUAUAGUUUUUUUAGCACUUUUCUUUACAACAGUCCAAAUGUUUCUUGUUUAGAGUUUGAAAACUGGCUCAUUCCAUUUAAGCACAUCUAGGACCAGUACAUUUUAACUUGAGAUGUUCCAGUUUAGUAUAUGCUAUUUGUUCUUGAAAUGUGACUUAAAUAGCUAGUAUAAAGGUUUUGAAAAUCGUUGAUUUUUGCACGUCCAUAUUUGGCAAGGAUUUUGAGAUUCUGAUGUGUUGUUUGAACUCUUUCUAGCUCUUCUAUGCAAUACAAAUGAUUUUUAAGUUUAGCCUUUUGUCAAAAUUAUGUUAAGUAAUAACUAGUUUCCUUUACAUAAUGUUGGAUCCAAUCGACUGUGGCCUAAUUUGUCAAAAUUGGUUCAUUAACUUGUAAUGAUAUCAUUGACUCCAAGAGAAAACAUAUUUAGAUCUUGUGUCCACAUUAACAGAACUCACACUUUACUCAACCCCAUUUCAUAAUUCAUUGGCAUUCACUUGACUUCAAACCUUAGAAAAAAAUGAUCAUAUGAAUACCGUAGUUUGCUUUAGGCACGAUUGUUAAAUAAACCAUCGUGAUUAUGGGUACGGUUCUCAUGAUAUAGUUAUGAUGCCUAAUUUCCUAAAUUCGGUUGUGCAUUUCAUGUGACCAACCACAACAACUUCAAAUAAUAAUAAAACAAACAUGUCGCGAAUCGCGGGUGCAUUUCAUGUAGCGUGGUUUGCGGUAUGUUCCCAAACGGCAAGUGUACGACAACUGUAACUUGUUCAAGAAAUAAUUCCAUAAAUCCUAAAAGCGGUUAGAAUAAUUAAAAGCGGUUAUAAAGUUAAAAAUGCACACUAGGUUUAAAACAUGUAAUAUAUCAGAUAAUUAGGUCAAUUAUUAAUAGUUAAGCGACCGUGCUCAAACCACAAAAUCCGAAAAUGCCUAACACCUUCUCCCGGGUUAACAGAAUUCCUUACCUAGUUUUCAGGUUUCACAGACUUUUAAAUAAAGUCGAUUUUCCUCGAUUUGGGAUUUAAAGUAAACCGGUGACUUGGGACACCAAAUAAAUUAUUCCAAGUGGCGACUAUGAAAAAAAUAAAUAAUCUCAUUUCGAUUUAUGUUAUUUUAAUUGGAAAAACUUUCUUAUAUCCCCUCGGGUGGAAAAAGGAGGUCUGACAGGUCGUGACAUAGAUACAUUAUUAUUUGGGAGCUACUGCUCCCGAUUGUUGCAUUAACAUUGUCUUGCAUAGGGGGUUCACCCUGAUUUUACGUACAAAAACAGUUCCUAAGAGGUCUGCCCACAUGGCCUUAUUUACAAACACUAGAUGAACUGUCAAAAUUUAUGUCCUAUCAAAAGACUUUUUUCCUGCUUCUUCCUUUGCGAGGAGGUCCGCCACUUGAUUUUGUUCUCUGAAAUUAUGUCCCAGUACUGGGUUCCCCAACUGCUUCAUCAAUGACCUGCAUUCAAAGAUAAUAGAGUUAUAAUGCAGGUUUCCCUCAUUUAGCAUUCUUACAACCUGUUCAAAAUUAGUGCAUAUUUGUAGAGGUGUGAGUUUGUAUUCGAAGGCUAUUGUGAGACCCUGCCAUAGAGCUUUGAGUUCAACCUCUAGGACAGUGGUAUGUGGUAAGCCUAUCAUAUAACCUAGUACCCAGUCAGCCUUUCUAUUCGUAAUGACACCCCCAACUUCUCGUACACUCGAUUUUGGGCAAGCAGCCCCAUCAGUGUAAAGCUUGUAUGAGCUAACAGGAAGUGGCUCCCAAUUGAUGUGCGUUUUAGUUGUUUCACCUGUAUUCUUGUGUUGUACAAUCAUAUGGUAGAAUUCAGUGGCUCUGGCAAUAGUUUAUUUAAUAGUGGCACGGUUCUUUUUCUUUUCAAAAAGAUUGUUGUUUCUUGUGAGCCAUAGGCUCCAAAAACAGAAGGGUAGAAGGGAUUUCCAGUUGAUAGCAUUGUUAAACUGCAUGUUCUUGACCUUGUGCCAUGUAUCCUCCCAGUUGGUCAUUGAGAAUACAAGGUAUGGAUGGGAGGUCUUGUUAGUACACUCCAGGGUUAUGGACCACCAGAAUGCUCUUGUAUUUGAGCGUUCAAAGAAGAUAUGAUUGGUGUCUUCCACUCCAGAAGAGCAGAAAGGACAUAUUGGGCUAACACUUAAGCUUAUGCUGUUUAAGUGCUUGGUAGUGGAAAUUGCAUCAUCCAAGUAAAGAAUUUAAUCUUAUUACGGACCCUUAGCUUCCAAAUCCAAAUAAGAUUCAGCGAUAUAUCGUAAUAUCCUGAAAUUAAUUUCGACCACGACUAUAUAAUCGGCGUGCGUUUGCGGGUUAAAGAAAAAGACCCAACAUGGAUUACUUAUUCAUUAUAUAUCAGAUUCCUAAGUGUGGUCCAUACUACUUUCCCAUUUAUCACGUGCGAACAUAUUAGAACGUAUAAUUAAUUAAUUUUAAGUAAUAAGAAAAAGUUUACACUCUCCAAACUUGUUUGUAGUUCAUCGUAUGGUACUAAAUAAAAUUGUGAAUCUCCCUCCGUUUUACUUCAUUGACUAUCUUUUAUUCUGCACAAUUUAGAGAAAAUUAGCAUUUUAUAAUCUUAAAUAUGUAACAACCUGAGCAGUCAUUUUAAGAUUUAAUUUUGGAAGUUCAGAGUUGAUUUUGAAAGAAAAUUCUCAUUUCGGAAGCCCUAAGUUGGAAGAAUUGUCUAAGAUGGAAUUUUUGAGUAAACGACCUCAGAAUCGGAAUUAGAAGUUUCCAGCAGGCUCGUAUGAUGAUUUCAGACUUGGGUGUAUGUUCGGAUCGGAUUUUGAAUGACCCGAGAGCGUUUCGACCUCUAUUCUCGAAGUUAACAUUUUGGUAGAAUUAAAUAAAUUUGGGUUGAAGUGCAUUUCAAUGUUAUCGAGAUUCGUUUGGGAUUCCGAGUCUGAGAAUAGCUCUGUAUGGUGAUUCUAGUAUUGGGAGCACGUCCGGAAGUGGAUUUGGAGGUCCGUAGGUCAUUUUUGAGUCGUUUUGCGAAAGUUAGAAAUUUGAAGGUUUUUGAGAAGUUUGACCGGGAGUAGACUUUUUGAUAUCAGGGUCGGAUUCCGAUUAUGGAAGUUGCAGUAGCUCCGUAAUGUAGAAUGUGACUUGUGUGCAAAAUUUGAUGUCAAUCGGACUUGAUUAGAUAUGUUUCUGCAUCGAAUGUAGAAAUUAGAAUUUGUUAGUUUCAUUAGACUCAAAUUGGGGUAUGAUUCGUAUUUUUAACAUUGUUUGAUGUAAUUUGAGGCCUCGACUAAGUCUGUGAUAUAUUUUGAGACUUGUUGGUAUGUUCGGACGGGGUCCCGAGGGGUUCGGGUGAGUUUCAAGGUGGUUUCGGACCAUUUCUAGGCCAUUUUUAGCAGCUGAUUUUUGGCUACAGUAGUGUGCUACGCGACCACGGGGAAUUGGUCUCGAUCGCGAUGAGCAAAGUGGGAGAAAUUGGCCACUGAUUCGCAUCGCGAAAGGCCUUUCGCGAUCGCGUAGAGGAAAGUUUCUGCUGCACUGACCCAACUUUGUAAGCUUGUAUCUUGCAAUAUAUAACCAAUUUGGAGAUGACCCAAAAAUGAAAGUUAUAUCCCUUUGUGUCUAGCUUUUAUAAAAUCAAACCAAUUGGCAUUUGAAUUGUAUACAAAAGGUUAUGAGUGGUACACUACAGCCUAUCCGGGAAGAGUUUGGAAAUAGCGAAGAAGAAAUUUAUGUUGCACAUGAUUGAAUUUGGAAGCUUAUAUCUCGUAAUAUAUAAGGAACUGGGAGAUGAUCAAAGCAUGAAAGUUGUAGUCCUUGAAUUCUAGUUUUCAAAAAGUAAAAUCAUUUACAAUUUGGAAUUUUGUACAAAAUAUUAUGACCAUUAUACUAGAGGCUAUUUGGAAGAGCUGGGCAUUUGUUCUUCGCGAUCGCGAAAUAUUUUCCGCUAUUGCGAAAGGCAAAUUAUGGGUUUAGAAAUGUUGUACUUCAUGAUCGCGAAGCAUUUUCCGCGAUCGCGAAGAGUAAAUACCGGGGCAGAAGCUAUAUUUCCACGUUUUGGCCAUUUUUAAUAUAUUUGGAGCUAUGGAGCUCGGAUUGAAGUAAUUUUUGAGGCGAUUUUAACCAUAUGGAUUGGGGUAAGUGUUGUAUAUCCAAAAAUAAUUAUACUUCAUGAUUUUAUGGUUAUAUUCAUUAUUUAUUUCGGAUUUAAAUGGAAGAAAUCAAGAUUUUUGCAAAACUUUUCAACAACAAAAAUUUAAGAUUUGGAGGUCAAGUUGUUAUAGGAAUUUAGUAAAAUUGGUAUGGUUGAACUCGUAUCAGAAUGGGUUGUCGGAUUUUGUGAGUUUCAUCAGGUUUCGAGACGUGGGCCUCACUGCCAACUUUUCAAGCGGAGUUGAAAUUUUUUAUAAAUUGUUAAAUUUCAAGCAUUGGAGUAUAUUUUUAAUUAAUUUUCACGUUGUUUGACUGGUUUCGGAUUGAACGGAACCAAGUUAGGGUUUUAGAGCGAAAUUGUGACCGGAAAGUGGGCUUUUAGACGAGGUAAGUCUCCUUUCUAAUCUUUUAAGAGGGAAUUAACCUCAUAGGUGAAAUAAAUUAUUAUGUGCUUCUAUUUAUGGAGGCUAAGUAUGCACGAGGUAAUGAGAGUUUGUACGUAGCUACUAAUUAUGCCUAUGUUCGAGUAGUUUUAGGCUUACAUCAUGCCUUGUUGAUAUUGUUAUUGAUUUAUGUUUAUUGUUUGCCUUGAGAGAGAGAGAGAUUGAAUUUGCUUAUUAAAUGUUUUAAAAGGAGUUGAAAUUGAGGAAAACUUGGGAUCUUAAAAGUUUUCAUUUGAACUUCGUAUCUUGAAAAGAAUGGAAGAAUACUAUAUUAACUUAAGAAAUAUAUGUGUGACCGCGUCGCAAGUAUGAUCCGCGAGUGGAGUAGUUUCUUAAAUUUAUAUUUAACAGCAUCGCAUGUAUGAUUCACGAGCGGGGUAAUAGAUGCAUCUAUGGUUCGCGUCAUUCGACCUUUGCCAGUGCACACUUUAUAUUUAUAUUGGAUCGGGUCAAACGUCCUUGGUAGAAUUCGUGUGUAAUAAUAAAACUAGAAGUCCCUUUUAUAAUUGGUAUAAAUUCAGUGUUUGUGUGAUCAUAUGUUUAAAGGAGGGAAGUGAUUUAGGUUCUUAAAUAUAGGAAAGACAUGUUCAAUUAUUUCUUGUUCUGAGUCUUAUUGUUGUAUAUCAUGUUUAAUUAGAAUUUCAUAUUAUCAUAUUAUUGGACCACUAGUAAGUGUCGGAGUCGAUCUCUCGUCACUACUUUUCUGAGGUUAGACUGAAUACUUACUGGGUAUGUGUUAUUUUCGUACCCAUACUACACUUGAUGUACAUUUUGUUGUACAGGCAUAUGUGUGUUCAGUGGCCUUAUGGGCGUAGCGGCGCGAUUGAUAUGAGGACUUAGGUGAGCUGCAUCUUAUAAGAUAAUCCGCAGCCAACAGAGUCUUCUUUAGAGUUCUUGUAUAUUCUUUUCUAUCCAAAUUUGUAUUCCGGGCGGUUAUUGUAUUGUAUUUUAAAUUCAUAGUAGAUGUUCAUGCACUUAUGAUAUCGGGUUUUGGGAUGAUUAUGGGAUAUUCAGUAUUAAGAUUUGAAAAUAUUAUUAAUUAUUCUAUAAAGUUCAUCUUUUUACUAGUUAAAUUGAAGGAAAUUUAUGAUUUCGAAAAUAUUAAAAUAAGAAUUUAUAUAACUACUUAGUGUUGUCUUGCCUGACAGUGGUGUCCAGUGCCAUAACGACCUUUAACGGAUUUUGGGUCGUGACAACAUACUAUUAGAGCACUAGGUUCACUUAGGUCUCACGAGUCAUCAGCAAGUCUAGUACAGUCUUGUUGAUCGAUAUGGAGAAGUUUAUACUUAUCUUUGAGAGGCUAUAGGGCUACUAGGAGCAAUUCCCUUCAUGAUUCCUCAUCGUACGAAUUGAUCCAUUUGAGGCUUGUACAUUUAUUUCUUUCCUAUUCAAUCUUAUACGAUGUGAAGCGCUUGUUAUGGAUUGAGAAUCGAGGAAUUGUCAUGGUACUACACAUAUGGAGCACGAUGUUUCUACCUGCGUAUUUGAUUGGCCUAUUACCGUCGUUUUUCGGAAAGCCGUCCUAUCGAUUCAGCAUAGCAUCAGUAUUACCUAAGGUUUUGAGAUUUGGAAUUGACUGUUAUGACGAUUCGUGCAUUACUAUCACAUAGUGUUUGCGUAAUGGUGGGAUAUGUAACACCCCGUAAACUUGAAUUAGUUGUGAAUGCAUUAAAUGAGUAUUCAUGUGAUGGUUAUCAAUUGGUUAUGAUAAUAAGUGUACGAGGCAAACCAUUAGUGAUAUGGGGUCCAAGGAGAGGCCUAAGUCUAAGCCAAGUUGGAAAUUACAUGAUAGACUAAAAAUUCCAAAUGAGUACACACAAGACCUCACUUUCAACGAGCAUAUCUACAUGUAUAUUAGGAGUUGUGUGAUUCACAACCUAUCCAAUUAAAGUAAUUUGAGUCUAGUUUCCAAUGCAUCAAACCGUUCAUCGUUUGGAGGUGUACACAGAAAGUUAUGACCAUUUUUUUGUCCCUUCUGUCGCCAGUGUCCUGGGUAGCGCCGGGCGCUAGCUGCCGCCGGGAAUUUUUGAGAUACUGGAAACUGCACCACAGGCAGUGCCCAGCGCCACCUGUGGCGCCCGAAACACUAUAUACUUAAUUCGGGGUUCAUUUUUACCCAUUUAUCUUGGCCGGACUUUGGGGUCUUCCUUCACCCUCUAAAGAGCACCAACUCCUACCAUCUUCAAGGUAAGCAAUCUCCAUUAACUUGGCAUGAAAUUCCAUCAUUCUUACACUAGUGUUGAUGAAAUCUACUCAUAAAACACAUAGAUCUUCAAGAAAUUCCUUCAAAAACUCAAAGAAGGGUUUUGCAAGAUUUCUUCUAAAAGGUAAUCCUACACCCUUAGACUCACAUGUAUGGAUUUAUUAAGGGAAUAUGAGUAUAAAUAAGUAAUAGAACUCUUGUUAUGGUAAUUGGAAGCCAUAAGUUCCCAAUUUAAUUACAUAACUAUUGUAGAGAUUGAAAGAUGAUUAAUUGAUGGAAUUUUGUUGGUCGGGUGUGGAUGGAUGGUCAUAUAUGUGAUGUUGAAAUUAUAAAUUGGUUAAUCAUGAUGGUGGGAUAAAUUGUUGAUGAAUGGUGGUGGUUGGAUGAACUAAUUAUAUGGUGAUGAGAUGUAGAGAUUUACGCCUACAAGGUGUUUGAUAAUAUGCCUAAAUGGUUUGAGUUAUGGAAUUUGUUACUAAUAUUGGUUCCAUUGGAUGUUGCUAUUGUAGAUUGAAGUUUCUUAGUAUUGUGGAUCAUUGUAGUAUCAAUAAGGGGCAAAAUUCAGGUAUGUGAGGCUAACUCACUAUGUUUAGAAUGUUAAUGAUUCUCCCUACACUACGUUUCUUUUACGACGUUACUAAUUGCCUCAAAAAUAGAGUUUAGCCUAGUUCUUUGAAUAGUUGUAGAACUUCUAUUCUCUAACUUCAUAACUCGUUCAUGUCUUUCAUUCUGAAUGUUGUGAGCUCAGUACGUAUUCAAUAUAGACGUGGGUUUGAUGCCCCCGAGUCUUAGUCUAGAUUACUCAGUAUGCCAUAAACAGUUGAAAUUCCAGUAUUCAUAAUCAGUUCAAGAAUACAUGUCUCAGUCUAGUCCUAUUCAGUAUUCUAGUAUUAUGUUACCCAGUGUGAUCCAGUAUCAUGUAUUGCAGUAUGAUUCUCAGUUCUUAAUUUUAAAUCCCUGAAUGUUGAACACCUGUAUUUGGGCCUGAGGCCGUAGUUUAUAUGCUUUAUGCAUAAUUGGGCUUGAGGCCGUAGUUUAUGCUUUAUGCAUUUUGGACCUGAGGCUGUAGUUGUGUAUAUGUAUACUUGGGCCUGAGGCCGUAGCUUGUGCACAUAUCUAUUGGGCCCGAGGCUGUAGCUUAUUCAGAUAAACAGGUUGUUCGUCAUUCAGAAGAGGGAGUAUACAUAUUCUUACUUCCUCUAUUCAGUUCAAUUAUCAGUUACCAUUUCAGUUGCCAGUUAUUAGUUCAAUUAUCAAUGAUCAGUUAUCAAAUAUCAUUUCAGUCCAGUUUCAAUAGUUAUCAUUUCAGUUAUCAAUUAUCAAAUCUCAAUUAUCAGCUUAGUUUCAGUUUCAGCAUUUAUAAUUCUUUCUUUCAGUUGCUUUACAUACUAGUACAAUUAAAAUGUACUGACGUCCCUUUUGCCCGGGGCCUGCAUCUCACAAUGCAGGUAAUGAUUUACAGGUUGAUGAUUCAGAGCACUAGGACUCUCGUACCAGUUAUUUGGUGAUUCCAGUUCUUUCGGGGCAUUAUUAGUACCUUACAGUGUUCAGUAUUUUUUUUAUUGACAGUCAGUGUUUUCAGUACUUCUUUAGAGGCUUCAUAGACUAGAGUAUCAAUUAGACAGAGUCACAAGCUUUUUGUGUUAAGCAAUGUUGGCUACAUACAUGUUUCAGACUUGUAUGAGUGUUUCCACACUUUGACUUUUAUCAUUCAGACUUUCAGUAUAUCAGUAUGUGUUAGUUUAUCUUUCACAUUUAUUUGUUAUGAUAUCACAUGUUUAUUCCGCCAGCCAGUUGGUUUGCUCAGUCACAUGUAGUCAGGCACCGAGUGUCGUGUUACGUCCAGGCCCAUGUUCAGGGCGUGGCAAAGCUUGGUAUCAGAGCACUAGGUUCAAGUCUCCUAGGGAGUCUAUAAAGCCGUGUCUAGUAGAGUUUCCUUUAUAUGUGUGUGUAGGCCACUCAUAUAAAUGUUUAACUACCAAGACAUCUAGGAUUGUCUCAUUUCUUUCUACUCUAGAUCGUACCAUGAAGCUUAAAGCAAUUGUUAACCUUGUUUUCCUAUCGAAUUCCAAAUGUAUUGGAUGCCCAAGCGACGCGCAGGAGAAACCUAAGGUCCUAGAGAGGAUAAUUGCCCAUUAGGGUAUAAUUAUGGAGUACAUGUUGGUAAAUAUGAGACUUGAGAGGACGUUAAAACUGGGAUGCAAUGGAUAGUAGUACAUAUUAAAGCAUAACCUUAUCGGAAAGUACAAAAGCAGUUAUCAUGUCUUAUGGCUAUUAGUUUACCUUAGUUACCAGUUAUACAAUCUUUCAGUUAGCAAAUUUAUGGUUAUUCAGUAUGCCAGUAUUCAGUUAUAUGUUUACCAAAUAUCCAAUUUUCAGUGUAUCAAAAUUUCUGGUGACUUGUGAGUAUACAAUAAUGCAUAUGGGUUCUCAAAGAAAAUGUAAGUAACAGUGAUUAUAACGAAAUCUUCGCAUGUUUUAGGGAUUAAGACCCAAGACUCACCGGAUAGUGCAUGAAGUGAUUUAUCAUAUGUGUAUGACAGUGUAUCUGUAUGUUAGACCCCACGGUGUAACAGGUUAAGAAUUUAACCGCAAUGGGCAUAAAAUUGAUCACUAUAGUUUUGGACAGAAAAAAGCCUAAGGGAAAUAUAGCUAAGAAUAAUAUGAUGUACGAAAUGAGAACCAAGAGAAGGCGACAUUGAAUUUUAGUGAAUGAUUUUAGGUUGUUUAGAUUUAUUCAAAUGAGAACUAGAAAGUACCAUGUUAGUGAAUUUGUAUACGAAGUGACUAUUAUUGUGAGAUAAAAGAUAUGGCAGUUCCCCUUUACAUGAUGUGACUAUGUGUUUAGGCCGGAUGUUUAUCAUCUGAUAUGAUUUUUAGAAGUAUAUAGAAAGUUGGGGUUAGAUAUUCCAAAUUUGUUUAAGACAGAUGAAACUUCCCUAAGUGUGAUCCAUGUGCAUAGUUAAAAGAAAAUUUGAUAGUGUACGGCAAAACAAUAUGGUUACGAUGAGGAAAUUUAGGAUAAACCUUAUGUUUCACCUUAGUUAUUCAAUGCAGAGCAAGAAAACAUGAUGCUAGUAGGUAGUUAGUAAAAGAAUAGUAAAUACGUUUAGAGUAAAUACAGUGAAUUAGCAAUUUCAACAGAGCUAGUAGAGGUAAAAUUUGAUUCACUUAGCCAGAUUUUACGCUAGUGAGUGAGUAACAGUUUGAAACACCAAACACAUGUUAGAACCCAAGGAGUUUAAGUUAAACCCGAAGUAUAAUGGCAGUGAAAAAAAUCAGCUAACAGUGAGAGAACAAGUUAUAGAAGAAUAGCCUUUAGGAAUUAUCAAAAUGUGGUUACCCCAAGAUUGACAGUGUGAGCAGAGUUUAAUUAUUAAGAUUGUGUAUGAUAGGUGUGAAUACAUUAGCUUUUCAUUAUGUUAAUAAUUUAGUUUCCCUAGCUCGGAAGUAAGUUGGGAGAUGAGUCGUCAUUGACGUAGAGUGCAAAGAAUUGUAGAAAAUAAGGAAGGUUAUUUGGAUCCCAACAAAAAUAGAAGGAUUCGCAAGUAUAAGACCUUUGGUCUAAGGGGUGAAGCGAAAAUUUUUAGUAAGUCCAGUUAGAGAUUUGAAACCCGAAUAGUUAGCAUGGAUAUGAAAAAGGAAAUCAUUUCGGUAAUGAGGAAAAAUUGUGUAAUUACCAUAAGGAAUAUAUCUAGUAUGUGUAAGAAACACAAAGUGAGUAGAAUGACCACCGAGCUUAGUUAUUGAUGAUAAAGUGAUCGCAUAAAAGUUAUAAAAUCAUGCCCAGUUAUGUAUAUGAGGGUAAUGCCAUUGCACGAGACUCUAAUAUUCCGAGUAGUGGUCAGUGACUUGGCUCACAGUAAUGCUAUAAGUGUUUUUAGGAAGUGAUUAAGAAGAUAAUCAAGUGUGGGAAGUAUAACUCAUGAUUGAGGUGGAUAAGAGAAAUCUGGUGAAAGAAGUUCACCACUUAGCCUAGCUAGGAGUUCAAUUUGCGUACUCCAAAGAUAGUAGAGUUGUUGUCUAGAAUAUGGAUUGUUCCUCCUUAGUAGUCGAACUGAAGGAGAAAUAGCUUGAUGAUCCCUACUUGUUGUAGCAGAAAGAGGGGAUUCACAGGCAUAAGAUGAUUGCUUUUUAAGAAAGGGGGAGAUGAUGGUACUCUGAGUUACCAAGACAGAUUGUGUGUUCCAGACAUAGAUGGACUUAAAGAAGAAGAUCAUGUUAGAGGCUCAUAAUUCCAGGUAUUCUAUCCACCUAAGUUUUCCCAAAGAUGUAUCAUGAUCUUAAGGAGAUUUAGUGGUGGGACGACAUGAAAAAAAGAAAGUUGCGGACCUUGUGGCCAAGUGUUUGACUUGUCAGCAAGUGAAAGUCGAGCAGCAAAAAACCAAGUGUUUAUCUCAGAACGCACAUAUCCUUUAGUGGAGAUGGUAAAUAUAGACCUUAUAAUAGGAUUAUCUCGAUCAUUUUGAGAGCAUGAUUUUUAUGGGAGAAGGUGUAGAUUGCCAAUUAGUUGGUUCGAAGUUGGCAAAGCGGAGUUGCGGGGACCAGAUUUGGUCAAUCAGUCUAUGGAGAAAGUCAAGUUGAUUCAAGAGCAUUUGUAGACAACUCAGAGUUGCCAAAAGUCCUAUUUGAACAUGCAACAUAGAGACCUAGAGUUUCAAGUUGAUGAUUGGGUGUUUCAAAAAGUUUUGCCUAUGAAAGAUGUUAUAAGAUUUGGAUAGAAAGCAAAGCUUAAUCCCAGAUACAUCGACCCAUAUAGGAUCCUAUGAAGGAUCGGGUAAGAAGCUUAUGAGUUAGAAUUUCCACCAUAAUUAGCGGUUGUACACCAGUAUUUCACGUGUCAUGUUAUAACAUUCCAGUUAGUUCAGUACUCAGAUACUCAUGUCAAGUACUCAGAUAUUCAUGCCAGCUUAAUACUCAAAUAUUGAUGUGAGUUUAGUGAUCAGAUAUUCAUGUCAGUUCAGCACUCGAUUAUUCGUGUCGUUUCAGUAUUUAUAUAUCCACGUUAGUUCAGAAUUCACGUAUCCAUAACAGACAAGUAUUCAUGUAUAUGUAUCAUGUUAUGCGUAUUAUUAUGCCCUAUGGAGCUAGUGUUGUGCUCUGUUAGCUGGUAGGUAUUUUGGAGAAAUGUCGAAAGUAUCUAACCUUCUCAUUCAGACAUUAAAAUACAAUCUCCAUGUCUUCUAGUGUUUAGUAAAUUUAGCAGCCAUUCAGUCUAGUACCUAUGUAGUUCAGUAUCUCGUCAGCUUAGUAAUCGUAUAUUCAUUCAAUUUAGUACGAAAGUGUAAAUGAAAGUUCAUGUUCCCACUAGACCCGCUUAAGUUCCGAAGUUAGCCGAAGAUACAGCCAAGACAAUCAUUCGAGGAUGAAUGAUCCUAAGUGGGAGAUAAUGUAACACCCCAUAAAUUUGAAUCAGUUGUGGAUGCAUUAAAUGUGUAUUAAUGUGAUGGUUAUCAAUUGGUUAUCAUAAUAAGUGUACAAGGCAAAUCAUAAGUGAUUUGGGGUCCAAGGAAAGGCCUAAGUCUAAGCCAAGUUGGAAACUACAUGAUAGGCUAAAAAAUUUCAAAUGAGUACGCACAAGACCUUACUUUAGACGAGCAUUUCUACAUGUAUAUUAGGAUUUGUAUGAUGCACAACCUAUAAAAUUAAUUCUCUUUGAAUCUAGUUUCCAAUGCAUCAAACCGUUUGUCAUUUGGAGGUGUACACAGAAAGUUAUGACCAUUUUCGUGACCCUUCCGUCACCAGCGUCCUAAGUAGCGUCGGGUGCUAGCCGUGGCGCCAGAAAUUUUUGAGGUGCUAGAAACUGUGCCACAGGCAGCGCCCAGUGCCACCUAUGGCGCCCGAAACACUAUAUACUCAAUUCGGGGUUCAUUUUUACCCACUUAUCAUGGCCGAACUUUGGGGUCUUCCUUCACCCUCUCAAGAGCACCAACUCCUACCAUCUUCAAGGUAAGCCUCCAAUAACUUGGUGUGAAAUUCCAUCAUUCUUACACUAGUAUUGAUGAAAUCUACUCAUAAAAUACAUAGAUCUUUAAGAAAUUCCUUCAAGAACUCAAAGGAGGGUUUUGCAAGAUUUCUUCCAAAAGGUAAUCCUACACCCUUAGACUUACAUGUAUGGAUUUAUUAAGGGAAUAUGAGUAUGAAUAAGUAACAGAACUCUUGUUAUGGUGAUUGGAAGCCAUAAGUUCCCAAUUUAAUUACAUAACUAUUGUAGAGAUUGAACGAUGAUUAAUUGAUUGAAUUUUGUUGGUUGUGUGUGGAUGGAUGGUCAUAUAUGUGAUGUUGAAAGUUAUAAAUUGGUUAAUCAUGAUGGUGGGAUAAAUUAUUGAUGAAUGGUGGUGGUUGGAUGAACUAAUUAUAUGGUGAUGAGAUGUAGAGAUUUACGUCUACAAGGUGUUUGAUAAUUGCCUAAAUGGUUUGAGUUAUGGAAUUUGUUACUAAUAUUGGUUCCAUUAGAUGUUGCUAUUGUAGAUUGAAGUUUCUUAGUAUUGUGGAUCAUUGUAGUAUCACUAAGGGGCGAAAUUCAGGUAUGUGAGGCUAACUCUCUAUGUUUGGGAAUGCUAAUGAUUCUCCCUACACUACGUUUCUUUUACGACGUUACUAAUUGCCUUAAAAAUAGAGUUUAGCCNNNNNNNNNNNNNNNNNNNAAUGUUGUGAUCUCAGUGCAUAUUCAAUAUAGACUUGGGUUUGAUGCCCCUUAGUAUAGAUUACUCGGUAUGCCAUAAACAGUUGAAAUUUCAGUAUUCAUAAUUAGUUCAAGAAUACAUAUCUCAGUCUAGUCCUAUUCAGUAUUCCAGUAUUAUGCUACCAAGUGUGAUCCAGUAUCAUGUAUUGCAGUAUGAUUCUUAGUUCUUGAUUUUAAAUCCUUGAAUGUUGAACACCUGUAUUUAGGCCUGAGGCCAUAGUUUAUAUGCUUUAUGCAUACUUGGGCCUGAGGCCGUAGUUUAUGCUUUAUGCAUUUUGGGCCUGAGGCAGUAGUUAUGUAUACGUAUACUUGGGCCUGAGGCUGUAGCUUGUGCAAAUAUUUAUUGGGCCCGAGGCCGUAGCUUAUUCAGAUAAACAGGUUGUUCGUCAUUCAGAAGAGGGAGUAUUCAUAUCCUUACUUCCUUUGUUCAGUUCAAUUAUCAGUUACCAUUUUAGUUGCCAGUUAUUAGUUCAGUUAUCAAUUAUCAGUUAGCAUUUCAGUUUCAGUUUCAAUAGUUAUCAUUUAAGUGAUCAAUUAUCAAAUCUCAGUUAUCAGCUUAGUUUCAGUUUCAACAUUUAUAAUUCUUUCUUUCAGUUUCUUUACAUACUAGUACAAUUCAAAUGUACUGACGUCCCUUUUUCCCGGGGCCUGCAUCUCACAAUGCAGGUAAUGAUUUACAGGUUAAUGAUUCAGAGCGCUAGGAUUCUCGUACCAGCUAUUUGGUGAUCCCAGUUCUUUCGGGGCAUUAUCAGUACCUUACAGUCUUCAUUAUUUUUUUGACAGUCAGUAUUUUCAGUACUUCUUUAGAGGCUUCAUAGACUAGAGUAUCAAUUAGACAGAGUCACAAGCUUUUUGUGUUAAGCAAUGUUAGCUACAUACAUGUUUCAGACUUGUAUGAGUAUUUCCACACUUUGACUUUUAUCAUUCAAACUUUCAGUAAAUCAGCAUGUGUUAGUUUAUCUUCCAUAUUUAGUAUGUUAUGAUAUCAUAUGUUGAUUCAGCCAGCUAGUUGGUUUGCUCGGUCACAUGUAAUCAGGCACCGAGUGUCGUAUUACUUCCAGGCCCAGGUUCGAGGUGUGACAAGAUGCUUUUUUAGGCAUCAAAGUAGUGAAUCACCUUAAAGGAUGUUUUACACAGUAAAUGAUUCAGAGAUUCAGUAUUCUAUUUCUGGCGGAGGAAAGGCAAUCAUACUAGGAACGUUCAGAUUUGGGUUGAUGGAGUAACGAGGCUUGGUAUUUUUUAGCGUGGUAGAGUUCUCAAUUGUGAUGUGGUGUCAUUGUCCUUGUUGAAUGCGUUAAUGUUCGCCAAUGUUAUGGCCUUCUUCAAUUUGCCUUUGGGGCAGGGUAUUAUGAAAUGGUGCUUGAGAUGUGGUUGUCGGAGAUAACUGAGUGUAGCGAUUUCAGAAUCGAAUUUGUACUUCUAGUAUUGAUGGCUCGAGAAAGCUGGUCUUCUAAGAGGUUUAGAGUUGGUAGCGGCUCAUUUGUUUGGGUGUUACGGAGAUAGAUUCGGGUUUGGGGCAACAAUUGGGCGACGAAUGACAAGGAAGGACAUGUGGGAGGUGUUUUGCGGUGGUUGAAUUGCUAGAAGGUCAAGUGUGAAAAUUAGAAGUUUGAACAAAUGUGGGAGAGUGGCAGAGUAACAUAUGAGUUCUGUGGUAGGAUGGUCACACACAUUGAGGAAAGUCUGGAUCCAUUUUGGAAAUCCAUUGUGGACAGCGACUAGGUCCACGAACUUUUAUUUGGGUGCAAUAUGACUUCGAGUUUGGAAUGCGUUGGUGGACUUUUAGCUAAUGCCAAUGGGGAAGAAGGAACAUCGGUGGGUUUUAGGGUUAUAUAAUUGUAGCUUCAAGAUAAGUGGAAGAUCCCUACCACUACAAUUAGACUGUGUGGUUGUCUACUUGUGCGGUUUUUGGUUAUCGAUGUAUUGGUGGAUUAUUACGACUAAAGAAAAAAAAUAUUAGUGGUAAUUUGAGCAAAGAAUUUGAGGAAUAUAUCCUAUCUUUGGCCUUAUCGGUUCAUGUUCAGGUUUUGGGAAGACUCAAAGUCUAUGCUUCGUUUGGAUGUGAUGUAUAAGCAAAGGAAUUCAGCCGGUUGCUUCUUGGAGAGGGUGUUUAUGUUUUAGCAUGGCAUUGGAGUGUGACUAUAUUCGGGAAAAAGUUAUAGUGGGUGACUCUCAACAAUGGCCCUAGUAGGUUCAAAAUUAAAGUUUGGUGCCUAAGGAUUUCGAGUCCGUGGUUUGGUUAAGUAUAGAGCUUUUGUAGUGGAUAAUGAAAAGGGCUUGCAGUGUUCUAUGUUAUCUUCGGUCUACAGUGUAGCAUUUAAGGAAUGGGAGAAAAAGAUUUUGAAAUUUCAAAUUCGUGAAAUUUUGGCUAUUAUUAUUAGAGGAUGUUAUUAUGGUCAUGUAAUUUACGUAGUGCAUAGUGUGUAUUCAGCAAAGGUAUGCAACCAUGUAUUGGUGCAUCGCAUAAAUGUUGAUACGGUGUUCGUAUGACGGAAGAAGGCCUGACGGAGAAUUUCGGAUGUUGGAAUUGAGCUCUAAGGGCUAUUCGGCUGAGUAAAAAGGGAAAAUCUUCAUAUUAGCUCGAGCUAAUAUGCUCAACUGAGUUAUGGUAGCCCGGGAAGGUGCAAGAGGUGUUAAACAGUUAUUUUAGACAACUCCAGAGCAGUUCUUAGCACGUUCGAGGACGAACGUAUGUUUAAGUCUGAGAGAAUGUAAUGACCCGAUCGGUCGUUUUGAGCUGUAGCGUGUCGUUCGGCAAUUUGAGGCCAUGAGCAACUUCACUUCGGGUGUUAUACUUGUACGCAUGGUCGGAAUUGAAAUUUCAGAAGUUUAGAGUUGAUUUGGAAAGAAAAUUCUCAUUUCGGAAGCCUUAAGUUGGAAGAAUUAUCUAAGGUGGGAUUUUUGAGUAAACGACCUUGGAAUCGGGAUUUGAAGGUUCCAGCAGGUUGUUAUGAUGAUUUCGGACUUGGGCGUAUGUUCGAAUCAGGUUUUGAAUGACUCAAGAGCAUUUCGGCGCCUAUUCUAGAAGUUAGCAUUUUGUUAGAAUUUAAUAAAUUUGGGUUGAAGUUGAUAAGUUGGUAUUUUACCAACUUAUCUUGUCUUUAAGCCUACACUGUUGCUAUGUUUGAGUGAUAAAAUCAUGUGUUUAAUGCCAUUUACUUCUGUAUUAUAGGUUCUACGUGAUUUAGAAGUGAUCUUGAAGAAACCAAGUGAAACGAGUCAAAAAGAAGCUAAAAAGAAGAAAAUCUGGAAAAUGCCCUCAGUUUUGCAAAUGCGACACAAUCUUGGGAAAUGCGAAGCAAGCAGUCAUGGGAAAUGCGAGUAUUGCGUUGCAAUUGCGAAGAACGACUAUACAAGCUGUGCUCGCAAAUGCGAAGAAUACUUCGCAAAUGCGAAGUCAACCAGGCAGUCAACCUUCGCAAAUGCGAAGUACUGAUCGCAAAUGCGAAGAUAAACAGUGUAGUCAUAGUUCGCAAUUGCGAACUUUUGUUCGCAAAUGCUAAAAUCGUGCUUCAGUUCUGGGCAAUUCUAUAAUUUCUUUUUUUUUUGCCCCAAUCCAUUUAAUACCCGACUUAGCUCAUUUGUAAAAUAUCUUUUGGCUUAUUUUCAAUCUUAGGACUAGAAAGAACAAGGUUGGAAGCUAGGGUUUAUGCACUUACACUUGGGUUUUGAAGAUUGUGGUUAAGAAUUUCUUAUUCCUUUGUACUCAUUUCUUCAUUUCCUUACUUUGUAUUGAAUAUCUAAGUGUGUAGUAUUGUAUUCAACACUUGAAUCUUGUUUAUAGAAAUCAUCAAAUUUAAAGUUUGGAUUAAAUACCUUGUUGUGCUUAUGUAUUGAAUGAUUUUGUAUAUUUUAUGAAGUGAGUUAUUGUUACUUUAAUUAUUCUUGUUCUUUAAUAUUUCCAAAGGGAUUAGUUAACCCUAGUACUCGCCCAUUAACUCCGAAUUACUUUUGGAAAAGAUUAAUUAACAAGAACUUGAGGCUUUAACCCUCAGUUUAUAGAUUCUACCUAGGGAUAGGAUUGAACUACUUGUGGCAAUAUUCGGGUAUGCUUAAUCUCUUAAUUAUUUUAGGGAUAAUUCAAUUAGAAAGUCUUGUAAGUCUUUGGAAGAAUCUAAUAUAGAAUUAUUACCCGUGGCUAAUUAACAUAAACUCACUCAUAUUUGUGAAAUCGUGAAAUACAUUGGAUCGUUACUUGAGUGUAAUUCCCGACGCAUUCAUACUUGUAGUCAUUGAUCAUUUUACUUGCUUUCUAGGUUAGUUUACAUUUCCGCAUUUAGGUAUAAAUAUUUUUUAAAAACAAUUCUUAAGUAUUUGGCAUUGCAAAACAAGUGAUAAUUCUUUUACAUUCCUAAUCGCCUAUAUAUUAUUCUCUGUGGGAUUCGACCCCGACUCAUAGUUGGGUAUAUUAUAUUGCAUGCGACCGUGUCCAUUUACUUUUUAGUAGUGGAUUUGGACGUCAUCAAAAUUGGUGCCGUUGUCGGGGAACAAUUUGGCAUAAUUUAGGUUGUUUGAGAAAUAAGCGUAAGUGCUUUGGUCCAAACUUGUGAAUAUUUGUGUAAUUAUUUUUCUUACCUUGGUCUAUAUUUCUUGUUUAUUUUCUUAGUUUUGAAAAAUGGCAUCAUUUAAUGAAAAUUGGUUGGAUGGUAGUUUUUUAUACUUUGAUGACCCAUGUCCUUAUUGUGGAGGACCACACUCAUGGCAAAAUUGUUUAAAUUCUCCCGGGGGUGGAUUGUGCGCACAAUCUCAAACCCAGGAGUGGAGUAUUUGUGAUAAGUGUGGUCGUCAAAAUGGUCAUUAGGAAUAUUAUGCUUAUUUGCCCUUCCCUUCCCCAAGCCCCCGCUAUGAUGAUUCUACUUUUUGUGAUGAAAAUGAUAGGGCUAUGGAAGUGGAAGAAGUUGAGCAUGGUCAAAAUGGAGAGUUUAAGCUCAUGUUAGAAUGCCUAAUUGAAGGAGGAAACAAAGAACAAAGUGCUUUGGAGGAGCUUUUGAAAAAUAGUCUCCAAAAUGACUUGGCACUUGAAAGGCUGCACUCACAAAUGGGAGAAAUGCUUGAAGCUUUAGAGGUCCAAAAAGUCUCGGAAUUAAUGAUAGCCAAGAAUUUUCCUUAGAUGUGAAAGCCGGAAAUCCUCCCUUGGAGCUUGAUCAAAACCAAGAAGAACUCUCAAAUGAUCAAAAUGAGAAGUUGAUGCUCAUGUUGGAGACCAUUCUUGCAAAUGAGGAGAAGCACAACUUUGCACUCGAGGACUUGAAACAAAUCUUGACUCACAAUGAUGAACAUAUCUGCACUUUGGAAGAUCCAAUGAAAAUAUUGGUUGAGGCUCACUAUGCCCACCAACUUGAGAGUGUGGAAGGAAGUCAAGAAGAGUCCGAUUUCAAAGAAGAAAGUGAGUUCUACUUUGAGGAAUCAAAAAUUGAACAUCCUCCAACCGACUCCAUGAGUAUUAGUGAUGCCAAGAAAAAUAUGAAAUUACAGUCAACCGGUGUAAAUGAAAAUUUGGUUGAAAUUGACUCCGGUCCGGGGGAAAAAGAGGAUGUCAAAAUCCGGGAAGAAUUGCAAUAUGGAGGGUUGAUGUUGCAUUCCAAGCAUUUUUUAACAUUGAAAUUGUAUGGUGAUAUGGGAAUUGAACAACACGAGUCAAUGAGAGAUUGCGAGGAGGAAAGACAAAAACCAUACAUCUUACAAUUUGAGGGAACAAGAAGGCAAAAUGACAUUCCUCACAUGAAAGCCAAGAAGUGCAAAAUGAAGAAAUUAAGUCUUGGAUUGAUCAUCUACUUACCACCCCCUACCGCUCAUGGUCACAAGCUUGAUUCCAAGUUGGGUUCCUAAUUCAUAUCAUCAAAGUGGCGAGAAAAGUGGUAAAGUGACUUGCGUCGUGCCAUGAAGUUAAAUGCGGCGCUUGGUGGGAGGCAAUUCAUCGUUUUUCUAAAUUUUUGAUCAUUUUUGAAAUUUUACUUUUUAGAAUAACUUAUUAUAUUGUUUCUAACCAAUAUGCCAAAGUUCAUAAUUUUUGGAGUUAAUUUGAGUAGGUUGGGGCGACGAAGUGCACCAAAGCCAGAAGUUGAAAAUUGCAGGGGCACCAGUCUUUGCAUUUGCGAACUUCUUCUUCUUCGUCUCCUUAUUCCUCUCUUAGUUUUCUCUGAAACCCUAGGUUUUCAAAUAGGUAACAGUCCUCUGCCCGAAAUUGUUUAAUAAUUGUUCAAAUCGUAUAUUGAUUUUUGGGUGAGGUUGGUUGAGAGUGUGAGAUUAGUUCUUUGCUAAAAAAAAUGGGGAAGUCUGAGUACCCAGGCUUUGUAAAAUAGAAGUGAAUUUUUGUGUUUCUUAUGUGAUCGAUGAAAGGCCCGAGUGAGAUUUUUGGCCAAAUCAUUGAUAUGUUUGAAAAUUGCUUGUACUCUCUUAAGUUAGCCUUUGGUCAAAAUAUUUGGGGAUGGGGACUGUGUUCUGUGAAAAAUCUUGGCUGGGGACGAUGGGCUCGCAAUUGCGAUGGCCUCUUCGCAUUUGCGGUUUCGCAUUUGCGAAGAGGUGGUGGCAAUUGCGAAACCUGGCAGCCCUGACCAUAUUCACAAAUGCGAAGAUUCUCUCGCAAUUGCGAGAACUGCCUGAGUCUGAUACCUUCGCAAUGCGAAGACUUUUUCACAAUUCCUAUGACUGGCAGUCCUGAUAACUGCAUAAUUGCAAAGAAAAUGUGGCAUUUGCGACAUCAGAGAGCAGUCAUCUGAAAAUCUCAAAAUCCUGAAAUUUUUUCUAAGAGUGGGUUUCGACUGUUUGAUCAUUCCUUUGGCAUAUUUGACUCAUUUUGCAAUAUUCUUCAUAGCCAUACCAUGUUUUCACUCCUAUCAUUUGUUGACAAGUACCAUAACUGAAAAUGAGCUCUAACUCUGAAGGAUCCACAAAUGACAACCCAUUGGAAGCUGAGCCGAAUUAUGACUAACACUGGUUCUCGUCAUUGGAGUGCCAAGAACGGUACUUUGCUAAACUGAUCUAGAAAAAUUUGCUCCCAGAGAGUGGUAUAUUGCUGGACAACAUCCUGGAAUGCCUUCUCGAGGUUUACCAACGGAUGGUAGACAUAGGAUGGGACUAUUUUUUCCCUCAACCUUGCCGAGCCAAUGAGUAAUGGGUGAGGGAGUUCUAUGCAAAUCUUCCAGCUAUCAGGUUAAGGAAGCCAAAGAUGAGAAUUUGCGGCAAAAUGGUACACUUUGGAGCUGAAGUUGUGAAUAGAGUGUAUCACCUGUCAGACCAAGACAUAACCUCAUUCCAUGCAAAAGAAUGUGCCUCAAGGGAGUGGUUGGUGUCUAAAUUAUGCCCGGGUGUGGAUAUUCCAUUGGCAGCUGAGAAGAGAGGGAUCACAUCCAAGGAGUUCACUACUGAAGCAAAGAUAUGGCUGGUCAUCAUAUGCAAUCGUAUCUCCCCUGUGUCAAAUAUAUGGAAUGUAUCGGCCACAAAAGCUCAAAUUAUAAUGAUAGCAUGCAUCCUUAAUGGUAUUCAACUAAAUGUUGGUGAAAUCUUCAUCAAUGAACUGAAGGAAUAUCGGAUCCAGAAUAGUACAUCAUUGAUAUUCCCAUCACUUAUCACUGAGCUGUGCCAACUUGCUGGGGUGGAAGAAGCUCCGGGAGACAACUGGAUAGAGCUCGGGAAGCCUCUAAAUCCAUUGAAGAAAAGAGGAGAGGGCGGCGCUGUGAAGACCAAAAAGAGAAAGAUGGGGUCUUCUUCUCAGAUUGAUCAGAGUAGCCAGCCAUCAUCUUCUGCAGGAGGACCAUUUGUUGUGCUUACUGAGGAAAUGCGGCUAAUUCGCGACCUAGUAGCUGGCCUUCCACAGGGACCUGGAAAAACAUCUGAGGGACCCGCUGCAUACAUUUCAAAGAAAGAUUUUCAAAAGUGUCUUGAUGAUCAGAGGAAGCAGGGGGAUCACCUUAAGACACUGGAGAAGGCAUACACUAAUCUGGCCAACGUGCAUGGUAAGUUGAGAAGUUCUAAUAACACUCUGGCAAAGGCACACACCAAGAUGAAGAAAAGGGAGAAGAAAAGAGACAAAUUGUUUACCCACAUGCAGAAGGGUGUGAAGGGGCAGCGAAAAGUCCUAAAGCCUCAAGUCCCAAUGCCAUCGACCAGGCCGGUAGAUGAUGAUGAUGCUCCAGUUGAUUGGUCCGAGGAAGAAGUAGAGGAGGAUCCCUCUGAGUCGGACAGCGAGGAGAGCACCUGAUGCAAUAUUCAGGGAGCACUUUCCACCAUUUACUCUAUUAUGUUUAGUUGCAUUAGGUACAUUGCAAUAUCUUUAGUUGGGGGUGUCUUCUUGUAUAACUGUUGUUCUUGUUUAAAUGUGGAUAAAUGUGGAUAUGGUAGAUUGGUACAUUGGUUGUUUCUAUUUUGAUGUUAUUGAUGUGUUAUAGUAGUAUGUUUACUAGCUUCUUGUUUAAAUGUGGAUAACUGUAGAUAUGGCAGAUUGGUACCUUGGUUGUUUUCAUUUUGAUGUUAUUGAUGUGUUAUAUUAGUAUGUUUACUAGCUUCUUGAAUUCUUGUUUUUAUAUAUAGUAUGUUUUAGUUACUUGAUGUUUACUAGCUUCUUGAAUUCUUGUUUUUAUAUAUAGUAUGUUUUAGUUACUUGAUGUUUAUUAGCUUCUUAAUUUUUUUUAUUAGCUUCUUAAUUUUUUUUAUAUAGUAUAUUUUAUUUUAGUGGCAAUAUCCUUGGUUUUCUUUGUACCACGAUUCUUUUUCCAAGGACGCCAAUUUCUUUCUUGAACCGGGUAAUUGUUAGUAAAUUUUUGUCGACUUUUCCCGAUGAUGGAUAGCUAGACAACUUUCUUAAGGGAAUUAGUCUUGUAGUUAGAUAUAGUUUUUGUUAAUUUAAGAAGAAUAAGUGGUUUGAGUGGGGUAUGGGGCAAAGUUGUGGUUUGAUUGGUACCAACACAAUUUAAACCUUGGUAUAUGAAUUUUUGAUCCUUGAAAAAGAAAAAUAAUUCAAGUAAAAAACAAAUCAUUGUCAUGAUUUUUAGACUCAAUUUUUGGCUCUUUGAUUCACUAAAUAUCUUUUUAGGCUACACGAAAUUUCCUUGAGAUUCAUUGGUUUGAAUUGGAUUUUGGAUGUAUUCCACUUGAGUUUUCAUGUGCCAUGUGUGGUGAGGCUUAUUGUGAAGUUCUUUUGCAUCAUUUGUAGUCUAGAACUUGCUCGGUUGGUUUUUCAAUGCUAAUGUUAAUUGUGCUUGGUUGGAGGGAUGACCUUAAACUUUCUUUGUAAUCUUUGAAAAAAAAACCUUUUUAGCCUUUCGAGCCUACCAUUGCAUAAAUAUAAUUACUAGUUUCCCCCAUUUGAGCCUUUAACAUUUUCUUUGGCCACCUCAUUACAAAUAUUUACCCUUUUGUGAAAUAAUUCCCUCUUUUGCACCCGUCUCCUUGAAUAUUGAGAAUGAGACUAAAAGCCUAAGCUUGGGGUGUUGGUAUCAAAGUGGAAAAUCGGUAAGGUCGUACAUUGAGUGAAGAAACAUAUACCUCAAAGUGACCUUAUGAAACUACUCAAGCUCCAAAAGAAAAUAGUUAUACAAAAAAUAUUAUGUAGAUAUAUAAAUAUGGAGUCUUGAGAAAAUAAGAGAGGUGUUUUAAGGUGGCUCUAUUUGAUAACUAGAUGUCAAUAAGGGCUAUGUGGUUUUAAAAAAAAGAAGUAAAGUGCAAAAGGAAAGAUAAAUAUGAGUAGUGUUCAAGGAGGGUGUAUUCACUUGUAUCCUAAAUGCUCCAAUCCUUCCCUAAACCUACAUUACAAGCUCAAAAGGUCCUUAUGGGACCUCCAACCAAAUGUUCUUGAAGAGGCGGAGAAUUAAAAUAAGGGCAAGGAUAUAGUACUACUUUUAUGCAUUUGAAUAUCUUUGUGAGAGUGAGAGCUUAUCCUUUCCGCGUGAUAUCCCAUUUAUGCUUUGAAUUGCAAAUUAUGAGUGUGAGAUUCUCUCUAAAGUGUGAGGGCACAUGAGAUUUGAGUUGUGAAUUUAAUCCCAUUUUCAAUUGAGAGGAAUGAACGAGGGAAGAUAAUUGUGAUAGAGAGGCAAAUUUUGAAGCUUUAGUAUCAUGACUUGAUUUGCUACUUUGAUUUGCAUAUUGUUUGAGCACUUGAAAUGUAAUGAAGUUCAUGAGAAGUGUUCGAUAACUCAUAUGCUUUGGAUUAAUUGUUGGUACCAAUCAAAGUCAUGUGUUUGUGAUUAUAGUAGACCUUUUCGGCUUGGCAUGAUAAGGAUGCAAUGUUGAGUUAAAUACUUGGGAGGAGAUUUUGUCGCUUUCAUUGCUUGAGGAAAAGCAAUAGUUUAAGUUUGGGGGUUUGAUAAGUUGGUAUUUUACCAACUUAUCUUGUCUUUAGGCCUACAUUUUUGCUAUGUUUGAGUGAUAAAAUCAUGUGUUUAAUGUCAUUUACUUCUAUAUUACAGGUUUUAUGUGAUUUAGAAGUGAUCUUGAAGAAACCAAGUGAAACGAGUCAAAAAGAAGCUGAAACGAAGAAAAUCUGGAAAAUGCCUUCAGUUGUCACAAAUGUGACACAAUCUUGGGAAAUGUGAAUCAAGCAGUCAUGGGAAUUGUGAGUAUUGCAUCGCAAUUGCGAAGAAUGACUAUACAAGUUGUGCUCUCAAAUCCGAAGAAUACUUCGCAAAUGCGAAGUCGACCAGGCAGUCAACCUUCGCAAAUGUGAAGUACCGAUCGCAAAUGCGAAGAUAAACAGUGUAGUCAUAGUUUGCAAUUGCAAACUUUUGUUCGCAAAUACGAAAAUUGUGCUUCAGCUCUAGGCAAUUCUGUAAUUUCAUAUUUUUUGGCCCCAAACCAUUUAAUACCCGACUUAUCUCAUUUUUAAAACAUCAUUUGGCUUAUUUUCAGUCUUAGGCCUAGAGAGAACAAGGUUGGAAGGUAGGGUUUAUGCACGUACACUUGGGUUUUGAGGAUUUGAAGAUUGUGGUUAUGUCAUGACCCGGAUUUCCCACCCUCGGGAAUCGUGAUGGCGCCUACUAAUAUGAGCUAGGCAAGCCAAUUAUGUGAACAAUUUACCUUUUUUUUUACUCAUUUUAUAUUCAUUAACAAUUGCGAAGUAAUAACAUUUAAACAACGGAAUUUAACAUAAGCGGAAUAAAAAGCAAUAAGCUAGCUGAACAUGAAUCCAAUACAACUGUUUGAGUCUCGACUACCCAGAACUAGUAUCACGGUUUCAUAGACAGUCUAAGAAUACUACAAUUAAAGGUCUGAAAGAAAUAAAUACAAUACUGUCUCCGAAAAUACAUGAAAGAAACAGGAAUAGUAGAUAGAAGGAGAUGCCAAGGCCUGUGGACGACUGCAAGACUACCUCGGGUCACUUGAUGAGCAAGAAUUCUUAAUCCCACUGCAGUCCGAAGUCUAAAACAUUGGGGUCUGCACNNNNNNNNNNNNNNNNNNNNNNNNNNNNNNNNNNNNNNNNNNNNNNNNNNNNNNNNNNNNNNNNNNNNNNNNNNNNNNNNNNNNNGACUGGUAAGUGUCUAGCCCUAACCUCAGCGAAGUAGUGACGAGGCUAGGACCAAACUACCAAAUAAACAUGUGCAAUUUAACUAUAUACAGCGGAAAAGAAGUACAGAAAGAAACAAUCAUAUACAGUCAAGUAUAGGAGGGGGAAAACAUGCUACGGGGAAACAUCGAGUAGUAACAGAAGAGCAACAAAUAAAUUAGAGGAUCACCAUAGUUCAAUUGAAAAUAGAAAGGGGAAAUCAUGCUGCGGGGUACAACAAGUAUCGAUCGGAAACCAGCAAUUUAGUAUAGAGAAAUCGUAACACAGUUAUCAAUAAAACUUAAGAAAUCAAAGACAAGUGCAUGGCAUCACCCUUCGUGCUUUUACUCUCUCUCACCAAACAAUACACGGCAUCACUCUUCGUGCUUUAACACUCUCUUACCAAAACAAUACACGGCAUCACCCUUCGUGAUUUACGCUCUUCCUCACCCAAACAACAAUCACAAGGCAAAUAGGGUAAGGGAAUCUAUAAUCUCGAAAUAAAAUCAAGCAACAACAGAAAAUCAGUAAAUAAACGUAAAGGACAACAUAACUCAAUUAUCAGUAAGAAUCAGGGAAAUCAAGGACAAGUGCAUGACAUCACCCUUCGUGCUUUUAAUCUCGCCCUCACCAUAAGAAUAAAUACAAUCGGCAAGGAAUGGUACAUCGUGUGACACGGUAUCACCCUUCAUGCUUUACACUCUUUCCUCACCAUGAAAUCAAUAUAAUAGGCAUGGAAAGGUACAUCGUGUGGCAGGGCAUCACCCUUUGUGCUUUAACUCUCUUCCUCACGCAAACAACAAUCACAAACAAAUGGGCAAGGGAAUAAGCAAAAUACUAAUAGAGAUCCCGGCAAGGGAACAACAAUUAAACAAUUAAAUCCCAGCAUGGGAACAACAUCAAUAAUCUCAACAUCCCGGCAAGGGAGAUAAUCAACAAAGCAACAAUAUCCCGGCAAUGGGACAAUUUAUUAACUCUUUCUCUUUAUUUCACUAUUCUUUCAUAACUCACUUUACCACUUGAGCCAAUGCUCCAAAGGGUUCAAUCAUCUCAUAUACUUUCACAAUUCAUAAUAUAACUUGAGUCAAUGCUCCUCAAUGUUCAAAGGUUACAAUUCCUUCCACAAAAUUUCCACAACAAUUAGAAAUCAUCACCAAGGCAUGAAAGAUACAAUGAAAUCAAGAUCUUCAAAAUUUCAAGACUCACGGUCAUACUAGACACAACGUAUAGAUACUCGUCACCAUGCCUAUACGUCGUACUCAACAAUUAUCAUGUAGCAAAUAAGACUCAACUCAUAAUCCCUCAAGCUAAGGUUAGACCAAACACUUACCUCGAUGCCACGAACACAAUUCAUGAUUCAAUUAUAGCUUUACCCUUGAUUUCACCGCCAAUUUGCUUGUAUCUGGUCACAAUUUACUUAAUUACAUCAAUAAACGCUAAAUGAAUCAAUUUGAAUGCAUGAAAAUGAGUUUUCCAAAGUUUUACCCAAAAAGUCAAAAUCGCCCCUGGGCCCACGUGGUCAAAACCCGAGGUUUAAACCAAAACCCGAUUACCCAUUCCCCCACGAGCUCAAAUAUGUAAUUUGUUUUGAAAUCGGACCUCAAAUCGAGGUCCAAAUCCCUAAUUUUUGAAAAACCCUAGGUUCUACCCAAAACACCCAAUUUCUCCCAUGAAAAUCAUUGAUUUGAAGUUGAAAUCAUGUUAAAAGAUGUUAAUGAUUGAAUAAAACUAGUUAAAAACGACUUACAAUUGAUUUUGAGAAGAAAGGUUGUUUGAAAAAUAGCCUCUUAUGUUUUUUUUGGGUUUUGAAAAAUGCAAAAUGACUGAAAAUACCGUCUAUUUAUACCCCUCUCAGACCCCCUAUGCGGGCCACACAAAAUGGACUGCGGCCGUACAGGCCUUCCUGAAGGUACUGCGGUCCAGUGCCCUGUGCGGACCGUACGAAAUGGACUGCGGCCGCACAGGCCUUCACCGCGCACCGCACAAAGCCGACCACUGACCGCACUGGCCCCCUUCCGCGGUCGCACACAUUUUCGUGCGGACCGCACUGGCGGGUUCAGAGAUCUGCAAAUUUCUCUAAACCUGCAACAACUGUGUUUUUAGGCCUAAGGCAUCUCAGAACCUACCCGAAACUCACCCGAGCCCUCGGCGCUCCAAACCAAAUAUACACAAAAUCCUCAAAAACAUCGUAUGGACCUACUCGUGCGGUAACAUCAUAAAAAUAACAUGUAAAAUCAUGAAUUAAACCUCGAAACUCAACAUAUUCAUCAAGAACUCUCAUCGUUCAUAACUCUCCAACCGGAAGUCCAACUCACAUCAAAUAAACUCCGUUUUUCACCAAAUUUCACAGUUAUCUUUCAAAUACUAUAACAAGUUGGUACCGGGCUCCGAAACCAAAAUACGAGCCCUAUAACAAUGGUUUCAAACAUUAAUUCUUUUCUUUAUUCCUUAGAUAAUUCAGUAAAACAAUUUCUUUCAAAAAUUGAUUUCUAAGGCUUGGGACCUCGGAAUACAUUUCCGAGCAUACGCCCAAGUCCCAUACUUUCCUACGGAUCCUCUAGGACGGUCAAAUCACGGGUCUGGGUCCGUUUAUCCAAAACGUUGACCGAAGUCAAAUUUAUUCAUUUUACAGUCAAAACUUAUCAUUUUUCACAGAUUUUCACAUUUAAGCUUUCUGGCUAUGCGCCCGGACUGCGCACGCNNNNNNNNNNNNNNNNNNNNNNNNNNNNNNNNNNNNNNNNNNNNNNNNNNNNNNNNNNNNNNNNNNNNNNNNNNNNNNNNNNNNNNNNNNNNNNNNNNNNNNNNNNNNNNNNNNNNNNNNNNNNNNNNNNNNNNNNNNNNNNNNNNNNNNNNNNNNNNNNNNNNNNNNNNNNNNNNNNNNNNNNNNNNNNNNNNNNNNNNNNNNNNNNNNNNNNNNNNNNNNNNNNNNNNNNNNNNNNNNNNNNNNNNNNNNNNNNNNNNNNNNNNNNNNNNNNNNNNNNNNNNNNNNNNNNNNNNNNNNNNNNNNNNNNNNNNNNNNNNNNNNNNNNNNNNNNNNNNNNNNNNNNNNNNNNNNNNNNNNNNNNNNNNNNNNNNNNNNNNNNNNNNNNNNNNNNNNNNNNNNNNNNNNNNNNNNNNNNNNNNNNNNNNNNNNNNNNNNNNNNNNNNNNNNNNNNNNNNNNNNNNNNNNNNNNNNNNNNNNNNNNNNNNNNNNNNNNNNNNNNNNNNNNNNNNNNNNNNNNNNNNNNNNNNNNNNNNNNNNNNNNNNNNNNNNNNNNNNNNNNNNNNNNNNNNNNNNNNNNNNNNNNNNNNNNNNNNNNNNNNNNNNNNNNNNNNNNNNNNNNNNNNNNNNNNNNNNNNNNNNNNNNNNNNNNNNNNNNNNNNNNNNNNNNNNNNNNNNNNNNNNNNNNNNNNNNNNNNNNNNNNNNNNNNNNNNNNNNNNNNNNNNNNNNNNNNNNNNNNNNNNNNNNNNNNNNNNNNNNNNNNNNNNNNNNNNNNNNNNNNNNNNNNNNNNNNNNNNNNNNNNNNNNNNNNNNNNNNNNNNNNNNNNNNNNNNNNNNNNNNNNNNNNNNNNNNNNNNNNNNNNNNNNNNNNNNNNNNNNNNNNNNNNNNNNNNNNNNNNNNNNNNNNNNNNNNNNNNNNNNNNNNNNNNNNNNNNNNNNNNNNNNNNNNNNNNNNNNNNNNNNNNNNNNNNNNNNNNNNNNNNNNNNNNNNNNNNNNNNNNNNNNNNAUUCAUUUUACAGUCAAAACUUAUCAUUUUUCACAGAUUUUCACAUUUAAGCUUUCUGGCUAUGCGCCCGGACUGCGCACGCAAAUUGAGGUGGUGCUAAGGGAGGUUUUUAAGGCCUGAAAUGUAGAAUUUUAUUGCAACACAAGUGAUGACCUUUUGUGUCAUCACAUUCUCCAUCUCUAAAACAAUCAUUCGUUCUCGAACGGACAGAAGAAGGAAAUACCUGAGUCAGGGAAAAGAUCGGGAUAAUGGCUCAUCGGACUCGGACUCCCAGGUCGAUACCUCAGGAGGCUGACCUCUCCACUAAACAUGAACAGAAGGAAAACUCUUUGAUCUCAGCUGACAAACCUGUCGGUCUAGAAUAGCCACCGGCUCCUCCUCAUAAGAUAAGUCCUCGUCCAACUGGACAGUACUAAAAUCUAACACGUGGGAUGGAUCACUGUGAUACUUCUGAAGCAUGGACACAUGAAAUACUGGAUGCACGGCUGAUAAGCUCGGCGGCAACGCAAGUCUAUAAUCCACCUCUCCCACUCGAUCAAGAAUCUCAAACGGGCCAAUGAACCUAGGGAUAAGCUUGCCCUUCUUCCCAAAUUUCAUCAUGCCCUUCAUAGGCGACACUAACACCCGCUCACCGACCAUGAAUGCCAAAUCUCGAACCUUGCGGUCAGCAUAACUCUUUUUCCUGGAUUAAGCUGUACGAAGCCUAUCUUGAAUAAUCCUGACCUUGUUCAAGGCAUCCUGCACCAGCUCUGUACCCAACAAUCGAGCCUCUCUCGGCUCAAACCAUCCAACCGAAGACCGACACCGCCUACCAUAUAAAGCCUCAUAAGGAGCCAUCUAGAUACUCGACUAGUAGCUGUUAUUGUAGGCAAACUUUGCUAAAGGCAAAAACUGAUCCCACGAGCCUCCAAAGUCAAUAACACAAGCUCGGAGAAUAUCCUCAAGAAUCUGAAUAGUCCGCUCAGACUGCCCGUCCAUCUGAGGAUGAAAUAUUGUGCUCAACUCAACCUAAGUGCCCAACUCUCGCUGAACUGCUCUCCAGAAAUGCGAGGUAAACUGCGUACCUCAGUCCAAAAUGAUAGAUACAGGCACACUAUGAAGACGACCAAUCUCCUGGAUAUAGAUCUCAGCUAACCUCUCGGAUGAAUAGGAGACCGCCACAGGAAUGAAAUGCACUGACUUGGUCAGCCUAUCAACAAUGACUCAUACUGCGUCGAACUUCCUCCGAGUCUAUGGAGUCCAAUAAUGAAAUCCAUAGUGAUCCGCUCCCACUUCCACUCGGGAAGCUCAAUCCUCUGAAAUAAACCACCAGGCCUCUGAUGCUCGUACUUAACCUGCUGAAAAUUCAAACACCGAGAUACAUAUGCAAUGAUAUCCUUCUUCAUUCUCCGCCACCAAUAAUGUUGCCGCAAAUCCUGAUACAUCUUCACGGUGCCCGGAUGAAUAGAGUACUGGGACCUAUGGGCCUCCUCUAAAAUCAACUCUUGGAUCCCAUCCACAUUAGGCACACAAACUCGGCCCUGCAAUCUUGAAACUCCAUCAUCAUCUAAGGUAACCUGCUUGGCACCUCCGCGUUGCACCGUGUCUCAAAAGACACACAAAUGGGGAUCAUCAUACUGCCGAUCACGAAUACGCUCCAAUAAAGAAGAACGAGUGACCGUGCAGGCCAAUACACGACUAGGCUCAGAAAUAUCCAACCUCACAAACUGAUUGGCCAAAGCCUGAACGUCUAAAGCAAGCGGUCUCUCACCAACCGGAAUAUAAGCAAGACUGCCCAUACUGGUUGACUUCCUACUCAAUGCAUAGGCCACCACAUUGGCCUUUCCCGGAUGAUACAAGAUAGUGAUAUCAUAAUCUUUCAACAACUCCAACCACCUCCUUUGUCUUAAAUUCAACUCCUUUUGCUUUAACAAAUACUGAAGACUCUUGUGAUCCGUGAACACCUCACAUGCCACGCCAUAUAGAUAAUGCCUCCAAAUCUUCAAUGCGUGCACAAUGGCUGCCAACUCCAAGUCAUGAAUCGGAUAGUUCUUCUCAUGAAUCUUCAACUUCCGCGAAGCAUAGGAAAUGACCUUGCCAUCCUGCAUCAACACUGUACCAAGCCCAAUACGAGAUGCAUCACAAUAAACUGUAUAAGGUCCUGAACCUGUGGGCAAAACCAACACCGGUAUCGUAGUCAGAGCUGUCUUGAGCUUUUGAAAGCUUGCCUCACACUCGUCCGACCAUCUGAACUGGGCCCCCUUCUAGGUCAACCUGGUCAUCGGGGUUGCGAUAGAUGAGAACCCAUCCACGAACCGAUCAUAGUAGCCUGCCAAUUCUAAGAAACUCCGAAUCUCUAUAGCUGAUGCUGGUCUAGGCCAGUUCUUGACUGCCUCAAUCUUCUUUGGAUCAACCCGAAUACCCUCUGCUGAUACAACAUGACCCAGAAAUGCAACUGAACUCAACCAGAACUCACACUUCGAGAACUUAGCAUAUAACUAACUAUCCCUCAAGGUGUGAAGAACCACUCUAAGAUGCUGCUCAUGCUCCUUCUGGCUACGAGAAUAUAUCAAAAUAUCAUCAAUGAAGACUAUCAUGAACGAGUCCAAAUAAGGCCUGAACACUCGGUUCAUCAAAUCCAUAAAAGCUGCUGGGGCAUUUGUCAACCCGAAUGACAUCACCAAGAACUCAUAAUGCUCGUACCGAGUGCAAAAAGCCAUCUUAGGGACAUCGGAUGCCCUAAUCCUCAACUGAUGGUAGCCAUAUCUCAAGUCAAUCUUCGAAAAUACCUUGGCACCUUGAAGCUGAUCAAACAAAUCAUCAAUACUCGGCAAUGGAUACUUAUUCUUGAUUGUAACCUUGUUCAACUGCCGGUAAUCAAUACACAUUCUCAUCGAUUCGCCCUUCUUCUUAACAAACAACACCGGCGCACCCCAAGGCGAAACACUCGGCCUAAGGAAACCCUUCUCAAGCAAGUCUUGCAACUAUUCCUUCAACUCUUUCAACUCCGGCAGGGCCAUACGAUACGGCGGAAUAGAAAUGGGCUGAGUGCCCGGAGCCAAAUCAAUGCAAAAGUCAAUAUCCUUGUCGGGUGGCAUACCCGGAAGGUCUGAAGGAAAAACCUCAGGGAACUCAGGAACAACGGGCACAGAAUCAAUAGAAGGAACCUUAGCACUAGAAUCACGUACAUAUGCCAAAUAAGCCAAACACCCCUUCUCGAACAUACGUUGGGCCUUCACAUAAGAGAUAACACUACGGGUAUAAUGCCUAGGAGUCCAUCUCCACUCUAAACGAGGCAAACCCGGUAAAGCUAAGGUCACAAUCUUGGAAUGACAGUCCAAGAUCAUGUGGUAAGGUGAUAACCAGUCCAUCCUUAAUAUAUCAUCGAAAUUGACCAUGUCCAGAAGCGACAAAUCUACACGAGUCUCAAGACCCCCAAUCACAACUAUACAAGAGCGAUAGACUCGAACUACCACAAUAGAAUCACUCACUGGUGUAGACACAUAAACAGGAGCACUCAAUGAAUCACUAGGUAUGACCAGAUACGGUGCAAAAUAAAAUUGAAGCUUCCCUACCACAAACUAGAACAGUACCUGCACCUCCACCUCUAAUACCUUUACCUCCACCUCUAGCAUCACUACCUCCACCUCUAAUACCUCUACCUCCACCUCUAAUACCUCUACCUCCACCUCCACCUAACUGAGCGGGCUGGAUGAGUCCCUCAAUGAACCUCUUCACUCUCUCUCACAGUAGGAAGUAUGAUAAGAUCAUGAUGGGCCAAAUCAAUAAAUCUGAUCUCGUACUGAAUAACAGUCAUAGAACCCUAUUGGAGACGCUCAAAUUGCCUCUGAUAGACCUCUCUCUGAGUGAUGUGGAGAAACUCAUCGAGAAAUAGCUGAGUAAACGGCUACCAAGUCAAAGCUGGCAAUCCGGCUGGUCUAGCCAAAUAGUAAUCCCUCCACCAAGUCUUGGCGAAUCACGAUGAGCAAAAAGUAGCAAAAUCGACCCCAUUGGUCUCCACGAUCCCCAUGUUCCUGAUAUCCUCAUGAUAGCGGCCUAGAUAAUCCUGGGGAUCCUCAGAAUAUGCACCGCUGAAAGUAGUGGUGAAGAGCUUGGUGAAACUUAUCCAACCUUCACAAAUCCUCCGAAGACGUAGCUGAUCUAUCACUGGUCUGUGUUGCUGCUCGGCUGAAGAAGCGGUACAUGACCUCACCAUUCACGAAAGGACAAAAGUAGGGGUUUCAAUUUAACACUAAGAGAACAAAAUUGCACGACAAGAAAGAAUGAAUAUGAAGUUUUUCCUAACUCUGUAGCCUCUGGAAUAAAUACAGACGUCUCUAUACCGAUCCCUCAAACUCUACUAAGUUUGUCUGUGAACUGUGAGACCCAUGUAACCUAGAGCUCUGAUACCAACUUGUCACGACCCGGAUUUCCCACCCUCGGGAGUCGUGAUGACGCCUACUAAUGUGAGCUAGGNNNNNNNNNNNNNNNNNNNNNNNNNNNNNNNNNNNNNNNNNNNNNNNNNNNNNNNNNNNNNNNNNNNNNNNNNNNNNNNNNNNNNNNNNNNNNNNNNNNNNNNNNNNNNNNNNNNNNNNNNNNNNNNNNNNNNNNNNNNNNNNNNNNNNNNNNNNNNNNNNNNNNNNNNNNNNNNNNNNNNNNNNNNNNNNNNNNNNNNNNNNNNNNNNNNNNNNNNNNNNNNNNNNNNNNNNNNNNNNNNNNNNNNNNNNNNNNNNNNNNNNNNNNNNNNNNNNNNNNNNNNNNNNNNNNNNNNNNNNNNNNNNNNNNNNNNNNNNNNNNNNNNNNNNNNNNNNNNNNNNNNNNNNNNNNNNNNNNNNNNNNNNNNNNNNNNNNNNNNNNAAAAAGCAAUAAGCUAGCUGAACAUUAAUCCAAUACAACUGUUUGAGUCUCGACUACCCAGAAUUGGUGUCACAGUUUCACAGACGGUCUAAGAAUACUACAAUUAAAGGUCUAAAAUAAAUAAAUACAACACUGUCUCUGGAAAUACAUGAAAGAAAUAGGAAUAGUAGAUAGAAGGAGAUGCCAAGGCCUGCAGGACUACCUCGGGUCGCCUGAUGAGAAAGAAUUAGCAAUCCCACUACGGUCCGAAGUCUACAACAUGGGGGUCUGCACAAAAGAGUGCAGAGUGUAGUAUCAGCACAACCGACUCCAUGUGUUGGUAAGUGUCUAGCCUAACCUCGGCGAAGUAGUGACGAGGCUAGGACCAGAAUACCAAAUAAACCUGUGCAAUUUAACUAUAUACAGCGAAAAAGAAGUACAAAAAGAAACAGUCAUAUAAAGUCAAGUAUGGGAGGGGGGAAAACAUGCUACAGGUACACAUCGAGUAGUAACAGAAGAGCAAUAAAUAAAUAUGAGGAUCACUACAGUUCAAUUGAAAAUAAGAAGGGGAAAUCAUGUUGCGGGGUACAACAAGUAUCAAUAGGAAACCAACAAUUUAGUGUAGAGAAAUCGUAACACGGUUAUCAAUAAAAAUUAAGAAAUCAAAGACAAGUGCAUGGCAUCACCCUUCGUGUUUUUACUCUCUCUCACCAAAAUAAUACACGGCAUCACUCUUCGUGCUUUAACACUCUCUCACCAAAACAAUACACGGCAUCACCUUUCGUACUUUACGCUCUUCCUUACCCAAAGAACAACCACAAGGAAAAUAGGGUAAGGGAAUCUAUAAUCUCGAAAUAAAAUGAAGCAACAACAGAAAAUCAGUAAAUAAGCGUAAAGGACAACAUAACUCAAUUAUCAGCAAGAAUCAGGGAAAUCAAGGACAAGUGCACGGCAUCACCCUUCGUGCUUUUACUCUCGCCUCACCAUAAGAAUAAAUAUUAUAUGCACGGAAUGGUACAUCGUGCGGCACGGCAUCACCCUUCAUACUUUACACUCUUUCCUCACCAUGAAAUCAAUAUAAUAGGCACGGAAUGGUACAUUGUGCGGCACGGCAUCACCCUUCGUGCUUUACACUCUUUCCUCGCAAAACAAACAAUGCACGACAUCACCUUUCGUGCUUUAACUCUCUUCCUCACCCAAACAACAAUCACAAAUAAAGGGGCAAGGGAAUAAACAAAAUAGUAAUAGAGAUCCCGUCAAGGGAACAACAGUUAAACAAUUAAAUCCCGAUAAGGGAACAACAUCAAUAAUCUCAAUAUCCCGGCAAGGGAGAUAAUCAACAAAGCAACAAUAUCCCGGCAAGGGGACAAUUUAUUAACUCUUUCUCUUUCUUUCACUUUUAUUUCAUAACUCACUUUACCACUUGAGCCAAUGCUNNNNNNNNNNNNNNNNNNNNNNNNNNNNNNNNNNNNNNNNNNNNNNNNNNNNNNNNNNNNNNNNNNNNNNNNNNNNNNNNNNNNNNNNNNNNNNNNNNNNNNNNNNNNNNNNNNNNNNNNNNNNNNNNNNNNNNNNNNNNNNNNNNNNNNNNNNNNNNNNNNNNNNNNNNNNNNNNNNNNNNNNNNNNNNNNNNNNNNNNNNNNNNNNNNNNNNNNNNNNNNNNNNNNNNNNNNNNNNNNNNNNNNNNNNNNNNNNNNNNNNNNNNNNNNNNNNNNNNNNNNNNNNNNNNNNNNNNNNNNNNNNNNNNNNNNNNNNNNNNNNNNNNNNNNNNNNNNNNNNNNNNNNNNNNNNNNNNNNNNNNNNNNNNNNNNNNNNNNNNNNNNNNNNNNNNNNNNNNNNNNNNNNNNNNNNNNNNNNNNNNNNNNNNNNNNNNNNNNNNNNNNNNNNNNNNNNNNNNNNNNNNNNNNNNNNNNNNNNNNNNNNNNNNNNNNNNNNNNNNNNNNNNNNNNNNNNNNNNNNNNNNNNNNNNNNNNNNNNNNNNNNNNNNNNNNNNNNNNNNNNNNNNNNNNNNNNNNNNNNNNNNNNNNNNNNNNNNNNNNNNNNNNNNNNNNNNNNNNNNNNNNNNNNNNNNNNNNNNNNNNNNNNNNNNNNNNNNNNNNNNNNNNNNNNNNNNNNNNNNNNNNNNNNNNNNNNNNNNNNNNNNNNNNNNNNNNNNNNNNNNNNNNNNNNNNNNNNNNNNNNNNNNNNNNNNNNNNNNNNNNNNNNNNNNNNNNNNNNNNNNNNNNNNNNNNNNNNNNNNNNNNNNNNNNNNNNNNNNNNNNNNNNNNNNNNNNNNNNNNNNNNNNNNNNNNNNNNNNNNNNNNNNNNNNNNNNNNNNNNNNNNNNNNNNNNNNNNNNNNNNNNNNNNNNNNNNNNNNNNNNNNNNNNNNNNNNNNNNNNNNNNNNNNNNNNNNNNNNNNNNNNNNNNNNNNNNNNNNNNNNNNNNNNNNNNNNNNNNNNNNNNNNNNNNNNNNNNNNNNNNNNNNNNNNNNNNNNNNNNNNNNNNNNNNNNNNNNNNNNNNNNNNNNNNNNNNNNNNNNNNNNNNNNNNNNNNNNNNNNNNNNNNNNNNNNNNNNNNNNNNNNNNNNNNNNNNNNNNNNNNNNNNNNNNNNNNNNNNNNNNNNNNNNNNNNNNNNNNNNNNNNNNNNNNNNNNNNNNNNNNNNNNNNNNNNNNNNNNNNNNNNNNNNNNNNNNNNNNNNNNNNNNNNNNNNNNNNNNNNNNNNNNNNNNNNNNNNNNNNNNNNNNNNNNNNNNNGUUAAAAUGACUUACAAUUGGUUUGGAGAAGAAAGGUUGUUUGAAAAAUCGCCUCUUAUGUUUUUUUUUUUUGGGUUUUGAAAAAUGCACAAUGACUGAAAAUCCCAUCUAUUUAUAUCCCUCUCAAACCCCCUGUGCAGGCCGCACAAAAUGGACUGCGGCCGCACAGGCCUUCCUGAAGGUAAUGCGGUCCAGUGCCCUGUGCGGAUCGCACGAAAUGGACUGUGGCCGCAUAGGCCUUCACCGCACACCGCACAAAGCCGACUGCGGACUGCACUGGCCCCCUUCCGUGGUCGCACACAUUUUCGUGCGGACCGCACUGGCAGGUUCAUAGAUCUGCAAAUUUCUCUAAACCUGCAAUAAUUGUGGUUUUAGGCCUAAGGCAUCCCGAAACCUACCCAGAACUCACCCGAGCCCUCGGAGCUCCAAACCAAAUAUAUACAAAAUCCUCAAAAACAUCGUAUGGACCUACUCGUGCGAUCACAUCAUCAAAAUAACAUGUAUAAUCAUGAAUUAAACCUCGAAACUCAACAUAUUCAUCAAGAACUCUCAUCGUUAACUCUCCAACCGGAAGUCCAACUCACGCCAAAUAAACUCCGUUUUUCACCAAAUUUCACAGUUAUCUUUCAAAUACUAUAACAAGUUGGUACCGGGCUCCGGAACCAAAAUACGGGCCCAAUAACAAUGGUUUCAAACAUUAAUUCUUUUCUUUAUUCUUUAGAUAAUUCAGUAAAAUAAUUUCUUUCAAAAAUUGAUUUCUAAGGCUUGGGACUUAGGAAUUCAUUUCCGAGCAUACGCCCAAGUCCAUAUUUUCCUAUGGACCCUCGGGGACCGUCAAAUCACGGGUCCGGGUCCGUUUAUCUAAAACAUUGACCGAAGUCAAAUUUAUUCAUUUUACAGUCAAAACUUAUCAUUUUUCAUAGAUUUUCACAUUUAAGCUUUCCGGCUACGCGUCCAGACUGUGCACGCAAAUCGAUGUGGUGCUAAGGGAGGUUUUUAAGGUCUCAGAAUGUAGAAUUUCAUUGCAACACAAGUGAUGACCUUUUGUGUCAUCACAUGUUAAGAAUUUCUUACUCCUUUGUACUCAUUUCUUCAUUUCCUUGCUUUGUAUUGAAUAUCUAAACAUGUAGUAUUGUAUCUAACACUUGAAUCUUGUUUAUGAAAAUAAUCAUAUUUAAUGUGUGGAUUAAAUACCUUGUUGUGCUUAUGUAUUGAAUGAUUUUGUAUCUUUUAUGAAGUGAGUUAUUGUUACUUUAAUUAUUCUUGUUCGUUAAUGUUUUCAAAGGGAUUAUCUAACCCUAGGACUCGCCCAUUAACUCCGAAUUAAUUUUGGGAAAGAUUAUUUGGGUUUGGGAAAGAUUAAUUAACAAGAACUUGAGGCUUUAACCCUCAUUUUAUAGAUUCUACCUAGGGACAGGAUUGAACUACUUGUAGCCAUAUCUGGGUGUGAUUAAUCUCUUAAUUGUUUUAAGAAUAAUUCAAUUAGGAAGUCUUGUUCAUCUUUGGAAGAAGCUAAUAUAGAAUUAUUACUUGUGGCUAAUUAACAUAAACUCACUCAUGUUUGUGAAAUCGUGAAAUAUAUUGGAUCGUUACUUGAGUGUAAUUCCCGAUGCAUUCAUACUUGUAGCCAUUGAUCAUUUUACUUACUUUCUAGGUUAGUUUACAUUUCCGCAUUUAGGUAUAAAUAUUUUCUGAAAACAAUUCUAAGUGUUUGGCAUUGUAUAACAAGUGAUAAUUCUCUUACAUUCCUAAUCGCCUAUAUAUUGUUCUCUGUGGGAUUCGACCCCGACUCAUAGUUGGGAAUAUUAUAUUGCAUGAGACCGUGUUCAUUUACUUUUUAGUUGUGGAUUUCGACGUCAUCAGAAGUGCUUUCAAUAUUAUCGAUGUCCGUUUGGGAUUCCGAGUCUGAGAAUAGCUCCGUAUGGUGAUUCUAGUAUUGGGAGCACAUCUGGAAGUGGAUUUGGGGGUCCGUAGGUCAUUUUGGAAUCGUUUGGCGAAAGUUAGAAAUUUAAAGGUUUUUGAGAAGUUUGACCGGGAGUAGACUUUAUGAUAUCGGGGUCGGAUUCCAAUUCUGGAAGUUAGAGAAGGUCUGUAAUGUCGAAUGUGACUUGUGUGCAAAAUUUGAUGUCAAUCGGACGUGAUUUGAUAGGCUUUGACAUCGACUGUAGAAAUUGGAAAUUCUUAGUUUCAUUAGACUUGAAUUGGGGUGUGAUUCGUGUUUUUAAUGUUGUAUGAUGUGAUUUGAGGCCUCAACUAAGUCUAUGAUAUGUUUUGAAACUUUUUGGUGUGUUCGGACGAGGUCCCGAGGGACUCGGGUGAGUUUCGGGGUGGUUUUGGAUUAUUUCUAGGCCAUUUUUAGCUGCUUGUUUUUUGCUACAACAGUGUGCUAUGCGAUCGCGGGGAAUUGGUCGCGAUCGCGAUGAGUAAAUUGGGAGAAAUUAGCUGCUCUUGCACUGACCCAAAUUUGGAAGCUUGUAUCUUGCAAUCUAUAAGGAAUUUGGAGACGAUCCAAAAAUAAAAGCUGUAUCCCUUUGUGUCUAGUUUUCAUAAAAUAAAACCAUUUCCUAUUUGGAGUUAUGUACAAAAGGUUAUGAGUGGUACACUACAGCUUAUCCGGGAAGAGUUUGGAAAUCACGAAAGUUAUAAGAAACUGGGAGAUGAGCAAAUCAUUAAAGUUGUAGUCUUUGGAGUCUAGUUUUCAAAAAGUUAAACCAUUUGAAAUUUGGAGUUUUGUAAAAAAACAUUAUGACCAUUAUACUACAGACUGUUUGGAAGAGCUGAGCAUUUGUUCUUCGCGAUCGCGAAGCAUUUUCCGUGAUGGCGAAGGAAAAUUUUGGGUUGAUAAAUGUUGUGCUUCACAAUCGCGAAGCAUUUUCCGCAAUCGCGAAGAGUAAAUACCUGGGCAGAAGCUAUAUUUCGAGGUUUCAACCAUUUUUAACAUAUUUGGAGCUAUGGAGCUCGGAUUGAAGCGAAUUUUGAGGCGAUUUUCACCAUAUGAAUUGGGUUAGUGUUCUAUAUCCGAAAGUAAUUAUACUUCAUGAUUUUAUGGUUAUAUUCAUCAUUUAUUUCUGAUUUAAAAGAAAGAAAUCAAGAUUUUUUCAAACUUUUCAAGAACAAAAUUUUAAGAUUUGGAGGUCAAGUUGUUAUCGGAAUUUGAUAAAAUUGUUAUGGUUGAACUCGUAUCGGAAUGAAUUAUUGAAUUUUGUGAGUUUCAUCAGGUUCUGUGACUUGGGCCCCACUGCCAACUUUUCGAGCAGAGUUGAGAAUUUUUAUUAAUUGUUAAAUUUCAAGCAUUGGAGUAUAUUUUUAAUUAAUUUACACGUUGCUUGACUAGUUUCGGAUUGAUCGGCACCAAGUUGGGGCUUUAGAGCGAAAUUGUGAUAGGAAAGUGGGCUUUAAGACGAUGUAAGUCUCCUUUAUAACCUUGUAAGAGGGAAUUAACCCCAUAGGUGAACUAAAUUAUUAUGCGCUUCUAUUUGUAAGGGCUAUGUACGUACGAGGUGAUGAGAGUCCGUACGUAGCUACUAGCUAUGCCUAUGUCUGGGUAGAUUUAGCUUACAUCAUGCCUUGUUGAUAUUGUUAUUGAUUUAUGUUUAUUCUUUGUCUUGAGAGGGAGCGAGAUUGAGUUUGCUUAUUAAAUGUUUUUAAAGAAGUUGAACUUGAGGAAAAGUUGGGAUCUUAAAAGUUUUCAUUUGAACUUCGUAUUUUGAAAAGAAUGGAAGAAUACUAUAAUAAGUUAAGAAAUAUAUGUGAGACCGCGUCGGAAGAAUGAUCCGCAAGUGGGGUAAUUUCUUAAAUUUAUAUUUGGCUGCGCCGCAUGUAUGAUUCGCGAGCGAGGUAAUAGAUGCUUCUAUGGUUCGCGUCAUUCGACCCUCAGCUGUGCACAGUUUAUAUUUAUGUUGGAUCGGGCCGAAUGUCUGGAAUUCGUGUGAGAUAAUAGAAUUAGAAGUCCCUUUUAUAAUUGGUAUAAAUUCAAUGUUUGUAUGAUCGUAUGUUUUAAAGGAAUGAAGUGAUUUAGGCUCUUAAAUAUAGGGAAGACCUGUUCAGUUAUUUCUUGUUCCAAGUCUUAUUGUUGUAUAUCAUGUUUAACUAGAAUUUUAUAUUAUCAUAUUAUUGGACCACUAGUAAGUGUCGGAGUCAACCUCUCGUUAUUACUUCUUCGAGGUUAGACUAGAUACUUACUAAGUAUGCGUUGUUUUCGUACUCAUACUGCACUUGUUGUACAUUUUGUUGUAGAGGCACAUGUGUGUUCAGUGGCCUUAUGGGAACAGCGACACGGUUGAUACAGGGACUUAGGUGAGCUGCAUCUUAUAAGACGAUCCGCAGCCAGCAGAGUCUCCUUCAGAGUUCUUGUAUAUUCUUUUCUGUCCAAAUUUGUAUUCUGGACGGUUAUUAUAUUGUAGUUUAAAUUCCUACUACAUCCUCAUCCAUUUGUGACACCGGAUUCUGGGAUAAUUAUGGGAUAUUCAGUAUUAAGAUUUUAAAAUAUUAUUAAAUAUUAUUUAAAGUUUAUUUUUUUACUAGUUAAAUUGAAGGAAAUUUACAAUUGCGAUAAUAUUAAAAUGAGAAUUUAAUUAACUACUUAGUGUUUGCUUGCCUGACAGUGGUGUCCUGCGCCAUCACGGCCUUUAACGGAUUUUGGGUUGUGACAAAAUAUGUCUAAACAUUUCUAUGAUAAAAAGUCGUGCCAUUAAAAAUAAAAACUUUUUUUUGGUAAUUAAGAAACUUUUUAUUACCACUCGCAAAUAUUUACAUGUAUAAUCAUAAGCAAACGCUAAGUUUGGACAUAUGGCCCCAAACUUAGUACAUCAUUUCUAAACACCUAUCUUCAACUAAGAUAUGGGUAAAAAUUUCUAUACUAUAGCUUUUUCUUCAAUCUGCUAUGUAUACUUCCUCGACAAUGGACUUCACGUAUAAUCUGCCUUGUGACAUCCCCACUUCCUCUUUUUACUUGUUGAAAAAUUUUGCAGUUACUUUCAAUUCAUACAUUAUAUAUUGCACCAGCCAUGCUCAACUUGUAUAGUUCUGCUUUAGCUCCCUUCCCAGUUACAUUUCUUGUGGCCCAUUCAACUUCAUCUUCCCAGCUAUACACUUGUCUUGUUAUUCCCAACCAUGUUAGUACCUUACUCCAUAUCUAUGUCGAGUACUUGCAGGAGAAGAAGAGAUGUUGAUAGAUCUCCAUCUCUUGCUCACACAAUGGACAGGUUUGCUCCACUUGUAUCCCCUAUUUGCUCAUUCUGUCUUUGGUAUAUAGUCUCUCCUGUAGUGCUAGAUACAUAAUGAAGAUCCAUUUUGGGCACCCUUUAUUGUUACAAAUCAAUCUUUUCCAGCUUACAUUUUCAUUUGUAAAGUCUCCUCAUAAUUGAUUAUACAUGCUUCUAAUAGAAUAUGUUUCAGCCAUCAGAAUCUUUUCUAUCUCUAAUCCUACUUCAGUUAUAUACUUUGUUGCAUGUAAAAUCUUCUUCAUUAUCCAUGAUGCUUGUUUUGCUUCCACUGUCCAAGGCUCUCUCCCUUUAGUAUAGUACACAUGAACCAAUUUGACCCACAGUUUAUCCUUCUUCUUGCAUAUAUUCCAUAAAUGCUUCAGCACAGCUACCUUGUUCCAUGUAGUCAUGUCAAUGAUAUUUAUGCCCCCUUUUAAUUUUGGUUUGCAUAGCUUAUCCCAUGCCACCAAAGCUUUUUUACGUGCAUUUGCAUCACUUAUCCACGUAAACUUUCUGCAUAUAGUCUCCACUGCUCGAAUGAUUUUCUUUGGCAGAGGAAAGAUCUGAGACCAAAAGGAUUGUAUGGUAAUCAACACACUUCUAACUAACUGCAAUCUUCCUGCAUAGCUUAAGAAUUUCACAGUCCAUUGCUUUAUUCUUCCCAAUAUUUUAUCCAAAAGAGGUUGACAUUGGUUUAUUGAUAGUCUCUUGGAGCUCAAUGGCACUCCCAGGUAUCUAAAAGGGAGUUCUCCUGCUGUGAAUCUAAUUUUCUACAGUAUCUCAUGUUUUUGAACUUCUGUUACUCCCCCAAAGUAUACACAACUUUUACUUUGGUUUGCAAUUAGACCUGAUGCUUUGGAGAAGCUUUGGAAGCAUUCAUAUAGCAUCUGCACAGAAGCCACAUCUCCUCUACAAAACAAAAGCAAAUCAUCUGCAAAACUGAGUUGAAUAAUCUAUAUCUUUUCACACCUAGGAUGAAAGUUAAAAUUUGGCUGCUCCCUCAAGUUUCGCAGUAUCCUUGUUAGAUAUUACAUUUCUAACACAAAGAGCAGUGGAGACAUUGGGUCUCCUUGUCUCACUCCACUUUUAGCUGCAAAUGGAGCAGUGGGACUCCCAUUGAUAGUUAUUGAAUAAAAUAUUGUCUUUAUGCACUCCAUGAUCCACUCCACAAAUUGCUUGGGAAAGCAUAGUCCUGUGAGUACUUGUUCCAGAAAGCUCCACUCAAAAUAAUCAUAUGUUUUUUGCAUAUCUAUCUUUAGCAUACAUCUUGGAGAAGUACCUUUCCUACCAUAUCCUUUUACUAGCUUAUGACUAAGUAAAAUAUUGUCAGUUAGCACUCUUCCAGGUAUAAAAGUUGCUUGGCUCUCAUCCACCAAGGUGUCCAUCACUUGUGUUAGCCUACAUGUGAUCAUCUUGGAUAUAAUCUUGUAUAAAGUGGUGCAGCAUGAGAUUGGCCUGUAUUCUCUGAUAGAAGCAAGAUUCUUCACCUUGGGAAUUAGAGUGACUGCUGUAGUAUUAAUUGCCUUAUGAUAUUUAGGAGGACAACUCGUUACCUCUUGGGAAUUGGGUUUUUUGGGUUGAAAAGUCGCCACCUAAUGAUUAAAGUGCAUUAGGACACUAAAGAAGAGUUCGAUUUGGAAAACCAGAGUUCGGGUAAGGGCUAGGAAUUAUCUCGAGGGGAAGGUGUUAGGCACCCCCCAAGAUUUACUAGUGUGGUUCUCGGCCAUGUUACAAUUGUGUCUUUAACUAACAAGUAAGCAAAUAAAUGUCUCAAAUAGAAGGGGAUUUACACAUAAUGUUGCAAGUGAAUUGAAAGUUUGAAGAAAGAUAAAGAAAACAGA
Molecule: long non-coding RNA, 134241 nt
Filed under: Nicotiana tabacum (common tobacco)
Lineage: Eukaryota; Viridiplantae; Streptophyta; Magnoliopsida; Solanales; Solanaceae
Description: long non-coding RNA (NTAB_LNC009234)
Rfam family: Bacterial large subunit ribosomal RNA (bases 17907-18286)
Source: RNAcentral